AAAAAUAAUGCAAGCAACAGUAAGAAUUAAGAUUAAUCAUAUAAUGAUGCAAACUAUGGACAUACUAAUAAGUUGGUACACGGAAUCUUAAUCAAUGAUGUCUGGUUUCAGCUUUCCUUGUUUUUUCUUUCUUCGGUAAUGCUCUUAAGAUGUUAUGAAUUAAACAAAUAUAUGUUCCCAAUUAUGCACUCUUAUCAUAUAAGGAGCAUCAUAAACAGAGGAAAAACAAUUUCAAGUUUGGUGACCAAAAAGACUUGAAACAAUGCCUAAUGUCUUUGAAAGAAGUAGGGGAUUCAACAUAACUGUGUGGACUGAAUAGAGAAGUAGUAGCAAAUAGAACACUCAACAUAAAAGGCACCGAACAAAAUACAGUUAAAAGGCUGUUACAAGUGAAUAAAAGUUACAGAUUUUAUUUUGAAAUUAAAUUCUAAAAAUAAAUUUAAGAGUUAGUGUUUCAUUUUAUGGAUGUAAAUGCCCUUCUCCAAUUUCAUUUUAAAAACAUACCAAAAUCCAAGUAAUUUUUUUGCUCUCCUCUCUCAACUAAAAUCUUUCUAUCUUAGACUUCACGUGAUGGAGUUCCAACACUAGUUUGAAGUUCGCAAGAGUAGUGAGGUUAUGUUGCCGAGAACAUUUGACUUUAUAAUAUCCUAAGGGACAUUUGCUAAUAUAACCUAAGUACUACUGAGAAAAUGACAAAUCCUUUUUAAGGACAUUGUAACUGCACAUGCCUCAAUUUAAUUUAUGUUCUUCUCUUUCUUAUUGAUCUGUACUAGAGAAAUUAUCUCUACACCAACUCUGUUUUAUCAUAUGUACAUCUAGAUACUACAAAAUUUUAACAUGUUCUUUGCACUACCAUCAUUUCUGAACUUGUAUUAAUCGACUAAUUUGACAAUAAUAAUUAAAAUAAAAUGACCAUUUUACCCCUAAGUGAUCUAAAAGACCAUUUUAUCCCACGAAAUUUUUAAUUAAAAAACUAUGAUUACCAUUUAACUAAUUGAUAAAAUAUUAUUGAAAAAUCAACCUGCGCGUACUAUUUAACUAAUGGAUAAAAUAUUAUUGAUUUUUUCAAUUCUUUUGACCUAAAAAAUGUGUAAUUCCCAUCUUAAAUAUUUUCCUUUUUUUUUUAUCAAUUGUACAGUCACAAUUAUAAGACAAUUUUCAUUUUUUAAAUUAAUCACCAAAAUAACAAUAGUUUGAAUCAAUUUUGAAUAAUAAAAAUUAUAAAUUGGAAAAUGUAUCGAGUAAAAAUUAUAAUUAUAAAAAUUAACAUCGCAGAUUUUGAGAUUUUUUUUAUUAAAAUCAAAGGUAAUCUCAUAACUAUAAUUUUUUUUUUCAAAAAUUUUGUAGGAUAAAAUAGUCUUUCAUUUCAUUCAAGAAUAAAAUGGUCAUUUUAUUUCAUUUCUUAGUGUGAAAGUAGUUCACUGAAAAAACUUUAGAAACAAAGUGGUGAAAGAACAAGUUAAAAAUUUGUGGUAGUUAGAUAUAUGUAUGACAAAACAGUGGUGGUGCAGAGAUAAUUUCCCUUCAUACAAGGUUAUUAAAAAAUUUUGUUUCAAUAAACUCAUGACAAGUGUGUAGCUAGCUUACUAGUAAACUUAGGCACUCUUAGAAAGAUUCUAAAGCAAAAGUAAUGCCUGAAAAAUCUAGAUUUAAGUAAGGCCAUUUGUGACCCUUUUAGUCUUUUCUAAGAACUCAACUGGUAUAUUUUUUCAUACACUAUGGAUUGUUUUAUGUCAUUUAUUAGCAAUAAUUUUCAACAUAUAUUCCCAAACUUUACCAUUUUAUAGCUUGAAGUUCAUAGGGCUUUGGAAUUAGAUCAUUUACAAAAAUCUUUACAAGGUGAUAAUGAUACGGAGAGAAUAUGUAAAUUUUAAGUCAGCCAGUAUGAGGGCGCCUUCAACUUAAUUGGGGUCUUCACUUUUAAGGCACUACCAGGGUGGCCAUUGCCCUCAUUGCUUAUGUACCUUAACUUCAUAUAGAUUUUUACUUUUUUUCGAUCCCUUUUUUGGAGCACAAGUAGAUUGUCGAUUAAUGCCAAACGCACAAGAAUGUGGUCAAAUGCCUAGAUUAGGGAAAAAUAAUGAAAUUUAAAGUAAUACACCAGACUGCUGAUGUAUUAACAUUAUAUUGAAAUUCAAUAUUUGGCUACCAACAAGCACAUAUUAUAUAUAAAGAAUUAAACACACAAAUAAACAUAAAAUGAAAUACUUAAAUAAAAUGAUAGAGUGCAUGUUUUGGAAAAGUUUAUUCCUCAAUCCACCACUAAUUAAAUAGAAGCAAGUCACUGUCAUUCUAUGUAAACAUACAUAACUAAUCGCCUACUUAGGAAUAAUAUUUUGAUUUGGGAAUCUUGAAUUUUUCAUUAAAAAAUCAGUUUACAAUAUUAUAAGUACAUGAAAAAGAAAGUGUAUCUUGUAUGAGAGUUUUUUGCAUUACCGAUCAAUUGCAAUGAAAUCGAAGCUGCGUUUUAAUAAAAAGAAGAAAUGGAUCACACAUACAUAGUUCAUACUUCUAAAUGUUGGAUUAAAAUUUAUUAAAACACAACACGGGCAAAGUCACUAGCAAAUAAGAAAGAAUAGCAAAGUCAUUCUUAGGGAAUAUAUUGAAUAUCACUCUAGAUAUGUUAGAGUAGUAAACUUCACUCUGUAUUUUAUUAGAAGUAAUAGGACCAUUUGGUCCAUAUAUUGAAGAUGUAUCUACCUACAAAAGCAUAGUUAAUGGCCAACAAUAUCUCAUCUUAACCACACCAGAGAUAUCAUUUACAAUGUAUAAGCUAAAUUAGUAUAUGGCUGCUCCUACACUUCAACAACUAAUGGCUUGUAAACGAGUGUUAAGGUACUUAAAGGAACUGGAAGAUAUGGAUGAAACUAAUUGGAUUCACAGAUACAAAGUAGGCAUGUGAUUUGGAUGACAAAAAAUCGAUUGGAGUUUACUACAUAUACUUGGGAAACAAUUUAAUACAUGGUCAUCAAAAAAGCAAUCUAUGGUAGCAAGGUCCAGUGCAGAAAGUGAAUAUAGAGCACUUACAGAAUUAACUUGGUUGCAAUCAUUAUUCAGUGAAAUCGGAAUACAAUGUACAUUAGUUCCAUCAAUUUGGUGUGAUAAUGCAAGUGCCACUGAAUUAUCCAAGAAUCCAAUCUAUCACUCAAGAACUAAACAUAUUGAGUUGGAUAUGCAUGUUGAGUGUUAGAAAAUGCAUAUUUAUAAAGGAGAAAACCGUCAUUUUACAUUUUAAGUCUUACUAACAACCCUUACUUUUAUAUAUUUAACCUUCUUGUGAUUUAAUUACAUGUGUUUUAUUUUAAUUAAGUAUUUUAUGUAUUUUAGGGGCAUUAUAGUCAUUUCACAAUAAAGGAGAGAUCAGACGGCAAAACGGACAUCACUUUUGAACUCAGGACGGUCGAAAACCUUAGGAGGAGCAUAAAAGGAAAAAUGGCACUAUUCACAUGUACGGUACUAUUCACGUGUACGGUACUGUAUACGUUACUGUUCACGACACUGUUCACAUAGACGGAUGAUGACGUGGCAUUGACCGAUGAUGUGGCAUUGACUGAUGAGGUGUCACGAUCCUGUUGGACUAAAAUUCUUAUGUACUGUUGAUGGUGACGUGGCAGCAUAUCAGUGGACGAAAAAUCUCGCGUACGGUGCAUGCAUCACACAGGAUUAUUUUCAACCAAACCGCGUUACUGUUCAUCCGGGUCAAACCGUGUUACUGUUCAUCCACGUGGUCAAACUGUGGACUGUUGACUGAUGACGUGGCGCAAUCCUGAGCGUCUAAACUGUUUUUAAUCCGAUGGCCAUGAUUUACUCCAUGUAUCUAUAAAAAGGGGGCCUCCCCCCCCUAAUUUGAUAUCUCUGAAUCCAUUUUUGGACUCUGUUUUCUGUAAUUCCCUCUCCAUCUUGUAUUUUCUUCGUAUUUUAAUAAAUUCCUAUUUUGCCCCUAGUUCAAUUAUGAGUGGCUAAUUUUCUUUCAAGCUUGGGUUGAAGGUGAAGUCUCAACAUGUGUCAUGGGCUUAAUUUGGUAAAUUUAUUUUCUCUUCCCCUCUAGUUUUUGUGGAUGUUUUGACUUCUCGUCGACAAAUAAUACUAAUCUUGUCUAGUACCGCCUUGGUUUCACCGGCCCUCUAGUAUAAGGUUAUUAUUAUUUGGCACGAUAAGCCCUUAGCACCAUAUUGAUUAGAGCGUGGUUCAUGAGGUGUGGAUUCCCCCCUCAUGAUUUAAUUGGCAUUAAUAAGGAAUAUUUAGCCCAUGAUGCAUGUUGAUGCGGAUCCGAAUACCCAAGUACGUCAUUUCAAUAGAAUUAUCUUCAAUCUAUUCUUGCCAUUGCAAGUCAAAUUUUAGAAUUUAUUAUCGCCAUUUCAAUUCCAAUUUUAGAAUAAUUUAAAUCACUUCCACCACAAUUCCAACCACCCAUUUACAAAAUUAAUUCUACAUAUAAUUAAAAUCCACCUCCUCGUGGGAUCGACACUCGUCACCAUUGAUCUACACUACAAUAGAUUCGUGCGCUUGCGAGUACAUUAAAAUUUGCACAACAAGUUUUUGGCGCCGUUGCCGGGGAGGUAAGUAAUUUUAAUUCAUAGAAUUAAUUUUUGUGAAUAAUUUCUUUUAUUUGUUUUCUUGUAUUUUUUUUAUUAUUAAAAAAAAAAGAAAAAAAAAGUGAAUCUACAUUUAAAGGUUAGUAUUUCUUUUCUUUUUCUCUUCUUUAAAAUUUUGUAAUUUAAUUUUCCAUUUAUUUUUCUUUGUAAUUUUUUUUUAUCUUAUUAAUUUAAUUUUUAGUUAAUUUCUUUCACGUAUUUAUUUUUGUGUAUUUUUAUAGAAAGGUUGUAAUAGCGCAAUAAGGUUAGUAUCGUAAUUUCUCCCUCUUCUUUAUUUUUAUUUGUUUUGUUCCCAUCUUUAUUUUUUGUUUUGUUUGCAUCUUUAUUUUUAUUUUAUUUAUUUUGCAUGCAUGGUCGUAGGUCAUUAUUACCUAAUCUUGAACCUAUAGACCUUGAAUUAGAAAAAACACUUCGCACACACAAACACGUUAAAAAUAAAAUGGAUUUACAAGCACCACAGGAGAGGCCAUUUAAGGACUAUUUUAGUCCCUUAGCUAAUUUGAGCACGUCAUGCAUAAGAUACCCAAAUGUAGCUGCUAGGAGUUUUGAAUUAAAACCUAGUGUGUUAAAUUGUCUCCCUACAUUUUAUGGCCUAGAAAAUGAGGAUCCAUAUAAUCAUUUGAAUGAUUUUCAUGCCAUUUGUCAAACAUUCAAAUAUGAGAAUUUUUCAGAUGAUGAUGUUAAACUUAGACUAUUCCCAUUUUCUUUAAAAGAUAGAGCUCGUUCAUGGCUUAAUACAUUGCCUGCUAAUAGAAUUGCAUCAUGGGAACAAAUGGUUACAAAAUUUUUAAAUAAAUAUUUCCCAGUGCAUAAAACCAAUGCUAUUCGCAGGGAAAUCUCGGAGUUUACCCAGAAAGAUGACGAGCAAUUUUUCGAAACAUGGGAGCGAUUCAAUGGGCUACUCUUGAAGUGUCCACAUCAUGAGUACGAGAAAUGGCACCAAUGCCAAUACUUUUUGGAAGGAUUAUUGCCGAAUGUGCAAGAAUGGCUAAUGGCAACGAGUGGAGGAGAGCUAAUGUCAAAAAGUGCAUCAGAGAUUUGGGAAUUCUUCCAGCGACAAGCAGAUAAUUCCCAACAACGGAGUCGAUCACUCAAGACUACUAGAAGAAUUAAAGGAGUGAAUGAGGUUCAAAUUGGCGAAUCAAGUUCAGAAAUUAAAGAAGUCAAAGCGAUAAUUGAAGGUCUCUCUCGACAAAUAGCAUCAUUAUCGACUGCUAAAUCAACAGAGCCACAUGACCAUGACUCAUACUCAGAUCAAGCCAAUGCCAUAGGUGUAAUGAGAAAGCUAUCAAAUUACAACCCAUACUCCAACACAUAUAACCCUGGAUGGAGAGACCACCCCAAUUUUUCAUGGUCUCAAGGAUUCCAACAGAAUGGACCAACAGCUCCAGCUCCACCAAUUCCACAAAAUCCUCAAGCCUCUCAGCCACCAUUUAGACCAUACAAUCAGAACCAGAACCACUCUCAACCUAGACCAUGGGAGGAUACAUUCCAGAAUUUUAGGAAUGUUACUCACUCCACGAUUGAGCAACAGAACCGCACCAUUGAUGGACUACGAAAUGAGUUGAGAGCAGGCUUCAAUUCACAAGCCCAAUCAGUUUCAAGCCUCGAGAAGAUGGUGGGACAACUUGCUUCUUCAGUUCAGACCUUGGCAAUGACCGUUGAGAAAGGUAAGUUUCCAAGUCAACCAGUGCCUAACCCUAAAGGAGUACAUGAAGCAAGUACCAGUUCACCACAGCAGCAUGGAGAGGUCAAAGCAGUAAUGACCUUGCGAAAAGGAAAGGAAGUCGACAACAAAGUGGAGAUGCCGGUGACAAAAGAAAAUCAAAUUGUACCUGUGAAUGUUGAGGACUCAUCACCGGAGGAGAAAGAAGAAACUAACCCACGAGAAUAUGUUCCGAAAGCUCCAUUUCCUCAGAGGUUAGCUAAAGGAAAAAAGGGAAAAUCCACAGGUGAGAUUCUUGAAAUCUUCAAACAGGUAAGUGUUAACAUCCCUUUGCUUGAUGCUAUUAAACAAGUUCCAUCUUAUGCCAAGUUUCUUAAAGACCUUUGUACUAAAAAGAGAAAUAUGCAUGUUCAAAAGAAGGCAUUUUUAACAGAAAACGUUAGUUCUAUACUCCAACAUAAAAUUCCUUUAAAAUGCAAAGACCCAGGCUCCCCCACUAUCUCAUGUAGUAUAGGGAACCACACAAUUGAGAAUGCUUUGUUGGAUUUAGGAGCUAGUGUAAAUCUUUUGCCUUACUCUGUAUUCGUGAAACUUGGACUGGGAGAAUUACACCCAACUCCAGUGGUGUUACAGCUUGCAGAUCGGUCCACGAAAAUACCUCGUGGUAUUGUGGAGGACGUGCUUAUCCAGGUAGACAAGUUUUAUUUUCCUGUUGAUUUCAUUGUAAUUGACACUCAACCAAUACAGGAUUCAAGGAAGCACAUCCCCAUUAUUCUAGGCCGACCUUUCUUGGCAACUGCGGAUGCUCACAUUCAAUGCAGGACUGGAAAUAUGCAGUUGUCCUUCGGCAACAUGACUAUGGAGCUAAACAUUUUCAACAUUGCCAAACAACCUUACAGUGUAGAUGAUGGAAUUGUUGAUGUGGAUUUAAUUGAAGCAUUAGUUGAUGAUACUUUUGUUUCAAACCUUAGUGAUCCUUUACAAACAUGUUUAACUCACUUUGGUUUGGAUUUUGAUAUUGACAGAUCGGUCGAUGAGGUCAAUGCCCUGCUUGACUCAACACCAUCUAUGGACACUAAUAAAUGGAAGUCAAGAGUUGAGCAACUAGCACCAUCAGAGAAGCAACUCAUUCCAUCAUCAGAAUCACCACCGAAACUCGAGCUCAAACCAUUGCCCAACACUUUGGAAUAUGCAUUUUUGGGAGAAGAAAGUACUCUACCGGUAAUCAUCUCAGCAUCCCUCAAUGACGAACAAAAAGGUAAGUUGUUGGAUGUUUUGAAAGAGCACAAAGGGGCAUUAGGAUGGACCAUAGCAAACAUUAAAGGUAUAAACCCAGUAGACUGCAUGCAUUACAUUCACCUUGAUGAAAAUGCUAAAACUACUAGGGAGAUGCAACGUCGGUUAAAUCCUAACAUGAAAGAAGUUGUUAGAACUGAAGUCCUUAAGCUAUUAGAUGCAGGUAUCAUUUAUCCAAUUUCUGAUAGUUCAUGGGUCAGUCCUGUACAAGUUGUCCCCAAAACGUCAGGAGUCACAGUAGUUACGAAUGCUGAUAAUGAAUUGAUACCCACUAGAGUAACUACAGGAUGGCGUGUAUGCAUUGAUUAUAGAAAGUUGAAUUCUGUCACACGUAAAGACCAUUUUCCUUUACCAUUUAUUGAUCAAAUGCUUGAUAGAUUAGCAGGCCAUGAAUUUUAUUGCUUUCUAGAUGGCUACUCAGGAUAUAAUCAGAUUCCCAUAGCACCAAAAGAUCAAGAGAAAACUACUUUCACUUGCCCUUUUGGCACAUUUGCAUAUAGGAGAAUGCCAUUUGGAUUAUGUAAUGCACCUGCUACAUUUCAACGAUGCAUGCUAAGCAUUUUUUCUGAUAUGGUUGAACGAUUUCUUGAAGUCUUUAUGGAUGACUUUUCUGUCUUUGGUGAUUCAUUUGAUCAAUGUUUACAUCAUCUAACACUAGUUCUGCAGAGAUGUAUCGAGAAGAACUUGGUCUUAAAUUGGGAGAAAUGUCAUUUUAUGGUAAAACAAGGUAUUGUUCUCGGUCACAUCAUUUCGAGCAAAGGUAUUGAGGUUGACAAAGCCAAGGUGGAUCUCAUUUCUAAUCUUCCUCCACCUAAAACAGUCAGAGAAGUAAGAUCUUUCCUUGGGCAUGCUGGUUUCUAUAGACGUUUCAUUAAAGAUUUUAUCAAAGUUUCUAGACCCUUAUGCAAUUUACUUGCUAAGGAUGUACCUUUUAUCUUUAAUGAUUCAUGUCUUAUGGCGUUUGAAAAAUUAAAACGGUUGUUGACAUCAUCACCCAUCAUUCAGGCCCCAAACUGGAGCUUACCAUUUGAGCUAAUGUGUGAUGCAUCUGAUUAUGCAGUAGGAGCAGUAUUAGGACAAAGAGUUGAUCGAAUUCCCCAUGUUAUUUACUAUGCUAGUAUGACAUUAAAUGAUGCACAGUUGAACUAUUCAACUACUGAAAAAGAAAUGCUAGCAGUAGUGUUUGCAUUAGAAAAAUUUCGAUCUUAUCUCAUUGGUUGUAAAAUAAUUAUAUUCACAGAUCAUGCUGCUCUUAAAUAUCUUCUCACAAAGAAAGAUGCAAAAGCCAGACUAAUUCGUUGGGUGUUACUUUUGCAGGAGUUUGACUUGGAAUUCAAAGAUAAGAAAGGGACAGAAAAUGUUGUGGCGGACCAGCUCUCUCGUCUCCAUUUUGACACAAUUACAGAAUCAUUACCAUUGAAUGAGUCAUUUCCAGAUGAACAAUUAAUGAAUGUGGAAGUAUUACCUUGGUAUGCUGAUAUAGUUAAUUAUCUUGUUACAGGUAAACUUCCAGAGCAUUGGACCAAGCAAGACAAGGCUAAAUUCUUUGCAGAGAUAAAGAAUUUCUUUUGGGAUGACCCGUAUUUGUUCAAGUAUUGUGCAGACCAAAUUGUUAGACGAUGUGUCCCAGAAAGUGAAAUUCAGAAUCUCCUUUCAUUCUGCCAUGAACAAGCUUGUGGAGGCCAUUUCAGUGCUAAGAAAACCGCGACUAAAGUUUUACAAUGUGGUUUUUAUUGGCCAACUAUAUUUCGAGAUGCUUACACUUUCUGUUCUUCAUGUGAUAGGUGUCAACGAAUGGGGAGCAUUACGCGAAGGAACAUGAUGCCACUAAAUCCAAUUUUAGUGGUUGAGAUUUUUGACGUAUGGGGUAUCGACUUCAUGGGACCCUUUCCCCCGUCUUUUGGUCAUCAAUACAUAUUGGUUGCUGUUGACUACGUAUCGAAAUGGGUAGAAGCAAUUCCAUGUAGGACCAAUGAUCACAAGGUGGUGAUAGGAUUUUUGAAAAGCAACAUUGUCUCGCGCUUUGGAUUCCCUCGAGCAAUAAUCAGUGAUGGUGGUGCCCACUUUUGUAACAAAGCAUUCAAAGCUCUUUUGACAAAGUAUUCAAUCACACACAAAGUGGCGACCCCGUAUCAUCCGCAAACUAGUGGCCAAGUUGAGAUCUCCAAUCGAGAAAUAAAGCACAUAUUAGAAAAGACGGUGAGGCCGGACAGAAAAGAUUGGUCAUUAAGACUUGAUGAUGCAUUAUGGGCAUAUAGAACGGCUUUCAAGACCCCGAUUGGGAUGUCACCCUACAGGCUAGUAUAUGGAAAAGCUUGCCACCUACCUGUGGAACUCGAGCAUCGUGCAUAUUGGGCCAUCAAGAAAUUCAAUUUUGACAUGCAGCAAGCCAGCUCAGAAAGAAGAUUACAGCUGGCAGAACUUGAAGAAAUUCGCAAUGAUGCAUACGAAAAUGCCAAGAUUUACAAGCAACGAAUGAAAGUCUUCCAUGAUAAGCAAAUUAUGAGAAAAUCGUUCACUCCAGGUCAGAAAGUGCUUUUGUUCAAUUCUCGCUUGCACCUAUUCCCAGGUAAGUUACGCUCUCGUUGGUCUGGUCCCUUUAUUGUUCAUACUGUUUUUCCACAUGGGGCAAUUGAAAUUAAGGACCCAAAGAACGGUGUCACGUUUAAAGUUAAUGGUCAAAGAUUAAAGCCAUAUCUAGAGUACCAACCACAUGGAGAAGACACCGAAAUAAAUUUGAGUGACCCACCAGAUUUGAAUUGAUUUUUUUUUUCUUUUCAUUGAUUUGAUUUUUCUUUCUUUCUUUUUAUUAUUAUUCUUUUGCUAAUUGAAAUUGUUUUUGCAUAAGUGUGUUUAUUUUACCAUUAAGUUUUCUCUUAUCAUUUUUAAUCAUGAGUCUCAUACUUAGACCGUUCCUCCUGAACAUUCUUAAACCACUUCAACGUGUCAAAACUCAUCUCAAAAGACAGAUUCAAUUUUGUAAAACACAUCGCAUUUGGGCUCUACAACCACCAGAGUUAGUAGCCUAUGUUGAGGGUUUAGAACACCAACUCAGAGACAUUGAGAGAAGUGUUUACGACAUCCAGUUGGAGCUUGAGGUAAAUUCAAUAAGAGGACGAUUUUAAUUUUCUUUGUGUGUUUUAAUUUGUUUUUCUAUUUGUGUGCUUUAGUUUGUUACCCCGGUGAAGUGGCGGAUAACGGUACUCCGUGACAAUCAAGUCGGUUACUUCAGUUUCCCAUAAUAACUGAUAUUCUGAGGCGAAGGUAUGGACAGAAAUGAGAUUCUAGCAAAGCUUCACAAGCGAUUCCCUUCACUUCCUCAGAAUGCCCUCCUUACGAUCUAUAAAGCUCGGUCCGAACGCAUGCGAUUAUUCAUGAGGAAUAACAUACCUGCUGACAUCCGUUGGUUAAUCGAGGCUAAAGUACGAUCGGCAGGUGAGUUACCUCCAAAAUUUAUUGCAUACAUGCCUGGUUGUGGUAAAGGAAAUUAUGCAAGAAAACGACGAGCUCGAAGAAUUUCUGUUGCUUGUCAUAAGUGUGCCAGAAUGAGUUGCAAUAAAAACCCAUGUUCUUUAGGCAUGAUGUCUGAUAACAGGGAAGAUAAGAUUCAAUUCAUUAGGGAUGGCUUGAAUAAGGAGUCAUUGGAUGAUAUCCUUUUGUCUCUUGAAACGCAUCCCAGUGGAUAUGUGCAAGGAGCGAUUCUCCAGUUAUGGCCAUUAUUCCAGAAAGAGCAUGCACGAUAUAGUCUCGGGAAUCUGACUAUAAACGACCCUGUUUGCCAGUUUAUAAGAAAACUGGAUAGGAAGCCUAUCCUCGACCCAUAGAGGGCGUUCAAGCCGUUUCUGGACGUAAAACCAGAGGAAGAUGUGAGCCACAGUCGCAACUACCUGUAAAUAUCCUUUUACUUUAUUGUUAUUUUAUUUCACUAUUGUCUUAUUGUUUGUAUUAUUGUCUUUAAUAAUUUUAUUACUGUUUGCUUUUUCCUUUUUACUGUUUUCUUUUUUACUUGCAAGCCACGUGCUUUACGCGUUAUUUGACACUAACAUAUUACCUCAUACACGACCAUGACCCACUAUCACCGAGACUCUUAAAUGUGAUUUCUUUUUUGUCAAGCACUCACAAAUUAUUUUUGAGAAGUAUCACAAUGUCAGCUACUCCCAAUAGACAAUUCAAGAACAUUUGUGUGCUUUCUGGAUUUACAUAUGGCAAACAUAAAGAGUUCGUUGAGGCAGCCAUAGAUCUUGGUCGAAGCAUAGAAGCGAGAAAAUUACACUUGGUGUAUGGAGGAGGUAACCGAGGGUUAUCAAAAAUGGUCUCAGAAGCAGCUUUUAUCAGAGGAAGUCAAGUGUUAGGCAUCAUCCCAAGAGUCCUAAAACCAUUGGGCAGUUCGUCUGACUCAUCAACUGGAGAAGAGUUAGUCGUCUCAGGUAUGCAAGAAAGAAUCACUGCAAUGCUUAAUCAUGCUGACGCUUUUAUUUUCCUUCCAGGAGAUCUUGCAACACUAGAGGCACUUAUCACACUAGCAUCUUGGGCCCAUCUGCACAUCCACCAGAAACCCAUCGGUUUGUUAAAUGUCAAUAACUUUUAUGAUGGCUUUAUCGCAUUUCUUAACCAUGCAAUAAAAAACUAUUUCAUUCCCGCUAAUGUGAAAAAACUCUUUAUUUGUGCUCACACUGCUAAUGAGCUACUGGAUCUAUUACAAGCUUAUAGACCGGAGCCAGACCCCUGGACCUUUGUGUUGGAGCGUCCAAAUAAUGAUGGUAACAAUAGCAGUAGUAAGAAGUACAAAUUAGAUUUAACUCUCCGCCUGUAAAUAUUUUCUUCUGUGUUGCACCACCCAGGUGAUGUCUUCUAAACUCUACUUCUUUCAUUUCAAACAUUGAGGACAAUGUUUCGUUCUGGUUGGGGGGAGGGAAUAGUCGACAAUUAUGAAAUUUUGGUUAAGUUUUUACUAAUUUUUUGUUGUAGAAACUAACUGUUGCUAACUUUUUGUGUUGAAGAUGGCUGAAUAUGGAGUGUAGUGACUCUAGAAACGCAUCUUCAUCGUUUAAAAAAAAAAUUAAAAAAAAAACUUAAAAAAAAAAAUUAAGACAUUUUCUUUUUUCUUUAUUAUGUGUUUAUGUUUAUUUUUCUUCUUUUUAAUUUAUCCUCUAUAAAAAUGCAUUUUCCAACUUUUGAGUCGAAGAUGGCUGAAUAUGGAGUGUAGUUCCUCUAGAAACGCAUCUUCUUUAAAAAAAAAAUAAUAAAAAAAUUAUUUUCUUUUCUAUCAUUUUAAAUGUAACUUUUCUAAAUUAAUUUUUCUACAUCAUUUUCACAUUUCUGCAUGCAUAUUUUUUUUUUUUUUAUGUUUAGAAUAGGUUGGGGGGUAGAAUGUUGUUUAAAAAAAAAAUUUUUUUGAUUUGUUUUAACAUUGGGUGACAUGAUUAAUUUAAAUUUUAGUAUUUGUAUUAUCUUUGAUCUUAAGUGAUGUUACAUUAUGUUUGCUACUNNNNNNNNNNNNNNNNNNNNNNNNNNNNNNNNNNNNNNNNNNNNNNNNNNNNNNNNNNNNNNNNNNNNNNNNNNNNNNNNNNNNNNNNNNNNNNNNNNNNNNNNNNNNNNNNNNNNNNNNNNNNNNNNNNNNNNNNNNNNNNNNNNNNNNNNNNNNNNNNNNNNNNNNNNNNNNNNNNNNNNNNNNNNNNNNNNNNNNNNNNNNNNNNNNNNNNNNNNNNNNNNNNNNNNNNNNNNNNNNNNNNNNNNNNNNNNNNNNNNNNNNNNNNNNNNNNNNNNNNNNNNNNNNNNNNNNNNNNNNNNUUCUAGCCAUCCCUUUUAUUAAAUAUCCACAGUUAACCCUUUGACCCUUUAAAAAAAAAAAAAAAAACAUUUUCUUUUGUCAACUUAUCAUCUUGACCCACUCCGAUUUGGAGUAUUACCCGAUGUCUUAUAAGUUCCAUCACCUAUUUAUGUUUGAGAAAAUGUAAAUAAUUAUUUUGUUCAGUGAAGUUAUGCCAAAUAAAAGCAAAAAACAAAAAAAACAAAAAAACAAAAAAACAAAAAAACACCAAAACAAAAGUUGUUGUUUCAAAAGUUGUUGUUUCAAAAGAACAAUAAUAGGUGAAAUCCACCUUGCAACUUCCAAAAAAAAAAAAAAAAAAUCUCUGCAUUUUUCUCAAACAUACACUUUGUUUUCCUUAAUUCCUUUCUUUGUUAACCAUGUCCCUAGCCUACGUUACAUCCUAAUAAAAGUCCUUCCUGAUUUUAGGGAACUAUAAUCUGAAGUAGAAGCUAGUUAUAUGGGCUAAAAAGAUGUAGUGAUGCAUAAUUAAAAAAAAAAGAAAGAUAAAUAAAGUGGGUUGACUAACAUUUUAUUUGACUUGAGAUCGUAUUAUUUCUAAGCUGAGGGCAUAUUUAUUUCAUCUUGGUGAGAGCAUGUGAUAUCACUUCUUUAUUAUUUUCUCUCUCAAUUACCAUUCAUUGGAGUGACUAUUUUUAUUGGGAUUAAUUUAUUUGUGAGAGUGUCACUACUUCCAGUGAGAUUUUGGGGUUUGACAUGUCAUUCUUGAGAGUAGCUAAAACAAAGUCUACUGGGCUAAUUCAUGUGGAUGGUUGAUGUGGGUGUGAUGUUGCUUUAGACUGGAGAUAAUGCUUAUACUUUUAUUUGAUUGCUAUCAUUAAUCUGAUGGAAUAAAUACGAGUGUUUCUAUUAAAACAAAAAAAAAAUUAUUUUGAAUUUGAAUUUUGUUUUCGCUUUAUUUGCUAGGGACUAGCAAUAAGCUGGUUGGAGGGUGUGUUGAGUGUUAGAAAAUGCAUAUUUAUAAAGGAGAAAACCGUCAUUUUACAUUUUAAGUCUUACUAACAACCCUUACUUUUAUAUAUUUAACCUUCUUGUGAUUUAAUUACAUGUGUUUUAUUUUAAUUAAGUAUUUUAUGUAUUUUAGGGGCAUUAUAGUCAUUUCACAAUAAAGGAGAGAUCAGACGGCAAAACGGACAUCACUUUUGAACUCAGGACGGUCGAAAACCUUAGGAGGAGCAUAAAAGGAAAAAUGGCAUUAUUCACAUGUACGGUACUAUUCACGUGUACGGUACUGUAUACGUUACUGUUCACGACACUGUUCACAUAGACGGAUGAUGACGUGGCAUUGACCGAUGAUGUGGCAUUGACUGAUGAGGUGUCACGAUCCUGUUGGACUAAAAUUCUUAUGUACUGUUGAUGGUGACGUGGCAGCAUAUCAGUGGACGAAAAAUCUCGCGUACGGUGCAUGCAUCACACAGGAUUAUUUUCAACCAAACCGCGUUACUGUUCAUCCGGGUCAAACCGUGUUACUGUUCAUCCGCGUGGUCAAACCGUGGACUGUUGACUGAUGACGUGGCGCAAUCCUGAGCGUCCAAACUGUUUUUAAUCCGAUGGCCAUGAUUUACUCCAUGUAUCUAUAAAAAGGGGGCCUCCCCCCCCUAAUUUGAUAUCUCUGAAUCCAUUUUUGGACUCUGUUUUCUGUAAUUCCCUCUCCAUCUUGUAUUUUCUUCAUAUUUUAAUAAAUUCCUAUUUUGCCCCUAGUUCAAUUAUGAGUGGCUAAUUUUCUUUCAAGCUUGGGUUGAAGGUGAAGUCUCAACAUGUGUCAUGGGCUUAAUUUGGUAAAUUUAUUUUCUCUUCCCCUCUAGUUUUUGUGGAUGUUUUGACUUCUCGUCGACAAAUAAUACUAAUCUUGUCUAGUACUGCCUUGGUUUCACCGGCCCUCUAGUAUAAGGUUAUUAUUAUUUGGCACGAUAAGCCCUUAGCACCAUAUUGAUUAGAGCGUGGUUCAUGAGGUGUGGAUUCCCCCCUCAUGAUUUAAUUGGCAUUAAUAAGGAAUAUUUAGCCCAUGAUGCAUGUUGAUGCGGAUCCGAAUACCCAAGUACGUCAUUUCAAUAGAAUUAUCUUCAAUCUAUUCUUGCCAUUGCAAGUCAAAUUUUAGAAUUUAUUAUCGCCAUUUCAAUUCCAAUUUUAGAAUAAUUUAAAUCACUUCCACCACAAUUCCAACCACCCAUUUACAAAAUUAAUUCUACAUAUAAUUAAAAUCCACCUCCUCGUGGGAUCGACACUCGUCACCAUUGAUCUACACUACAAUAGAUUCGUGCGCUUGCGAGUACAUUAAAAUUUGCACAACAAUGCACAUUGUGAGAGGCAAAAUACUUGUAAAAGAACUUGAAAUCAGUUAUAUAACAUGUGUAGAACAAAUUGCCCAAUUAUAUCUUUACAUAUUAAUUUUGCUAGUAUAAUAUCCUUGAGAAUAAUUUGAAUCAAAUGAUUUUGUUACUUUGGCAAUAAUUAAAUAAUAUUAGAUUGAAUUGUUGUGUCAUUUGUUUAGCUUAUUUUAACCCUAUGUAAAAUUAGCUUCGGCAAGUAAAAUGAAAUUUACACUAUUAAAAUCUUUGUUUGUGGUAAUAAAAGUUCACUUGGAAUUUUAUAAUAUCAACUUGAAAUUUAACUCAAAGUAUUGGUAGUUAAGGAUUUCAAUAGAAAUAUUAAAUAGAAACAAGUAGUUAACAAGUUAAACCAAGUUAACCUAUAAUUGAGUAUGUUUAACUAAACUAAGGGGCUAAUUUUACAAAAAGUUAAACAAUAGAAAGUAAAUUUGGCAUUAAACCCAAAUAGUUAAAAUUUUACCAAGUUAUUGGAAAUAGUCAAACAAAAGCAUUGAAAUAAUAGUUGAAACACAUAAGUUAAAAAGGGAUAAAAUAUUAACCAAAUUCUAAUUUUAAAACUCAUCCAAUAAGAAAUGAAUUUACUUAGAAUUUAACAAAAAGUAUUGGUAUUUAAUGAACUUAAUAUGAACAUUAAACGCAUAGCUGGUAGAUUUAUAAGUUAGAAAUAUGUAAACCUAGAAGUAAGAAGGUUUAACCAAAAUUAAGGAAUAAAAAAAAUAAAAAAGUCCAAUUGGUAUUUAACCUAAAUAAUUGCAACCUUACCUAAUCAGUAGGAAUAUUCGACAAAAAGAUAGUGGAAUAAUUAGUUGAACCAUAUGAACCUAGAAGGGAGAAAAUUUAAGCAAAAUUAGGAACUUAUCCAAUGGGAAUAAAUAUUAUUUGGAAUCUAACCCAAAAUUGGUAUUAAAUGAACGUAGUAGGAAUAUAAAACAUAAAACUAGUAAACUACUAAUUAAGUUGAAGUAUGUGGACCUAUAAGUGAGAAAAUUUAACCAAAAUUAGAGACUAGUUUAACCAAAAAUAAAAUUAUAAAAAAUAAAUUUGGUGCUUACCCUCAAUAAUUAGAAUCUUAUUAAGUUAAUAGAAGUAUUCAACACAAAAAUAUGGAAAUUAGUAGUUGAAACUGGAACCCAUAAGAGAGAAAGUUCAAGUAAAAUUUGGAACUCAUCCACCAGAAAUAAAUUUAACUUGGAAUCUAACCAAAAUAUUGGUAUUGAAUGAAUAUAGUAGGAACAUCAAACACAAAACUUGAGGACUAAUAUGUUGAAAUAUGUGAAUUGUAACAUCCAAUUAAUAUAUAUGUAUUUAACUAAAAGAGUUGGAUAUGAUUAUUUUAUAAUUUUUAAUAUCAUUUUAAUUAUAAUAUUUUUCUCAUUCAAAUAUUUUUAUUUUAGCAUUUUUGCAUCAUUAGUUUAGCACACAUCAUUAGCAUUGCAUGCGUCGUUGGUCUCGUGCAAAUAGUGGUAGAUUGAUUAGAAAAUCACCUUCACCACCCUUAAAUAUGGCUGACAUAGGAGCUGAAAAUAUUUCGGAGCACGAAAAUGACCAAGCCUUGCAAAAUCUUCAUGAACAACCUAGGACCCUUAGAGACUUCAUGCAUCCUACUAGAACAUGUCACCAUCAUGCAUAUUUUUCCCUCCUGAUGCAUCACGUUUUAAUUUCAAGCCUGGUAUCAUUCAACUUUUGCCUACCUUUUAUGGUUUUGAGUCUCAAAAUCCAUAUUUGCAUUUAAGGGAAUUUGAGGAAGUCUAUAACACCUGUACUGAUCAAAAUUGUAGCAUGAAUAUUAUUAGACUUAAGUUUUUUCCUUUCUCACUAAAGGAUAAAACUAAAACUUGGCUACAAAAUCUUAGAUCAGAAUCCAUCAGAACAUGGGAUGAAAUGCAAGCACAAUUUUUGAAAAAAUUCUUCCCACCCCACAGAACAAAUUCUUUCAAAAGACAAAUUACCACUUUCACUCAAAAACCAGGAGAAACUCUCUACCAAUGUUGGGAUAGGUUUAAAGAACUACUUAACAUUUGCCCACAUCACGGUUUUGAAACAUGAAGAUUAGUGUCUUAUUUCUAUGAGGGAUUAACAUCCUAAGGUAGACAAGUCGUUGAAAUGAUGUGUAAUGGUGAGUUUAGGGAUAAAAGUCCUAAAGAUGCAUUAGACUAUCUGGACUAUAUAGCAGAAAAUGCACAACACUAGGAUAUAGUUGGUUCUUAUGAGUGAUCAAGUAAACCCCAAUCAUCUCCAUCUGGUGGAGGCAUGCAUAACCUUAGGGAAGACCAUGAUUUUCAAGCCAAAUUUGCAUCGUUAGCUAGAAAAUUCGAAGCAUUAGAGUCGAAAAAGAAUGAUCAUGUAAAGUCUGUUCAAAAUAUUUCAUGUUAUGUUUGUGAUUCUACUGACCAUUCUACGCAGGACUGUCCAACUUUACCAGCCCUGAGAGAAAGUCUGCAUGAACAAGUAAAUGUCGUUGACAAUUUCAAAAGGCCAAAUCUAAAUCCAUACUCCCAAACUUACAACUUUGGUUGGAGAAACCACCCAACUUUCAGUUGGAGAAAUGAUAAUCAUGCACAAUCUUCACAACCAGUUCCUCCACGCCAAAAUUUUCAAAACUCUCAGAGUUACCCACCAUAUGUCCCACCACCAAGAAAACCUCUGGAAGACACAUUGCAUUCAUUUAUUGAAAAACAAGAGUCGAUAAAUAACCAAACGAUGCAAACCUUAACCAAUUUGACAGAAACUAUCGCCAAACUUACAUAUGCUCUGACCAUACAUGGAAAAGGAAAGUUUUCCGCUCAACCUGAACCAAACCCCAAGAGUCAACAACAUCCUCAAAUGGGAAAUUCAGGAAAUCAAAAUAUGAGUCAAAUCAAAUCGGUUAUAACCCUUCGUGGUGGUAAAGUAGUCGAAAAACACAUUGUGGACCCUCGUGAAACUAGUAAAGAUUCAAUUUCAGAAAAUAAGGAAGAGUCUUUCGAACCUUUAAACCAUGAAGAAAUAACCAACUCUCCUCUUGUACCCUCAUUUUCUCAAGCACUGAUCAAGCCAAAGAAAUCAAACCACAGUCCAUAAAUUUAUGAAGUUUUUAAACAAGUUAAGGUCAACAUUUCUCUACUGGAUGUCAUUAAACAGGUGCCUUCUUAUGCUAAAUUUCUGAAAGAUCUGUGCAUAGUGAAAAGGAAACAUAAGGUGCAAAAGAGAGUUUUUCUUGCAGAACAAGUAAGUUCCAUUCUCUCAACCAAUAGUGCUUUGAAAUAUAAGGAUCCUAGUUGUCCAACUAUUUCUUGCACUAUUGAGGAUUAUAAAAUUGGACAUGCUUUACUUGAUCUUGGUGCUAAUGUUAAUUUGCUUCCUUACUCAGUGUACUAACAACUCAAUCUCGGUGAGUUAAAACCAACUUCUACCACUCUUUUACUUGCUGAUAGAUCGAUUAAGGUCAAGAGGAAUAAUGAAGAUGAAUUAGUUCAAGUCGAUAAAUUCAUAUAUCCUCUGGAUUUUAUUGUUCUGGAAACGGAACCAAUUGCUAAUGAAUGCAAAUAAAUUCCUGUUAUAUUGGAUCGACCAUUUUUAGCUACUGCUAAUGCUUUGAUAAAUUGCAGGAAUGGAUUAAUGAACUUAUCUUUCGGCAACAUGGCACUGGAACUCAAUGUGUUCAACAUGUGUAAACAACCUCACCACCAGGAAGAUGAUGAUAAUGAGAAUGAGGAAAUUGAUCUCAUCGAGCCAAUCAUUGAGGAACACAUUCAGGAUGAGAAUUUUAGAAACUCUGCAGAAAUUUGUUUUGCUAGUUUUGUUGAAUCAAGUAAGGAAUUAGAUUUCGAUACUGCUAGCAUAUGCCCUACAUUUGAUUCUAUGCAGGUACCUAUAGGUGACGAUGACCAAUCGAACUUUGAAGAUACGGUACAACCUGAAUAAGCAAACGAAGAGGAAGCAUUAGAGCUCGAAUUAAAGCCCUUACCAGACGAAUUGAAGUAUGCCUAUCUUGGAGAGCAGCAGACAUAUCCGGUGGUAAUUUCUUCUUAGCUCACGCAUAAUCAAGAAGGUAAGUUGUUAUCUGUACUAAAAAGGCAUAAAACUGCAUUUGGUUGGAUAUAAAUGAGAGUAUUAAAAUUAUAGUUUGAAUACAGAGAGUGGAUCCUAAACCUUAUCUUAUUUUUUAAAUUGAUUUCAAAUAAUUUAUUUUCCCCACAAUUAAUUUUCUUAGUUUUACUAAAUUUAAAACUUAUUGUGGUUCGACCCCGGUCUCACCGGGUUAUAUUAUAACUAGACACUCUUAUACUUGAGAGUAAUACACUUUUGAGUCGUGUCAAAAAUCAUGGGCUAUAUCACCAGAUUUCUUUUCGAAAUAUUAAAUUCUAUAAAUAUAUUUUGUAAUCCAAAAUAUAUUGGGACUCUAUAAAUAAACACUUAUGCACAACUUAGAUUUCUUAUAUAGUAGAAUUUUGAUAAAUUAUUAGCAUUGAGACUAUGAAAUUUAUUAAUUUAGCGAGUAAUAAUUUAAUGAUAAAUUAAUAAAAAAAUUAAUAAUUAUUAAUUCACCAAGAUGCAUCACGUUCAUAGUAAAAUUUUUCUUUUUUAUGAAGUAUAGAGAUUGUAUAAUUAGAGAAUAUAUUAAUUCUUCAAAUUAUGUGAAACGAUUUUGAUAUGAUCUUAAUUAAGUGAACCAAUCACUUGAUAAUUCUUUAACUAAACGAAAGGCUUACAACAUUGCAUUAGUACAACAAAGAAAAUAGUAAACAUAUUAUAUGUAUUUAAUUUCAAAUUAGUUAAUUAUUAAUUUGUGUCCUAUAGAAAAAUAAGAUUAUUUUUUCCAAAUCUUACUUUUUUAUUAAUUUAUCGAACUAUUCAGUUACCACAAUGACCCCCAGAUCAAAAUCAACAAAAAUUAUUAUUUAUUCGAAGUUAUUAUUUUAUCAAAUAUUAAUUUAAUAAAAUUCUACUGUGUUUUUUGAACACUUAUAAUUGAGGGCUUGAGCAGUGUGAGACUACAUACCUAGUGCCAUAUAUUUCAUUAUUUCUUUAUUAUGGAUGUAUGAAAAUUUGAAUUGAAUGUGGUACAAUAUUGUAUAUUAUAUUUUUGGAAAAAGACAUUCUUACAAAAGAUUGCGCAACACUUUGUAUAAAAUUGUGUGUUUUAAUAAAACAAAAUUGUAAAACAUUCAUAAAAUUUUAAAGAUUAAUCAUUUACAUCCCUAUUUUGAUUCUUUGGUUGAAAAAUGUCGGCAAAAAUGGUAUCAGAGCCAAGUUUUAGGCUCAGAAUAUAAAAAUGGAAGAAAUAGUUGUUUAUUUUGUAAAUAAUAGAGGAUAUAAUUUAAUGAUAGAUAGUAAUACAAUUAAGGAUAACAUAACUAAAUAUAGACAAUAUUAUUGUUCAGAACAAAAUAUAUUAGAUGAUAACAACUAGAACAAUUGUAUUUAUCCGGAGAGCUCAUGAAAUUAGAAUUGGAGAACUCAUAAUAAUAAAGAAUAGAAAUUUCAACAUAGAUCCUUCUCUCAUAUUCACAGUUACGAGAGAAGUUUAUAGAAAUAAUUUUUCUUGGAAAUAAUGGAAUAAUGAGGAUUAUAUAGAUGAACUUGUGAUUGAUUAUAAUAGAUUUUUAACUAUUAACCAAAGAGAUGAAUACAAUUGGAAUAAAUAAAGGAUCAGAAGUGAAUACUAUCCUUCUAGCAACAUUCUGAUAGGAUACAAAGAUUUAAUUAUAUAUAAGCUUUGUUAUAUACAUAAAGGAUUAGAAGAAAACAAUAUUUCUAAGGAUAUAAAAAAUAUUAUAUAUCACAAAUACUUGAUAGAAUAUAAUGAAAUAUUAUACAGAUGGUAUUAUGAAUAUAUUACUAGAACCAUUGAUAAUUUCACAAAAUAUAGAAACCAAUAAAUUUCCACCUUCUCGCUAUAGGCAUAGAGGAUUUACUUAUGAAAGAUUUCAACCAUUUGAUUUGGUAAAUGAUUUUGAUAUGUAAGGAAGUAAUAAGUUAAACUAGAUUUCUCUAUAUUUAUUAAAUAAAUUUGGAAAUCCUAAUUUAACCAUAAAUGAUAUAGAAGAAAGUGCAAAUGAAAUACUUGAAAUUAAAAGCUUUAAUACUGAAAAUAUAACACAAGUUAAAAUGUUAAAAGAUCAAAUGAGUGAAGAAUUUGAUUCACUCAAACAAUUAUAAAAGACUUCAAAAUUGAAGAUUAAGAUAGAUUGGAAUAAGAAAUCAUUAAUGUCAUGAACAAAAAUUCAAUUGAAGAUAAAUUAAAUAAGAUAGAAAUUCAAUUACAUAAAAUUAGAAAAAUCGUUGAACAACUUGGUAAUAAGUUUGAAUAAGUAUAAAUGGAAAAUUAAAAAAGGAUUGAAGAACAAAAGAUUAGUAACAAUAUGGAAGAAUUACUCAAUGGUAAUUCAAGAACAAAAUAAAGUUUUACUAGAUACCAUAACCUAGUACAAUGAAAAGAAAAAUAAAGAAAUGCUAGCAAUAUCAUGAUCAAUAUUUAACAAAGUAAAUGAAGAUAAAAAAAUUAGUAAGUUUAAGGAUGCUAAGCAAAAAUGUAGACAAUGGAAGAAUUAUCUAAUCCAGAAAUAUUGGAGGAAGAAUAUGAAGAGGAAGAAGAUGUAUUUAUUAAUUUAUAAGAUAUUGAAAAUAAACUAGAACUUCUAAAAUGAAUGAAUCAAAGCCAAGAGACUUUGAACAAGGAGAAUUUAGUAAUAGAGCUUCUUAUGCUAGGGAACAAAUACCACCUCAUGAAAGACUACAAGGUCAAUAUUUUAGGGUUAACAAACCUAAAAAAAAAUAUAAAACUCUAGGAGAAUAUAGAGAAAGACUAAUCAACCAUGAUGUAGUAUGGUUAGAUUUAGACUGUGUCAAAAAUAGUGAUAAACUUAUUACCACUUAGGUUAAAUCUAUGAAAAUUGCAUUUGCAUUUAACAAAAUAGAUAGAAACAAUGGUAUAGAGUUCCUUAAAACUUCAUUUAUACGAAUAGUGUCAUAUUGGUUUAUGGGAUUGAAAGAUACCGACAAAAAUAAAAUAUUAUAUAGCGAAAAUAAUAAUUAAAACGAAAGCUUGGAUCAAGUCUUAAAUAAAUUUGAAAAUAAAAUAAGAAAAGAAUUCUUACGAGAAGAUUGGGAAAUUGAUUUUCAACAGGAAAUAAAGAGGAAACGGAUGGAAAACGUAAUGAAGCUAAAAACACUUGAAAUAUGUAAUAUAUUUUAUCUAGAAGAAUACACAUGUAGCUUUGAAGAAUUACAUUAUAAAUGUGAAUUUGAUAAAGUUGAAAAUACCAUAUGCUAUUAUAAUGAUCAAUAUUUUAUAAAGAUACCAAAUCCAUGGGGGAAAAUGAUUAUGUUAGAAUAUAACAAGGAAUAAAUUGAUACCCUAAGAAAUAGGAUCAGAUUUGCUCGAAAUAGAAUUAGUGAACAGUAUGUUGAAAAAAGAGUUAAGAGACUUUGGUAAAGUCCCCAUAGUUCAGCUUCCAUAAUGGAACAACUACCCAAAUUCAUGCUAAAACCGCAAACCCAUUCCCUACAAUAAUUCCUCACCAAGCCACCAGCAUUAGCCAAUCCCGAUCUCUUCAAAGCCCCAUCAGUAUUGAGCUUUAAGAACAACCACUUUGGGGGCUGCCAAUAGAUCCAUCUUUUAGUUUUUGUAAUUCUCUGACUAUCUAAAGACUUAUAAGCAGCGAUGAUUUUUUCCGUGCAGUUGUUCACAUCCACAAUUACGUUGUGAAGGGCUGCUUGAUUUGUGAGCAUAAACGAACUCAUUGUGCCAAUACCACAUGCGCCAGACAUGACGCCAAAUAACAUUGACCUAUCCUUCUCAUUAGUGAUCCUCAAGUGGUUUUUCAUAUUAUAAACAAUCCAUGCACGAACAUCCAAUGUAAAACAGGUAUGACUUGUGUGUUUCGAAAAAAGGGCUAACCAAAUGCGUUUAGAGUCAACAUAAUCCCCGACUGCAUGGAGAGCAUCCUCUAUGAUAUGCCCACACCGCAUGCAAGUACUAUCAUUAAGCACAUGUCUUCGCAAUAAUUUAGCAUUAUUUUUCAAUCUAUUAUGCAUCAGCAGCCAAAGAAAGCACUGAAUGCUUUGGGGGCCUCUCCAUCUCCAAAUCAAAACCCAAAGGGAAUUAUUUUCAUUUAGCAUCGGUCUAAAGAGGGAUAAAUAAGCUGACCUCACGCUAAACAAACCAGACCGCGAUGGACCGCAAUAACAACAGUCAACUUCAUCGCUAAUAGAAUGGGGCAUAGUGCCUGCUAUUUUGAGAAUUAUAUGGUGGGGUAGAAAAGAAGCAAAAUAGUCCCAGUUCCAAGCACCAUUAUUAUCGAUAAAAUUAGCUACAUACUCAUUUAAUAUUUUCAGUGAUUGUACCGAAAGUAUAAGAUUGCAAUCAACGCCCAUCCUCCAGCCAAUAAUCUUUCCAAAAUCUAGCCAACUUCUCAUUCCCAAUAGCCCAGCGAGUCCCUUAGAGAACCUCAUUCCAUACAUUUCCCACGAAUUUUCAUAAAGGAGAACUAUAUCAAGUAGGACGUUUUAGAGGAAGGUUUUUUUUAUCAACGCAUAUUUAAACAUCAAUACUUGAAUCUAGAAGCUGUGGGGUGAUUCAAUAUGACCCCAACCAAUUUUCAUUAGCAAGGCUUUAUUCAUGAGAUUAAGAUCUUUAAGGCCAAGGCCCCCACAUAAAUUAAGGAGUUGUACUCUAUCCUACUUAAUAAGGUGUAUACGAUGAGUCUCGUCAAUCUAUUUCUAGAUAAAAUGCUUGCAAAUCUGAUCAAUUUUAUUACGAAUACUUAGAGGUAGCAUGAAGGUCUGCAUGGAAUAGGUUGGGAGAGCCAGAAUGAUCGACUGCGUUAAUGUUAUCGAACCUACAAGAGAAAGAUGUUUGGUUGUCCAACCCGUAAGUCUCUGUAGUGCUAAUGGUGGUCAAGGAUAAGGUACCAGUUUCAGUGGGAUACAUUGAGUUUGCAUGAGAAAUCUGGGAGAUUUCAUAAAGAAUGUAUGAGUUAGUGACAAUGGUAAACAUGAUUAAAUGCGUGAACUAACAUAAAAUGAAAUACAAAAACUAAAUGAUAGAGCACGAGUUUUGAAAAAAGUUUAUUCUUCAAUCCACCAUCAAUUAAACAGAAGCAAACCACUGUCAUUUUAAGUAAACAAACAUAACAAAACCACCUACAUAAGAAUAAUUUUUCAAUAUAGGAAUCUUGAACUUUUGAUGAAAAAAAAUCAGUUUACAAUAUUAUAGGUACGUGAAAAAUAAAGUUUAUAACAUUGUAAAUCAGAUCACCAACUAGAAUCUAACUCCACCUACAUGGCUUAGUAAACAACUAUAACAUUGCAUCCAACAAUGGCGUCACCAGAUUUAAAAUCCGCUCGAUUCAUCUGAGCAAUUGCAUAUCCACCACUCAAUAGGAACUCGCCAAUGUCACCGAUGAUGGGCAUCUUACGGACAGGAACAAUCGACCUGUUGUUGCCAAGGAGGCUGAUAUAGCUACCAUUAUUAGGACCAUCAACGAACACAAAGCUCAUGGACAUGAUGAUAGCUAGUUGAUGCUGACAAGCCGACCCGUAAAGCCCUUGAGCACGACCAACAAGCUUUGAUUGAGGACUAGUAGUUUCUAUCGACGAAUCAUUCGCCAAAUCACAACGCGGAAACGAGUUGGUGACUUGUAAGCAUCAGUGGCUUGAGCAAUGCUUUUUUCCACUACGUUUUUUUUGUUGUCACUUUUGCGAAAUCAAGCCCCGGAGCCAAAGUCUCUCUGAUCGUAUUGAUGUUGCUGCCACCGGGCAAAUGAUGAGAAACAAAAAAAUUGCUUAAAACAUUAUCGCCAGUGUCACCGAGAAUAGAUGAUGCACUUUUGAAGGUAGAAAAGAAGGAUGAUUCAAGAUUCAUUUCAAAUUUUUUUGAAGUGUUUUGAUAAGUGAAUAUCCAAAGGCUGCGUAACUACAAAGGUGAAGUGGGAAGAAAUUUUGACAUUUUGUUAUAUUGAGCUAGCCAGUGAAUGUAUAUGAGGGGCUUCACUUGUACACAUAAAAAAGGAAGAUUAAUUACUCGUGGUUUUUUAUUAAGAAAAAAAAUAGCUUGCUUAAAAUAUAGAGUGUGGUUAAUUUCAUUGAAGGAGAUGACUCAAAGGAAAGGAAAGAAAAAAGAAAUCUAUAUAUAUAAACAAAAAAUAAUGCCAAAAACAUAAAUUUAAUUAAAUGUACAGUGAAAUUACCUUUAUAAUGCAACAAGAUAUUAAAUUCAAUAGUUAACGCUAAUAAAUUAAGCGUAAUUUAUUUAAUACUUAUUUAUGGACUCUUUCAAUUCCAUUAAAGCCACUGCAAGACGUUUUUCAAUAUUAACUCAGAUAAAUAGAGGCUCAUAUCUUUCUGAUUCUUCCACAUCUCUUUCAAUUCUAAUUAAGCCGUUUGCAAUUCCCUUAAGAAAUUAAAAAAUGUCGAAGAGUCUUACCUUCAUCAUUUUGGCUUUGCUUGUAGUGGCAAACACUAAAAACAUGCUUAUUUCAGCUAGUAGAACUGGCCAAGGAUCUAAGCCAGAGGCUUUAUUUGCUAUUAACCCUACAGCAUCACCUGACAUUGUUGAUUACUCAGGGCUCACAAGUGAAGAGUGUUUGAUCGAGAUGAUUAAGAAAGCACUUGUAGACUAUCGAUACCCCUGCUCUGAGGGGGGGUGCAAAUGAUAUUGUUAAUAAGUUAUUUCUUUUACCUUGUAGGAGUGCUUUUGCAAUAACGAUCAAUUACAGUGAAAUUGAAUUUGUGUUUUUAAUAAAAUAAAACAUUAAUCCAUUAUGCAUAGGUAAUAUUAUGUCAUAUGUUUUUGGUGUGUGUAUCUCUUACUGCUUUGUUAUAGAUGCAUCGUCGAAUCAAUCUUCGAGAAAUCAGUUUCUUUAAAUAAUAGCAAUUAUCAACCAAUCAACAUUACUAUGUUGGUGCCAUUUGUAAUAUUUAAAUUUUAAGUUUAUUUACUUUUAGGGUGAGAUUAUUGAUUCCCAAGAAAAAUAAUAAAAUAAACCCUCAUUAUCAAAAUCCUAUAUUACUAAGCUGUCCGAUUUAAUUUAAUGUUAAACUUUAAUUUAACCCCUGAAAAUGUCCAGACUUACCUACAUUUAUUGCUAAGAAUAUGAUUUAAAAUUUCAUCAAUGUGCACCUCAUUUAUGCUCAUCUUUUGAAGAACAAAUAGGGUGGAUUGAGAUUUUCAUGCUUUUGGAGGGUAAAUUAAAGAUAGUUAUUAGGAGGGAACGAAUUGAAGUUUGUUUUUAAAUGCAAAGAUGUAUUCUUUUAGUUUAUUUGAGAUAGUUCGUUUGACUUUAAUUUAACAUAUGUUUUUGUAAUUGAAAUAUAGAUACUUCUUUAUUUUUGUUAUUCAGCUAAGUAAUAUAAUAUUUUUGUUAUACUUCAAAAGUGUAUUACUCUGUAGUAUAAGAGUGUCUAGUUAUAAUAUAACCCGGUGACACCGAGGUCGAACCACAUGAAGUUUAAAUCUAGUAAAACAAAGAAAAUUAAUUGUGGGGAAAAGAAAUUAUUUAAAAUCAAUUUAAAAAUAAGUUAAGGUUUAUGAUCCACUCUCUGUAUUCAAACUAUAAUUUUAAUACUCUCUCAUUUAUAUUUUGCCUCACUUUUGCCAAUUAAUUAUUAUAUCAUUUAAUUCUAUGUGUGUGGAUAAAUAUAGAAUAAAGUACCUAAUGUGCCACACUAUAUUAAUGUGUCGAUAUUAUGUCAAAAUACCAUAAAAUCUAGUGAGAUUUAUAAAUUAACAUGAUAUAAAAAUAAUUAGAAAAGAAUUAAAAAAAACUCAUUUGAGAAAAUAAUAAUAAUUAAUAGUUUGAAACAUUGAGCUUCACUCUUCACCUCAGCUUAAUAAAAUUAGCUACUCAUAUUGAAAGAAAACACAACACUCUUUUUAUUUGAUAAAAUUUUUGAAAUAUAUUACAAAGAAAAUUGAUACAAACGGAAAUAAGAAAAGAAAAGAAACAAACAAAGAAAGAAAAUCUUCAGUCUCGGCUUCAGCUCUCAAAUUUUGCUCUCCAACUUCCCCCCGCUCUUCAAUUUCUCCUCCCUUUUUAUAGGCAACAAUUGCCUUUAACUUUCUUUAUUUUAUUAUUUAUUUAUUAUUUUAAAAUAUAUAAGUGUGUUGAAAUGUGUGAUGGUCAGGAGGCGUAAUGGCCUCCUGACCAUCACCAACGUGUUUUUGUUCUUUUGUUCUUUUAUUUUUUAUUUUUUUUAUUUUAUUGAUUAUUUAUUAUUACAUCUCUUCAAUUUUGUUCCAAUAGUUCUUCUUUGUUCCCGCUUUCAAUUUCAAUUCCAUCUUUAUUCUUGAAAAAUAUUUACAAGAUAAAAAUUAACAAAUUACAAAUUAAUUUAACAUAAAAUAUAUUUGGGGAGUAUUAAAAUAAUUUAGAAAUAAUGAACGCAUUAAUCGACACAAUNNNNNNNNNNNNNNNNNNNNNNNNNNNNNNNNNNNNNNNNNNNNNNNNNNNNNNNNNNNNNNNNNNNNNNNNNNNNNNNNNNNNNNNNNNNNNNNNNNNNAUCAAACCCCAAAAUCUCACGAUUAGGAGUGACUAUCUCAAAAGAAGAUAUACCCCAAAUUAAUUUGUCACUCUAAAAAAAUGGUAAAUUUGAGAGAAUAAUAAAACAAUAUCACACGCUCACACCAAGAUAAAAAUUAAUGCCCACAACUUAGAAAUAAAAUAAUAUCAAAUCCAAUGAAUUACUAGCAAAAUUUAUUUUUAUUUUUACUCAUCACCACAUCUUUUAGUCCAUAUUACCAGCUUUUACUUCAGAUUAUAGUUCCCAAAAAUCAAGAAGGACUUUUAUUAGGAUGUAGCGUAGGCUAUGGUUAUGGCUAACAAAAAAGGUAAUAGGGAAAAUAAAAAUAUAUGUUUGAAAAAUAGGGGACUUUUUGGAGAUUAUAAGGUUCUUUUUUUUUUUCAAAGGUUCAAAGGGGUUAACUAUGGAUUCUUUAUAAUAGGGUUGACUAGAAAGGCUCAAACGGAUCAAAGAUGGUCUUCUAUCAUCUUUUAGGGUUCUAUAUAAUCUUUCAUAUCCACUAGUUCAGUGGACCUUUAUAUGCGGCUGCACAAACUUUUUUUUUUUUUAAUAUUGAGAUCUUGUACAAUAAAUUGUGAAGCUGCAUAGGCAAACAAGGUUACUCUCCAAGGAUAACAGACUCAAAAACUCGCUUGGUCUUUUUAUAACAUGUACAUUCAUCCAAAUGGCUUAAUCAAUUUCACUCAUUCAAUUUCUCAAUUUACGUUUCAAGAUGCAAAGGGAAAAACAUAGUGUAACAUAACUCAAGGCCAAAGAUAAUACGAAUACCAAAAUUUGAAAAUCAUCAUGUUAUCCAAUGUUAAAAGAGCACACCAAAAAAGAAAAUAAUUUUUUUUUAAGAAAGCACUAAAAAAUUGGGGCUAAUUGCAGAAACUUAAGGGAGAUGAUUAAGAGAAAAAGACCGAAAACAAAAAGUUAAAAACAUUUUGUUUUGGAAGAAAACAAAAAAAAUUAAGAAAAUGCGUUUCUAGAGACACUACAUUCUAUAUUCUGUCAUCUUCGACUCAAAUUUUUAUCCAAAGUUAGUCUUUACAACAAAAAUUAGUGCAAACAUCACUAGGAAUGAGACAUUCCCAAUUAUUAACUAUUCCCUCCCCCCAACCUGAAGGAGACAUUGUCCUCAAUGUCUAAAGAAAGGAGUAGAGUUUAGAAGAUAUCACCCGGCCAUUGCUGGAAAUAUUUACAGACGGAGAGUUAAAUCUAAUUUAUACUUUUUACGAGAGUUACUGCCAUUGUUAUCAGUUGCCCAAUCCAACGCCAAAGUCAUGGGAUCUGGCUUUGGUUUGUAAGCUUGCAAAAGAUCAAGUAACUCAUUAGCAGUAUGAGCACAAAUGAAGAGUUUUUUCGCUGAGGAUGGAAUGAAAUAAUUUUUUAUUGCAUGAUUAAGCAAUGUUAUUAAGCCAUCAUAAAAGUUAUUAACAUUUAACAAACCGAUUGGUUUUUUAUGGAUAUUCAAAUGGGCCCAUGAAGCAAAUGUAAUUAGCGCCUCCAAAGUUGCAAGGUCUCCUGGCAAGAAAAUAAAAACGUCAGCAUGAUUUAACAUUUCAGAUAUUCUUUCUUGCAUACCUGAGACAACUAACUGUUGAGUGUUAGAAAAUGUAUAUUUAUAAAGGAGAAAAUCAUCAUUUUACACUUCAAGUUUUACUAACACCUUUACUUUAUGUAUUUAACCUUCUUUUGAUUUAAUUCCGUGUGUUUUAUUUUAAUUAAGUAUUUUAUGUAUUUUAGGGGUAUCAUAGUCAUUUCACAAUAAACGAGAGAUCAAACGACAAAACGGACAUCACUUUUGAACUCAGGACGGUCAAAAACCUUAGGAGGAGCAUAAAAGGAAAAAUGGCACUGUUCACAUGUACGGUACUGUCUACGUUACUGUUCACGACACUGUUCAUAUAGACGGAUCGAUGACGUGGCAUUGACCGAUGAUGUGGCAUUGACUGAUGAGGUGUCAUGAUCCUGUUGGUCUAAAAUUCUGAUGAACUAUUGAUGGUGACGUGGCAGCAUAUUAGUGGACCAAAACUUGCGCGUACGGUAUACACAUUACACAGGAUUAUUUUCAACCAAAUCGCAUUACUGUUCAAGCCGGGUCAAACCAUGUUACUGUUCACCCGCGUGGUCAAACUGCGUACUAUUGACUAAUGACGUGGCGCAAUCCUGAGCGUCCAAACUGUUUUUAAUCCGAUGGCCAUGAUUUACUCAAUGUAUCUAUAAAAAAUGGGGCUCCCCCCUAAUUUGAUAGCUCUGAAUUCAUUUUUGGACUCCAUUUUCUGUAAUUCCUUCUCCAUCUUGUAUUUUCUAGGUAUUUUAAUAAAUUUUCAUUUUGCCCCUAGUUCAAUUAUGAGUAGCUAAUUUUCUUUCAAGCUUGGGUUGAAGAUGAAGUCUCAAUAUGUGUCAUGGGCUUUAUUUGGUAAAUUUAUUUUCUUUUCCCCUCUAAUUUUUGUGGAUGUUUUGACUUCUCGUCGACAAAUAAUACUAAUCUUGUCUAGAUACUGCCUUGGUUUCAUCGGCUCUCUAGUACAAGGUUAUUAUUAUUUGGCAUGAUAAGCCCUUAGCACCAUAUUGAUUAGAGCGUGGUUCAUGAGGUGUGGAUUCCCCCCUCAUGAUUUAAUUGGCAUUAAUAAGGAUUAUUUAGCCCAUGAUACAUGUUGAUACAGAUUCAGAUACCCAAGUACGUCAUCUCAAUAGAUUUCUCUUCAAUUUAUUCUCGCUAUUUCAAUUCCAAUUUUAGGAUAAUCCAAAUUAUUUUCACCACAAAUCCAACCACCCAUUUACAAAAUUAAUUCUACACACUAUUAAAAUCCACCUUCUCGUGGGGAUCGACACUCGUCACCAUUAGUCUAUUCAAAAGAUAAAAUAACGGUGAUUAGAUAAAAUAAAAAAUAAAAAUAAUAAUAAUGCAAAAGAUAAAAGAACAGUAAAAUAAAAGGAUAUUUACUGGUAGUUGUAAUUGUGGCUCACAUCUUCCUCUAGUUUUACAUCCAGUAACGGCUUGAACGCCCUCUAUAGGUCGAGGAUAGGGUUCCCAUCCAGUUUUCUUAUAAACUGGCAAACAAGGUCUUUUAGAGUCAGAUUCCCAAGACUAAACUGUGCACUUUUCUUUUGGAACAGCUUCCACAAAUUUUGAAUUUCACGUUGAACAUAUCCGCUCGGAUGUGUCUCAAGAGAUCGUAAGAUACCAUCCAACGAUUCUUUACUCAUGCUAUCCUUAACGAAUUUGAUUUUAUCUUCACAAUUUACAAAAACCAUUCCUAAAGCUUUACAACGUGGAUUUUUGCAAGCAAGUCUUACACAAUGAGAACAUUCAGAGCUAAGUCGCUUAGCUCUUCUUUUCUUAGCAAAUGUACUUUUACAAAAACCAGGCAUGUAGGAAAUAAAUUGAUAAAAAAACUCACUUGGACCUUUGCUUCAAUUAACCAGCGAAUGUCAGCAGGAAUCCCAUUGAUCAUUAACAAACGCAGUUGUUCACAACGAGCUUUGUAACUCUUCUUAAGAGCAUUUUGAGGGAGAGAAGGAAAAGGUUGAUGCAAAUUUUGUUCUAUUUCUUCCAUGCUUGACAUUGAGGUUUCAGUUAUUGUGGGAAACUGAGAAUACCGACUUAAAAAGUCACGGAGUACCGUUAUCUGCCAUUUAUACGAGAGAGUGAAUCAAAACAAAACAAAUCAAAUAUGCAAAAUCAAAUCAAAAGUGAAAAAUAACAACAAAAUAAAACAAAAACACACAAGGAUUAUAACACACCUUCGUCCUUUUAUUGAAUCUAGUUCCAAUUACAAAUUAUAAAUACCAUCAUCUAUUUCCUUGAGUUGUCUUUCUAGAUCUUUCACGUGAGAUACUAACUCUGGUGGUUACAGAUCCCAAAUGGGAUGUAAUUUACAAAAUCAGAGCAAUUUCCUCAGGUGAAAUUUUACAUGAAAAAGCAUUUUAAAAUAAUCGAAUAGGAAAUUGCUCAUAGAGGUACUCAUGACAAGUAUAAAAAUUGGGUGAGCUAAAUCACAAUUGUCAAACAACAUAAAAUUAAAACAAUGCAAUGCACUCCAUUCAAGACAUAGGGAAAACGAAAAAGAAAAAGAAAUCAAAUAAUUCAAACGAUAAAGUAACAGUAAAUCAAUUCCCCAACAAUCAAAUAAAAAGGCUUAAUCAAAAUUUUGGUGGGUCACUCAAAUGGAUUCCAGUAUCUGCUUCAUGUGGUUGAUAUUCCAUAUAUGGUUUCAAUCUUUGGCCAUUAACUUUAAAUGUGACACCAUCCUUUGGAUUCUCAAUUUCUACGGCUCCAUCACAUUUUUUAUAACAAAUGGACCAUUCCACUUUAACUUUAACUUCCCUGGAAAUAAAUGAAGACGAGAAUUAUAAAGCAACACUUUUUGACCAAUUUCAAAUGUUUUCCGAAAAAUUAUUUUGUCAUGAAAAAAUUGACGNNNNNNNNNNNNNNNNNNNNNNNNNNNNNNNNNNNNNNNNNNNNNNNNNNNNNNNNNNNNNNNNNNNNNNNNNNNNNNNNNNNNNNNNNNNNNNNNNNNNNNNNNNNNNNNNNNNNNNNNNNNNNNNNNNNNNNNNNNNNNNNNNNNNNNNNNNNNNNNNNNNNNNNNNNNNNNNNNNNNNNNNNNNNNNNNNNNNNNNNNNNNNNNNNNNNNNNNNNNNNNNNNNNNNNNNNNNNNNNNNNNNNNNNNNNNNNNNNNNNNNNNNNNNNNNNNNNNNNNNNNNNNNNNNNNNNNNNNNNNNNNNNNNNNNNNNNNNNNNNNNNNNNNNNNNNNNNNNNNNNNNNNNNNNNNNNNNNNNNNNNNNNNNNNNNNNNNNNNNNNNNNNNNNNNNNNNNNNNNNNNNNNNNNNNNNNNNNNNNNNNNNNNNNNNNNNNNNNNNNNNNNNNNNNNNNNNNNNNNNNNNNNNNNNNNNNNNNNNNNNNNNNNNNNNNNNNNNNNNNNNNNNNNNNNNNNNNNNNNNNNNNNNNNNNNNNNNNNNNNNNNNNNNNNNNNNNNNNNNNNNNNNNNNNNNNNNNNNNNNNNNNNNNNNNNNNNNNNNNNNNNNNNNNNNNNNNNNNNNNNNNNNNNNNNNNNNNNNNNNNNNNNNNNNNNNNNNNNNNNNNNNNNNNNNNNNNNNNNNNNNNNNNNNNNNNNNNNNNNNNNNNNNNNNNNNNNNNNNNNNNNNNNNNNNNNNNNNNNNNNNNNNNNNNNNNNNNNNNNNNNNNNNNNNNNNNNNNNNNNNNNNNNNNNNNNNNNNNNNNNNNNNNNNNNNNNNNNNNNNNNNNNNNNNNNNNNNNNNNNNNNNNNNNNNNNNNNNNNNNNNNNNNNNNNNNNNNNNNNNNNNNNNNNNNNNNNNNNNNNNNNNNNNNNNNNNNNNNNNNNNNNNNNNNNNNNNNNNNNNNNNNNNNNNNNNNNNNNNNNNNNNNNNNNNNNNNNNNNNNNNNNNNNNNNNNNNNNNNNNNNNNNNNNNNNNNNNNNNNNNNNNNNNNNNNNNNNNNNNNNNNNNNNNNNNNNNNNNNNNNNNNNNNNNNNNNNNNNNNNNNNNNNNNNNNNNNNNNNNNNNNNNNNNNNNNNNNNNNNNNNNNNNNNNNNNNNNNNNNNNNNNNNNNNNNNNNNNNNNNNNNNNNNNNNNNNNNNNNNNNNNNNNNNNNNNNNNNNNNNNNNNNNNNNNNNNNNNNNNNNNNNNNNNNNNNNNNNNNNNNNNNNNNNNNNNNNNNNNNNNNNNNNNNNNNNNNNNNNNNNNNNNNNNNNNNNNNNNNNNNNNNNNNNNNNNNNNNNNNNNNNNNNNNNNNNNNNNNNNNNNNNNNNNNNNNNNNNNNNNNNNNNNNNNNNNNNNNNNNNNNNNNNNNNNNNNNNNNNNNNNNNNNNNNNNNNNNNNNNNNNNNNNNNNNNNNNNNNNNNNNNNNNNNNNNNNNNNNNNNNNNNNNNNNNNNNNNNNNNNNNNNNNNNNNNNNNNNNNNNNNNNNNNNNNNNNNNNNNNNNNNNNNNNNNNNNNNNNNNNNNNNNNNNNNNNNNNNNNNNNNNNNNNNNNNNNNNNNNNNNNNNNNNNNNNNNNNNNNNNNNNNNNNNNNNNNNNNNNNNNNNNNNNNNNNNNNNNNNNNNNNNNNNNNNNNNNNNNNNNNNNNNNNNNNNNNNNNNNNNNNNNNNNNNNNNNNNNNNNNNNNNNNNNNNNNNNNNNNNNNNNNNNNNNNNNNNNNNNNNNNNNNNNNNNNNNNNNNNNNNNNNNNNNNNNNNNNNNNNNNNNNNNNNNNNNNNNNNNNNNNNNNNNNNNNNNNNNNNNNNNNNNNNNNNNNNNNNNNNNNNNNNNNNNNNNNNNNNNNNNNNNNNNNNNNNNNNNNNNNNNNNNNNNNNNNNNNNNNNNNNNNNNNNNNNNNNNNNNNNNNNNNNNNNNNNNNNNNNNNNNNNNNNNNNNNNNNNNNNNNNNNNNNNNNNNNNNNNNNNNNNNNNNNNNNNNNNNNNNNNNNNNNNNNNNNNNNNNNNNNNNNNNNNNNNNNNNNNNNNNNNNNNNNNNNNNNNNNNNNNNNNNNNNNNNNNNNNNNNNNNNNNNNNNNNNNNNNNNNNNNNNNNNNNNNNNNNNNNNNNNNNNNNNNNNNNNNNNNNNNNNNNNNNNNNNNNNNNNNNNNNNNNNNAUCAAAUAUUUCAAUGACAAUGAUGGGGUUUAAAGGCAUCAUCUUCCGCUUUGAAAUAGACCCUAUCAUUUGACAAUUCUUACACAUUUUACAGAAUGCAUGUGAAUCUUUAAAUAAUGUAGGCCAAUAAAAUCCACACUGCAAUAUUUUACAGUUGUCUUUUUUGAAGAAAAAUGGCCACCGUAUGCUUCAGAAUGACAAAAUUAAAUGACCCUACUUACCUCGUCGUCUGGUAUGCAUCUUCGAAAAAUUUGAUCGGAGCAGUACUUGAAUAGAUAUGGCUCAUCCCAGUAAAAGCUUUUUACUUCUGUUAAGAAUUUCUUCUUGUCUUGGGAACUCCAGUCACAUGGCAUUUCACCUGUUGCAAGAUAAUUAAUAAUAUUAGCAUACUAAGGCAUUUUGUUUAUAGAAAACAAAAAUUCAUCAGGGAAAGAAUCAUUGAUGGGUGUUGUUUCAAUUGAAGACUCAUUUGUAAGUCUUGAAAGAUAAUCUGCAAUAACAUUUUCAGCGCCCUUUUUGUCCUUGAUUGUCAAAUUAAAUUCUUGAAGUAGCAAAAUCCAUCGUAUCAACCUUGGUUUGGCAUCCUGUUUUGACAUUAAAUAUCUCACAGCAGCAUGAUCAAAAUAAACAACAGUAGAUGAACCAAUUAAAUACGAACGAAAUUUAUCCAAUGCAAAUAUUACAGCAAGUAGUUCUUUCUCAGUUGUUGUGUAAUUCAUUUGAGCAGUAUUCAAAGUUCUACUUGCAUAAUAGAUGACAAAGGGCUUACCUUCCUUUUUUUGACCCAGAACAGCGCCAAUGGCAUAAUCACUAGCAUUACACAUUAGCUCAAAAGGUAAAGACCAAUCAGGGGGUUGCAUUAUUGGGGCUGAUGUCAAAAGACUAAUUAUCUUUUCAAAAGCUUGUUGACAAUCUUUAGUCCAUUCAAAUUGUGUGUCUUUUAUUAAAAGGUUACAAAUUGGUCUAGAUAAGGCACUAAAAUCUUUUAUAAACCUCCUAUAAAAUCCUGAAUGUCCUAAUAAAGAACGGACUUCUCUUAUUGUCUUUGGUGAGGGUAAUUUUGAAAUGACUUCAACUUUAGCUUUAUCAACUUCGAUUCCUUUUGAAGACACAAUAAGGCCUAAGACAAUUCCAGAAGUGAUCAUGAAAUGACAUUUUUCCCAAUUUAAAACAAGUCCUUUUUCUUUGCACCUUUCCAAAACAUUUUAUAGAUUAUCAAGACAUGUAUCAAAAGAAUUACCAAAUACAGUUAAAUCAUCCAUAAAAACCUCUAGACAAUUUUCAGCCAUGUCACUAAAAAUGCUUAGCAUGCACCUUUGAAAUGUUGCAGGAGCAUUACAAAGUCCAAAGGGCAUUCUCCUAAAUGAAAAUGUUCCAAAUGGGCAUGUGAAUGUGGUAUUUUCCUGGUCUUCUAAGGCUAUAGGGAUUUGAUAAUAGCCAGAGUAGCCAUCAAGAAAGCAGUAGUAAGGAUGUCCAGCUACUCUUUUGAGAAUUUGGUCUAGAAAUGGAAGGGGAAAAUGAACUUUUCUAGUGGCAUAAUUUAAUUUUCUAUAAUCAAUGCACAUGCGCCAACUAGAUGGAAUUUGUGUUGGGAUUGAUUCACCUUUUUUAUUUUUUACAACAGUUAUUCUAGAUUUUUUUAGUACUACUUGUGUUGGACUUACCAAUUUACUAUUAGAGAUAGGGUAGAUAAUUCCUACAUCUAAUAGUUUAAGGACCUCAUUUUUUACCACUUCUUUCAUAUGAGGGUUUAGUCUUCUUUGUGGUUGAUGGGUUGUUUUGGAAUUUUCCUCUAACUGUAUUCGGUGUGUGCAAAUUAAAGGAUUAAUGCCUUUUAUGUCUUUUAAGGUCCAACCAAAUGCAAUUUUAUGCCUUUUUAGUACAUAUAACAACUUACCCUCUUGAUCAUGUGUGAGUUGAGAAGAAAUUACCACCGGAUAUGUCUGCUGCUCUCCAAGAUAGACAUACUUCAAUUCUUCUGGUAAGGGCUUUAAUUCGAGCUCUGGUGCUUCCUCUUCGUUUGCUUCUUCAGGUUGUACCGUAUCUUCAAAGUUCGAUUGGUCAUCAUCACCUAUAGGUACCUGCAUAGAAUCAAGUGUAGGACAUAUGUUAGCAGUAUCAAAAUCUAAUUCCUUACUUGAUUCAACAGAACCAACAAAACAAAUUUCCGCAGAGUUUGUAAAAUUCUCAUCCUGAAUGUGUUCCUCAAUGAUUGGCUCAAUAAGAUAAAUUUCAUCAUUCUUAUUAUCAUCAUCUUCUUGGUGGUGAGGUUGUUUACACAUGUUAAACACAUUCAGUUCCAGUGUCAUGUCGCCAAAAGAUAAAUUCAUUAAUCCAUUCCUGCAAUUUAUCAAAGCAUUAGCAAUAGCUAAAAAUGGUCGACCCAAUAUAACAGGAAUUUGUUUGCAUUCAUUAGCAAUUGGUUCCGUUUCCAAAACAAUAAAAUCCACAGGAUAUAUGAAUUUAUCGACUUGGACUAAUACAUCUUCAAUUAUUCCUUUUGGAACCUUCAUCGAUCUAUCAGCAAGUAAAAGAGUGGUAGAAGUUGGUUUUAACUCACCAAGAUUGAGUUGUUGGUACACUGAGUAAGGAAGUAAAUUAACACUAGCACCAAGAUCAAGUAAAUCAUGUCCAAUUUUAUGAUCCCCAAUAGUGCAAGAAAUAGUUGGACAAUCAGGAUCCUUGUAUUUCAAAGCACUAUUGGUUGAGAGAAUGGAACUUACCUGUUCUGUUAGAAAAGCUCUCUUUUGCACCUUAUAUUUCUUUUUCACCGUGCACAGAUCUUUCAGAAAUUUAGCAUAGGAUGGCACCUAUUUAAUGACAUCCAGCAGAGGAAUGUUGACCUUUACUUGUUUAAAAAUUUCAUAAAUUUCUAGACUGUGGUUUCAUUUCUUUGGCUUGAUCAGUGCUUGAGGAAAUUAGGGUACAAGAAGAGAGUUGGUUACUUCUUCAUGGGUUAAAGGUUCGAUAAACUCUUCCAUAUUUUCUAAAAUUGAAUCUUUACUAGUUUCACGAUGGUCCACAAUGUGUUUUUCAACUACUUUACCACCACGAAGGGUUAUAACCGAUUUGACUUGACUCAUAUUUUGGUUUCCUGAAUUUCCCAUUUUAGGAUGUUGUUGACUCUUGGGGUUUGGUUCAGGUUGAGUAGGAAACUUUCCUUUUUCAUGUAUGGUCAGAGCAGAUGUAAGUUUGGAAAUAGUUUCUGUCAAAUUGGUUAAGAUUUGCAUCUUUUGGUUAUUGAUUGACUCUUUUUUUUCAAUAAACGAAUGCAAUGUGUCUUUCAGAGUUUUUCUUGGUGGUGGGACAUAUGGUGGGUAACUCUGGGAGUUUUGGAAAUUUUGACGUGGAGGGGCUGGUUGUGAAGGUUGUGCAUGAUUGUCAUUUCUCCAACUGAAAUUUGGGUGGUUUCUCCAACUAGAGUUGUAAGUUUGGGAGUAUGAAUUUGGAUUUGACUUUUUGAAAUUAUCAACGACAUCUACUUGUUCAUGCAGACUUUCUCUCAGAGCUGGUAAAGUUGGACAGUCCUGCGUAGAAUGGUCAGUAGAAUCGCAAACAUAACAUGAAAUAUUUUGAACAGACUUUACAUGAUCAUUCUUUUUCAACUCUAAUGCUUCGACUUUUCUAGCUAAUGAUGCAAAUUUGGCUUGAAAAUCAUGGUCUUCCCUAAGGUUAUGCAUGCCUCCACCAGAUGGAGAUGACUAGGGUUUGCUUGAUGACUCAUAAGAACCAACCGUAUCCCAGUGUUUUGCAUUUUCUGCUAUAUAGUCAAGAUAGUCUAAUGCAUCUUCAGGACUUUUAUCCCUAAACUCACCAUUACACAUCAUUUCAAUGACUUGUUUACCUUAGGAUGUUAAUCCCUCGUAGAAAUAAGACAUUAAUCUCCAUGUUUCAAAACCGUGAUGUGGACAAAUGUUAAGCAGUUCUUUAAACCUAUCCUAACAUUGGUAGAGAGUUUCUCAUGGUUUUUGAGUGAAAGUGGUGAUUUUGAAAUAAAAGUGUGCAACCCAAGAGGGGGGGUGAAUUAGAAUUUUAAAAAUUAUCCUAGCAAAUCUACACAACAAGCAAUCUAAUGUCUUAAUAAAAAUUGAAAGCAAUAAGUUCAAUAAAAGCACAAGAACGAAUGAGUAAGAGAGAAGAGAAACAAACACACGAAAUUUUACGUGGUUCGGCAAUCCCCGCCUACGUCCACGCCUCCAAGCGAUCCAAGCUUGAGGAUUUCACUAUCCGAGCCUUUCCAAGGCUUCAACCGUUUACAAUUGACUUCAAGGUGUCAAUGAACCUUUACAACAAAGAGAUUAUCUCUCAAUCUCUUCACUCAAGUGUCUCACACACUCAAACUUUUACAAUUAAGAUGAAGAAAUGAAAGUUACAAUAAAACUCACUCAAAAAGUAGAUAUUCAAAAAUGAAGAACAAGAAAUGAUUCAAUGUUUUGUGAUUUGCAAAUUGAAAGCUCAAGAUAUUUCGUGUGCUUUUUGUUUAUGCUUGGUGGAGAGCUUGAAAAUGAGUUGGAUUUGAGUUUAUAUAGUUUAAGCUAAAAAGCUAGCCGUUAUGCACAUUUUGGUCGUAAUCGGCUUGCCGUUUAGAAAUCUGGUAAGCUGCUUUUAUGUUACCGUUAAGGCAAAAAUUUGAAUUUCAGAAUAUCCGGCUUGCCGCUUUUCAUAUCCGGCAAGCCGCUUUUGAAAUCUGGAUUGCCGCUUGCGAAAUCCGGUAAGCCGUUUAUGCUCCAGAAGCUUACUGCUCAAAAUUUGGUUUGUCAUUUACCAUAUCCGGUAAACCGCUUGCUACAGUGACUGCUACAGUGAAAUAUUUCUUAAAUUUACAGCUUAACCUAAACUUUAUAAAAUUAUAUUAUGGCCCAAAAUGUUAUGAAAGUUUAUAAAUAGGUCUAAUUUCAUAAUUUUAAAUAAUACUUUGUCAAUCCCAAAACUUUAUGAAAUUAUGAUUUUGUCCAAACUAUGUGAAAUUAUAGAAUGACCCAAAAUAUUUAAAUAGUUUCAAAUAGGUCCAAAUCUGAAAUUUAAAACAUUAUCAAAGAUUUUAAAAUACUUUCAUUUUAGUCCAAAAUACUUUAAUUCCAUAACAUCAUUUUCUUAUUAUAAAAGCACAAUUCCUAAAUCUUUGCUUCAUCAAUACAUGUGGUUUGUUAUCAUCAAAAUCAAUCUUUAUAGGCAUAUAGGCUAACAGAUUUGUCUUUUGAAAGAAUUUGUUCUGUGGGAUGGGAAGAAUUUUUUCAAAAAUUGUGCUUGCAUUUCAUCCCAAGUUCUGAUGGAUUCUAACCUAAGAUUUUGUAGCCAAGUUUUAGCUUUAUCCUUUAGUGAGAAAGGAAAAAACUUAAGCCUGAUUAUAUUCAUGCUACAAUUUUGAUCAGUACAGAUGUUAUAGACUUCCACAAAUUCCCUUAAAUGCAAAUAUGAAUUUUCAGACUCAAAACCACGAAAAGUAGGAAGAAAUUGAAUGAUACCAGGUUUGAAAUUAAAACGUGAUGCAUCAGGAGGGAAAACUAUGCAUGAUGGUGACCCUGUUCUAGUAGGAUGCAUGAAAUCUCUAAGGGUCCUAGGUUGGUCAUGAAGAUCUUGCAAGGCUUGGUCAUAUUUAAGGGUGGUGAAGGUGAUUUUCUAAUUAAUCUACCACUAUUUGUACGAGACCAACGACGCAUGCAAUGCUAAUGAUGUGUGCUAAACUAAUGAUGCAAAAACGCUAAAUGAAAAUUGCAGAAAUAAAAGUAAACUGGAAAUUAAAUAAGCAAAAAAAAUACGAAUAAAAAUAAACACUGAAAAAUAAAUAAAUAAAUUAGGCGGUGAAACCAACCAUUAAAAGAAACAGUUUAGGCGGUAUUUUAAAACCAGCCAUAUAAUAAAACAUAAAAUUAAAUAAAUUAAUGCACAAAAAUAAAUAAACUGAAAUUAAAAUGCUAGGCGGUAGAACCGACCAUAUAAAUACAAAUACAUAAAUUAACAAAAUUUAAAUAACAGUCAAGCGGUAGAACUGACCAUUUAAAAUAAAUGCGGAAAGUAAAUUACAGAAAUUUAAAUAAAUAAAUUUGAUUUGAGGACUGAUUUGCAAAGGUUUUUGGGCUAAGAUGAAGUUUUUCACAAAUUUUAUGGAUAAUGUUAAGGUUUGAAAAGAAGAGGGGUGCUAACUAAAGUUUUACAAAAAGAGAAUCAAAUAGAAUCACGGAAAGAUGGUAACGACAAAACAAACAAAAAUAAAUUAAAAUAAAAUAAAAAUAAAGUAAAGACAAACGAAUACCAAAUUUAGAAAACUCCCCGGCAAUGGCGCCAAAAACUUGACACUACUCAAAAGUGUGUUACUCUCAAGUAUAAGAGUGUCUAGUUAUAAUAUAACCCGGUGAGACCGGGGUCGAACCACAUGGAGUUUUAAAUCUAGUAAAACUAAGAAAAUUAAUUGUGGGGAAAAGAAAUUAUUUGAAAUCAAUUUAAAAAUAAGUUAAGGUUUAGGAUCCACUCUUUGUAUUCAAACUAUAAUUUUAAUACUCUCUUAUUUAUAUUUUGCCUCACUUUUACCAAUUAAUUAUUAUAUCAUUUAAUUCUAUGUGUGUGGAUAAAUAUAGAAUAAAGUACCUAAUGUGCCACACUAUAUUAAUGUGUCGACAUUAUGUCAAAAUACCAUAAAAUCCAGUAGAUUUAUAAAUUAACAUGAUAUAAAAAUAAUUAGAAAAGAAUUAAAAAAAAACUCAUUUGAGAAAAUAAUAAUAAUUAAUAGUUUGAAACAUUGAGCUUCACUCUUCACCUCAGCUUAAUAAAAUUAGCUGCUCAUAUUGAAAGAAAACACAACAAUUUUUUUAUUUGAUAAACGUUUGAAAUAUAUUACAAAGAAAAUUGAUACAAACGGAAAUAAGAAAAGAAACAAAGAAAGAAAGAAAAUCUUCAGUCUCGGCUUCAGCUCUCAAAUUUUGCUCUCCAGCUUCCCCUCGCUCUUCAAUUUCUCCUCCCUUUUUAUAGGCAACAAUUGCCUUUAACUUUCUUUAUUUUAUUAUUUAUUUAUUAUUUUAUCAUUAUUUUGAAAUUAUAUAAGUGUGUUGAAAUAUGUGAUGGUCAGGAGGCGUAAUGGCCUCCUGACCAUCACCAACAUGUUUUUGUUCUUUUGUUCUUUUUUUUAUUGAUUAUUUAUUAUUACAUCUCUUCAAUUUUGUUCCAGUAGUUCUUCUCUGUUUCUGCUUUCAAUUCCAAGUCCAUCUUUAUUCCUGAAAAAUAUUUACAAGAUAAAAAUUAACAAAUUACGAAUUAAUUUAACAUAAAAUAUAUUUGGGGAAUAUUAAAAUAAUUUAGAAAUAAUGAACGCAUUAAUCGACACAAUAAGUGAAAAGCUAAUAAUUUUAUCCUUAUUAAAUGUACACGUUUUAGUGUCAAUCACACCCCCAACCAGCUUAUUAUUAGGCCCUAGCAAUUUAAGCGAUAAACGUUUAGUAAAAUUUCAAACUCAAAUUGAAAAUCAUUUUUUUUUAAAUUGUGUUUACUUCUUCCAUCAAAUUAAAUGUGAAUUUGAUAAAGUUGAAAAUACCAUAUGCUAUUAUAAUGAUCAAUAUUUUAUAAAGAUACCAGAUCCAUGGGGGAAAACGAUUAUGUUAGAAUAUAACAAGGAAUAAAUUGAUACCCUAAGAAAUAGGAUCAGAUUUGCUCGAAAUAGAAUUAGUGAACCGUAUGUUGAAAAAAGAGUUAAGAGACUUUGGUAAAGUCCCCAUAGUUCAGCUUCCAUAAUGGAAUAACUACCCAAAUUCAUGCUAAACCCGCAAACCCAUUCCCUACAAUAAUUCCUCACCAAGCCACCACAAUUAGCCAAUCCCGAUCUCUUCAAAGCCUCAUCAGUAUUGAGCUUGAAGAAUGACCACUUUGGGGGCUGCCAAUAGAUCCAUCUUUUAGUUUUUGGAACUCUCUGACUAUCUAAAGACUUUAUAAGCAGCGAUGCUUUUUUCCGUGCGAUUGUUCACAUUCACAAUUACAUUGUGAAGGCUGCUUGAUUUGUGCGCAUAAACGAACUCAUUGUGCCAAUACCACAUGCGCCAGACAUGACGCCAAAUAACAUUGACCUAUCCUUCUCAUUAGUGAUCCUCAAGUGGUUUUUCAUAUUAUAAACAAUCCAUGCACGAACAUCCAAUGUAAAAAAGGUAUGACUUGUGUGUUUCGAAAUAAGGGCUAACCAAAUGCGUUUAGAGUCAACAUAAUCCCCGACUGCAUGGAGAGCAUCCUCUAUGAUAUGCCCACACCGCAUGCAAGUACUAUCAUUAAGCACAUGUCUUCGCGAUAAUUUAGCAUUAUUUUUCAAUCUAUUAUGCAUCAGCAGCCAAAGAAAGCACUGAAUGCUUUGGGGGCCUCUCCAUAUCCAAAUCAAAACCCAAAGGGAAUUAUUUUCAUUUAGCAUCGGUCUAAAGAGGGAUAAAUAAGCUGACCUCACGCUAAACGAACCAGACCGCGAUGGACCCCAAUAACAACAGUCAACUUCAUCGCUAACAGAAGGGGGCAUAGUGCCUGCUAUUUUGAGAAUUAUAUGGUGGGGUAGAAAAGAAGCAAAACAGUCCCAGUUGCAAGCACCAUUAUUAUCGAUAAAAUUAGCUACACACUCAUUUAAUAUGUUUUCAGUGAUUGUACCGAAAGUAUAAGAUUGCAACCAACGCCCAUCCUCCAGCCCAUAAUCUUUCCAAAAUCUAGCCAACUUCCUAUUCCUAAUAGCCCAGCGAGUCCCUUAGAGAACCUCAUUCCAUACGUUUCCCACGAAUUUUCAUAAAGGAGAACUAUAUCAAGUAGGACGUUUUAGAGGAAGGUUUUCUUUAUCAACGCCAUAUUUAAAUAUCAAUACUUGAAUCUAGAAGCUGUAGGGUGAUUCAAUAUGACCCCAACCAAUUUUCAUUAGUAAGGCUUUAUUCAUGAGAUUAAGAUCUUUAAGGCCAAGGCCCCCACAUAAAUUAAGGAGUUGUACUCUAUCCCACUUAAUAAGGUGUAUGCGAUGAGUCUCGUCAAUCUCGUUCUAGAUAAAAUGCUUGCAAAUCUGAUCAAUUUUAUUACGAAUACUUAGAGGUAGCAUGAAGGUCUACAUGGAAUAAGUUGGGAGAGCCAGAAUGAUCGACUGCAUUAAUGUUAUCGGACCUACAAGAGAAAGAUGUUUGGUUGUCCAGCCCGGAAGUCUCUGUAGUGCUAAUGGUGGUCAAGGAUAAGGUACCAGUUUCAGUGGGAGACAUUGAGUUUGCAUGAGAAAUCUGGGAGAUUUCAUAGAGAAUGUAUGAGUUAGUGACAAUGGUAAACAUGAUUAAACGCGUGAACUAACAUAAAAUGAAAUACAAAAACUAAAUGAUAAAGCACGAGUUUUGAAUAACAUUUAUUCUUCAAUCCACCAUCAAUUAAACAGAAGCAAGCCACUGUCAUUCUAAGUAAACAAACAUAACAAAACCACCUACAUAGGAAUAAUUUUUCAAUAUAGGAAUCUUGAACUUUUCAUGAAAAAAAAUCAGUUUACAAUAUUAGAGGUACGUGAAAAAUAAAGUUUAUAACAUUGUAUUAGUGGCUUGAGCAAUGCUUUUUGCCACUACGUUUUUUGUUGUUGUCUCUUUUGUGAAAUCAAGCCCCGUAGCCAAAGUCUCUCUGAUAGUAUUGAUGUUGCUGCCACCGGGCAAAUGAUGAGCAACAAAAAAACUGCUUAAAACAUUGCAGUAACUUUAAAACAAGGCAUGAAAUUAAAAGGAAGAGAAUAGAUGAUGCACUUUUGAAGGUAGAAAAGAAGGAUGAUUCAAGAUUCAUUUCAAAUUUUUUUGAAGUGUUUUGAUUAGUGAAUAUCCAAAGGCUGCUUAACUACAAAGGUGAAGUGGGAAGAAAUUUUGACAUUUUGUUACAUUGAGCUAGCCAGCGAAUGUCUAUGAGGGGCUUCACUUGUACACAUAAAAAAGGAAGAUUAAUUACUCGUGGUUUUUUAUUCAGAAAAAAAAUGGCUUGCUUAAAAUAUAGAGUGUGGUUAAUUUCAUUGAAGGACAUGAUUCAAAGGAAAAGAAAAAUAAAUCUAAUAAUCAACUAAACAAAAAAUAAUGCCAAAAACAAUAAAUUUAAUUAAAUGUACAGUGAAAUUACCUUUAUAAUGCAACAAGAUAUUAAAAUCAAUAGUUAAUGCUAAUAAAUGAAGCGUAAUUUAUUUAAUACUUAUUUAUGGACUCUUUCAAUUCCAUUAAAGCCACUGCAAGUCGUUUUUUAAUAUUCGCUGAGAUAAAUAGAGGCUCAUGCCUUUCUGAUUCUUCCACAUCUCUUUCAAUUCUAAUUAAGCCGUUUGCAAUUCUCUUAAGAAAUUAAAAAAUGUCGAAGAGUCUUACUUUCAUCAUUUUGGCUUUGCUUGUAGUGGCAAACACUAAAAACAUGCUUAUUUCAGCCAGUAGAACUAGCCAAGGAUCUAAGCCAGAGGCUUUAUUUUCUAUUAACCCUAUAGCAUCACCUGACAUUGUUGAUUGCUCAGGGCUCACAAGUGAAGAGUGUUUGAUCGAGUUGAUUAAGAAAGCACUUGUAGACUAUCGAUACCCCUGCCCUGAGGGGGGGUGCAAAUGAUAUUGUUAAUAAGUUAUUUCUUUUACCUUGUAGGAGUGCUUUUGCAAUAACGAUCAAUUACAGUGAAAUUGAAUUCGUGUUUUUAAUAAAAUAAAACAUUAAUCCAUUAUGCAUAGGUAAUAUUAUGUCAUAUGUUUUUGGUGUGUGUAUCUCCUACUGCUUUGUUAUAGAUGCAUCGUCGAAUCAAUCUUCCAGAAAUCAGUUUCUUUAAAUAAUAGAAAUUAUCAACCAAUCAACAUUACUAUGUUGGUACCAUUUGUAAUAUUUAAAUUUUAAGUCUAUCUACUUUUAGGGUGAGAUUAUUGAUUCCUAAGAAAAAUAAUAAAAUAAACCCUCAUUAUCGAAAUCCUAUAUUACUAAGCUGUCUGAUUUAAUUUAAUGUUAAACUUUAAUUUAACCCCUGAAAAUGUCCAGACUUACCUACAUUUAUUGCUAAGAAUAUGAUUUAAAAGUUCAUUAAUGUGCACCUCAUUUAUGCUCAUCUUUUGAAGAACAAAUAGGGUGGAUUGAGAUUUUCAUACUUUUGGAGGGUAAAUUAAAGAUAGUUAUUAGGAGGGAACAAAUUGAAGUUUGUUUUUAAAUGCAAAGAUGUAUUCUUUUCGUUUAUUUGAGAUAGUUCGUUUGACUUUAAUUUAACAUAUGUUUUUGUAAUUGAAAUAUAGAUACUUCUUUAUUUUUGUUAUUCAGCUAAGUAAUAUAAUAUUUAUAUUUAAUUGAUCACUUAAAAAAUGUUUAUGCAUUAAUAUGUUAAUUUUUCGCUGCUUGGAAGGUAAGAAUUUUUUUUUUAUAAGAAAAUAAUGCAAGCAACAAUAAGAAUUAAGAUUAAUCAUAUAAUGAUGCAAACUAUGGACAUGCUAAUUAGUUGGUACACGGAAUCUUAAUCAAUGAUGUCCGGUUUCAGCUUUCCUUGUUUUUUCUUUCUUCGGUAAUGCUCUUGAGAUGUUAUGAAUUAAAUAAACAUAUGUUCCCAAUUAUGCACUCUUAUCAUAUAGGGAGCAUCAUAAACAGAGGAAAAAAAAAUUUCAAGUUUGGUGACCAAAAAGACUUGAAACAAUGCCUAAUGUCUUUGAAAGAAGUAGGGGAUUCAACACAACUGUGUGGACUGAAUAGAGAAGUAGUAGCAAAUAGAACACUCAACAUAAAAGGCACCAAACAAAAUACAGUUAAAAGGUUGUUACAAGUGAAUAAAAGUUACAGAUUUUAUUUUGAAAUUAAAUUCUAAAAAUAAAUUCAAGAGUUAGUGUUUCAUUUUCUGGAUGUAAAUGCCCUUCACCAAUUUCAUUUUAAAAACACACCAAAAUCCAAGUAAUUUUUUUGCUCACCUCUCUCAACUAAAAUCUUUCUAUCUUAGACUUCACGUGAUGGAGUUCCAACACUAGUUUGAAGUUCGCAAGAGUAGUGAGAUUAUGUUGCCGAGACCAUUUGACUUUGUAAUAUCCUAAGGGACAGUUGCUAAUAUAACCUAAGUACUACUGAGAAAAUGACAAAUCCUUUUUAAGGACAUUGUAACUGCACAUGCCUCAGUUUUAAUUUUAUGUUCUUCUCUUUUCUUAUUGAUCUAUACUAGAGAAAAUAUCUCUACACUAACUCUGUUUUUAUCAUAUGUACAUCUAGACACCACAAAAUUUUAACAUGUUCUUUGCACCACCAUCAUUUCUGAACUUGUAUUAAUCGACUAAUUUGACAAUAAUAAUUAAAAUAAAAUGACCAUUUUACCCCUAAGUGAUCUAAAAGACCAUUUUAUCCCACGAAAUUUUUAAUUAAAAAAAUAUGAUUACCAUUUAAUUAAUUGAUAAAAUAUUAUUGAAAAAUCAACCUGCGAGUACUAUUUAAUUAAUGGAUAAAAUAUUAUUGAUUUUUUCAAUUCUUUUGACCAAACAAAUGUGUAAUUCUCAUCUUAAAUAUUUUCCUUUUUUUUUAUCAAUCUUACAGUCACAAUUAUCAAACAAUUUUCAUUUUUUAAAUUAAUCACCAAAAUAACAAUAGUUUGAACCAAUUUUGAAUAAUAAAAAUUAUAAAUUGGAAAAUGUAUCGAGUAAAAAUUAUAAUUAUAAAAAUUAACAUCGCAGAUUUUGAGAUUUUUUUCUAUUAAAUCAAAGGUAUUCUCAUGACUAUAAUUUUUUUUUUCAAAACUUUUGUAGGAUAAAAUAGUCUUUCAUUUCAUUCAAGAAUAAAAUGGUCAUUUUAUUUCAUUUCUUAGUGUGAAAGUAGUUCACUGAAAGAACUUUAGAAACAAAGUGGUGAAAGAACAAGUUAAAAAUUUGUGGUAGUUAGAUAUAUGUAUGACAAAACAGUGGUGGUGCAGAGAUAAUUUCCCUUAAUACUAUUGACAAGUGUGUAGCUAGCUUACUAGUAAACUUAGGCACUCUUAGAAAGAUUCUAAAGCAAAAGUAAUGCCUGAAAAAUCUAGAUUUAAGUAAGGCCAUUUGUGACCCUUUUAGUCUUUUCUAAGAACUCAACUGGUAUAUUUUUUCAUACACUAUGGAUUGUUUUAUGUCAUUUAUUGGCAAUAAUUUUCAACAUAUAUUCCCAAACUUUACCAUUAUAUAGCUUGAAGUUCAUAGGACUUUGGAAUCAGAUCAUUUACAACAAUCUUUACAAGGUGAUAAUGAUACGGAGAGCAUAUGUAAAUUUUAAGUCAAUCAGUAUGAGGGCGCCUUCAACUUAAUUGGGGUCUUCACUUUUAAGGCACUACCGGGGUGGUCAUUGCCCUCAUUGCUUAUGUACCUUAACUUCAUAUAGAUUUUUACUUUUUUCGAUCCCCUUUUUGGAGCAUAAGUAGAUUGUCGAUUAAUGCCAAACGCAUAAGAAUAUGGUCAGAUGCCUAGAUUAUAGAAAAAUAACGAAAUUUAAAGUAAUACAUCAGACUGCUGAUGUAUUAACAUUAUAUUGAAAUUUAAUAUUUGGCUACCAACAAGCACAUAUUAUAUAAAAAGAAUUAAACAAGCAAAUAAGCAUAAAGUGAAAUACUUAAAUAGAAUGAUAGAGCGCAUGUUUUGGAAAAGUUUAUUCCUCAAUCCACCACUAAUUAAAUAGAAGCAAGUCACUGUCAUUCUAUGUAAACAUACAUAAACAAUCACGUACUUAGGAAUAAUUUUUUGAUUUGGGAAUCUUGAAUUUUUCAUUAAAAAAUUAGUUUACAAUAUUAUAAGUACGUGAAAAAGAAAGUGAUCGUGUACGAGGGUUUUUUGCAUUACCGAUCAAUUGCAGUGAAAUCAAAGCUGCGUUUUAAUAAAAAGAAGAAAAGGAUCACACAUACAUAGUUCAUACUUCUAAAUGUUGGAUUAAAAUUUAUUAAAACACAACACGGGCGAAGUCACUAGCAAAUAGCAAAGAAUAGCAAAGUCAUUCUUCGGGAAUAUAUUGAAUAUCACUCUAGAUAUGUUACAGUAGUAAACUUCACUCCAUUUUAUUAGAAGUAAUAGGACCAUUUGGUCCAUAUAUUGAAGAUGUAUCUACCUACAAAAGCAUAGUUAAUGGCCAACAAUAUCUCAUCUUAACCACACCAGAGACAUCAUUUACAAUGCAUAAGCUAAAUUAGUAUAUGGCUGCUCCUACACUUCAAAAUCUAAUGGCUUGUAAACGAGUGUUAAGGUACUUAAAGGAACUGGAAGAUAUGGAUGAAACUAAUUGGAUUCACAGAUACAGAGUAGGUAUGUGAUUUGGAUGACAAAAAAUCUAUUGGAGUUUACUACGUAUACUUGGGAAACAAUUUAAUACAUGGUCAUCAAAGAAGCAAUCUAUGGUAGCAAGGUCCAGUGCAGAAAGUGAAUAUAGAGCACUUGCAGAAUUAACUUGGUUGCAAUCAUUAUUCAGUGAAAUCAAAAUACAACGUACAUUAGUUCCAUCAAUUUGGUGUGGUAAUGCAAGUGCCACUGAAUUAUCCAAGAAUCCAAUCUAUCACUCAAGAACUAAACAUAUUGAGUUGGAUAUGCACAUUGUGAGAGGCAAAAUACUUGUAAAAGAACUUUUAAUCAGUUAUAUAACAUGUGCAGAACAAAUUGCCCAAUUAUAUCUUUACAUAUUAAUUUUGCUAGUAUAAUAUCCUUGAGAAUAAUUUGAAUCAAAUGAUUUUGUUACUUUGGUAGUAAUUAAAUAAUAUUAGAUUGAAUUGCUGUGUCAUUUGUUUAGCUUAUUUUAACCCUAUGUAAAAUUAGCUUCGGCAAGUAAAAUGAAAUUUACAUUAUUAAAAUCAUUGUUUGUGGUAAUAAAAGUUCACUUGGAAUUUUAUAAUAUCAACUUGAAAUUUAACUCAAAGUAUUGGUAGUUAAGGAUUUUAAUAGAAAUAUUAAAUAGAAACAAGUAGUUAACAAGUUAAAACAAGUAAACCUAUAAUUGAGUAUGUUUAACUAAAAUUAGGGGCUAAUUUAACAAAAAGUUAAACAAUAGAAAGUAAAUUUGGCAUUUAACCCAAAUAGUUAAAAUUUUACCAAGUUAUUGGAAAUACUCAAACAAAAGUAUUGAAAUAAUAGUUGAAACACAUAAGUUAAAAAGGAAUAAAAUAUUAACCAAAUUCUAAUUUUAAAACUCAUCCAAUAAGAAAUGAAUUUAAUUAGAAUUUAACAAAAAGUAUUGGUAUUUAAUAAACUUAAUAUGAACAUUAAACGCAUAGCUGGUAGAUUUAUAAGUUAGAAAUAUGUAAACCUAGAAGUAAGAAGGUUUAACCAAAAUUAAGGCAUAAAAAAUAUAUAAAAAAUUCCAAUUGGUAUUUAAAUUAAAUAAUUGCAACCUUACCUAAUCAGUAGGAAUAUUCAACAAAAAAAUAGUGGAAUAAUUAGUUGAACCAUAUGAACCUAGAAGGGAGAAAAUUUAAGCAAAAUUAGGAACUUAUCCAAUGAGAAUGAACAUUAUUUGGAAUCUAACCCAAAAUUGGUAUUAAAUGAACGUAGUAGGAAUAUAAAACACAAAACUGGUAAACUACUAAUUAAGUUGAAGCUUGUGGACCUAUAAGUGAGAAAAAUUAACCAAAAUUAGAGACCAGUUUAACCAAAAAUAAAAUUAUAAAAAUUAAAUUUGGUGCUUACCCUCAAUAAUUAGAAUCUUAUUAAGUUAAUAGAAGUAUUCGAUACCAAAAUUAUGGAAAUUAGUAGUUGAAACUGGAAACCAUAAGAGAGAAAGUUCAAGUAAAAUUUGGAACUCAUCCACCAGAAAUAAAUUUAACUUGGAAUCUAACCAAAAUAUUGGUAUUGAAUGAAUAUAGUAGGAACAUCAAACACAAAACUAGAGGACUAAUAUGUUGAAAUAUGUGAACCAAUAAAUGAGAAAGUUAACCAAAGUUAAAGCCUAUUCUAACAAAAAAAAAUUAUAAAAAUUAAAGCUAUUAUUUAUUUCAAAUAAUUGAAAUUGUACUAAGUUACUAUAAAUAUUCAACACAAAUGAAAUAAUUAGUUGAGACAAGAACUCGUAAGAGAGAAAUUUUAAGCAAAAUUAGGAAAUCUUUAAAUGAAAAAUGAAAGUUGGAAUAUAACUUAAAAUAUUGGUAUCGAAUUUGGUACGAAUAUCAAAUACAAAAUUGAUGGACUAAUAACUUGAAACGUGGGAAACCAUAAGUGAAAAAGCUUAAGCAAAAUUAACGACUAGUCUAAGAAAAUAUAAUUGUUAUAUUUAACCCAAAUAAUUGAAAUCUUACUAAAUUAAUGAGAAUGCACAAUGUUCCUAUUGAAUUCCUUAAAUACUAAUAUAUUGGGUUAGAAUGUAAGUAAAGUCAUUUCCUAUUGGAUAAGUUCACAUUUUCGUUAUAUUUUCUACUAUUUGGGCUCAGUAGUUUCAAUUAAUUAUUCCAUCAUUUUGGUGUUGAGCAUUUCCAUUAACUUUGUAAGAUUCCAAUUAUAUAGGUUAGAUACUAAAUUUUUAUUUUUUAUAAAUUUAGUUUUGUUAGAUUAGUAACUUAUUUUGGUUAAACUUAUAGGUUCGUUUAUUCACUUUUAAGUUCACUAUUUUCGUGUUUUAUAUUCCUACUAAUGUCGUUAAAUACCAAUAUUUUGAGUUAGAUUUUAAACAACUUUCAUUUCUAUGAGAUGAGUUCAUAAUUUUAGUUCAACCUCAUUUCAUGUGGGUUUAUAUAUUUCAACUAUUAUUCCACUAAUUUUGUUCAGAAUAUAAAAAUGGAAGAAAUAGUUAUUUAUUUUGUAAAUAAUGGAGGAUAUAAUUUAAUGAUAGAUAGUAAAUAUAGACAAUAUUAUUAUUCAGAACAAAAUAUAUUAGAUGAUAACAACUAGAACAAUUGUAUUUUUCCGGAGAGCUCAUGAAAUUAGAAUUGGAGAACUCAUAAUAAUAAAGAAUUGAAAUUUCAACAUAGAUCCUAUUCUCCUAUUCACAGUUAGGAGAGAGGUUUAUAGAAAUAAUUUUUCAUAGAAAUAAUGGAAUAUUAAUUAUGUUGAGGAUUAUAUAGAUGAACUUGUGAUUGAUUAUAAUAGAUUUUUAACUAUUAAGCAAAGAGAUGAAUACAAUUGGAAUAAAUAAAGGAUCAGAAGUGAAUACUAUCCUUCUAGCAACAUUCUAAUAGGAUACAAAGAUUUAAUUAUAUAUAAGCUUUGUUAUAUACAUAAAGGAUUAGAAGAAAACAAUAUUUCUAAGGAUAUAAAAAAUAUUAUAUAUCACAAAUACUUGAUAGAAUAUAAUGAAAUAUUAUACAUAUGGUAUUAUGAAUAUAUUACUAGAACCAUUGAUAAUUUCAAAAAAUAUAGAAACCAAUAAAUUUCCACCUUCUCGCUAUAGGCAUAGAGGAUUUACUUAUGAAAGAUUUCAACCAUUUGAUUUGGUAAAUGAUUUUGAUAUGUAAGGAAGUAAUAAGUUAAACUAGAUUUCUCUAUAUUUAUUAAAUAAAUUUGGAAAUCCUAAUUUAACCAUAAAUGAUAUAGAAGAAAGUACAAAUGAAAUACUUGAAAUUAAAAGCUUUAAUACUGAAAAUAUAACACAAGUUAAAAUGUUAAAAGAUCAAAUGAGUGAAGAAUUUGAUUCACUCAAACAAUUAUAAAAGACUUCAAAAUUGAAGAUUAAGAUAGAUUGAAAUAAGAAAUCAUUAAUGUCAUGAACAAAAAUUCAAUUGAAGAUCAAUUACAUAAAAUUGGAAAAAUCAUUGAACAACUUGGUAAUAAGUGACAAGACUCAAAAGUGUAUUACUCUCAAGUAUAAGAGUGUCUAGUUAUAAUAUAACUUGGUGAGACCGGGGUCGAACCACAUGGAGUUUUAAAUCUAGUAAAAGUAAGAAAACUAAUUGCGGGGAAAAGAAAUUAUUUGAAAUCAAUUUAAAAAUAAGCUAAGGUUUAGGAUCCACUCUCUGUAUUCAAACAAUAAUUUUAAUACUCUCUCAUUUAUAUUUUGCCUCAUUUUUACCAAUUAAUUAUUAUAUCAUUUAAUUCUAUGUGUGUGGAUAAAUAUAGAAUAAAGUACCUGAUGUGCCACACUAUAUUAAUGUGUCGAUAUUAUGUCAAAAUACCAUAAAAUCCAGUUAGAUUUAUAAAUUAACAUGAUAUAAAAAUAAUUAAAAAAGAAUUAAAAAAACUCAUUUGAGAAAAUAAUAAUAAUUAAUAGUUUGAAACAUUGAGCUUCACUCUUCACCUCAGCUUAAUAAAAUUAGCUACUCAUAUUAAUAGAAAACACAACACUCUUUUUAUUUGAUAAAAUGUUUGAAAUAUAUUAUAAAGAAAAUUGAUACAAACGGAAAUAAGAAAAGAAAAAAAACAAAGAAAGAAGAAAAUCUUCAGUCUCGGCUUCAGCUCUCAAAUUUUGCUCUCCAAUUUCCCCCCGCUCUUCAAUUUCUCUCCCUUUUUAUAGCAACAAUGAUUUAACUUUCUUUAUUUAUAUUUAUUUUAUUAUUUAUUUAUUAUUUUAAAAUAUAUAAGUGUGUUGAAAUGUGUGAUGGUCAGGAGGCAUAAUGGCCUCCUGACCAUCACCAACGUGUUUUUGUUCUUUUGUUCUUUUAUUUUUUAUUUUUUAUUUUUAUUUUAUUGAUUAUUUAUUAUUACAUCUCUUCAAUUUUGUUCCAGUAGUUCUUCUUUGUUCUCGCUUUUAAUUUCAAUUCCAUCUUUAUUCAUGAAAAAUAUUUACAAGAUAAAAAUUAACAAAUUACGAAUUAAUUUAACAUAAAAUAUAUUUGGGGAGUAUUAAAAUAAUUUAGAAAUAAUGAACGCAUUAAUCGACACAAGAAGUGAAAAACUAAUAAUUUUAUCCUUAUUAAAUGUACACUUUUUAGUGUCAAUCACACCCCCCAACCAGCUUAUUGUUAGGCCCUAGCAAUUUAAGCGAUAAAAGUUUAGUAAAAUUUCAAACUCAAAUUGAAAAUCAUUUUUUUAAAAAAUUGUGUUUACUUCUUUCAUCAGAUUAAUGACAACAAUCAAAUAAAAGUAUAAGCAUUAUCUUCAGCCUGAAGAAAAUCACACCCGCUCAAAAUAGUUCAGUAAAAUCUUGUAAAAUGAUCAAUUAUCAGAGCUACAUUAAUCAAGCCACUUUUAAGAAUGAUACAUCAAACCCCAAAAUCUCACGAUUAAGAGUGACUAUCUCAAAAGAAGAUAUACCCCAAAUUAAUUUGUCACUCUAAAAAAAUGGUAAAUUUGAGAGAAUAAUAAAACAAUAUCACACGCUCUCACCAAGAUAAAAAUUAAUGCCCACAACUUAGAAAUAAAAUGAUAUCAAAUCCAAUGAAUUACUAGCAAAAUUUAUUUUUAUUUUUACUCAUCACCACAUCUUUUAGUCCAUAUUACCAGCUUUUACUUCAGAUUAUAAUUCCCAAAAAUCGAGAAGGACUUUUAUUAGGACGUAACGUAGGCUAUGGUUAUGGCUAACAAAAAAGGUGAUAGGGAAAAUAAAAAUAUAUGUUUGAAAAAUAGGGGACUUUUUGGAGAUUAUAAGGUGCUCUUUUUUUUUUUUCUCAGGUUCAAAGGGGUUAACUAUGGAUUCUUUAUAAUAGGGUUGGAUAGAAAGGCUCAAACGGAUCAAAGAUGGCCUUCUGUCAUCUUUUAGGGUUCUAUAUAAUCUUUCAUAUCCACUAGUUCAAUGGACUAUUAUAUGCGGCUGCACAAACUUUUUUUUUUAAUAUUGAGAUCUUGUACAAUAAAUUGUGAAGCUGUAUAGGCAAACAAGGUUACUCUCCAAGGAUAACAAACUCAAAAACUCGCUUGGUCUUUUUAUAACAUGUACAUUCAUCCAAAUGGCUUAAUCAAUUUCACUCAUUCAAUUUCUCAAUUUACGUUUCAACAUGCAAAGGGAAAAACAUAGUGUAAUAUAACUCAAGGCCAAAGAUAAUAUGAGUACCAAAAUUUGAAAAUCAUCAUGUUAUCCAAUGUUAAAAGAUCACAUCAAAAAAGAAAAUAAUUUUUUUUAAAGAAAGCACUAAAAAAUUGGGACUAAUUGUAGAAACUUAAGGGAGAUGAUUAAAAGAAAAAGACCGAAAACAACAAGUUAGAAACAUUGUUUUUUGGAAGAAAUCACAAAAAUUAAGAAGAUGCGUUUCUAGAGACAUUACAUUCUAUAUUCUGUCAUCUUCGACUCAAAUUUUUAUCCAAAGUUAGUCUUUACAACAAAAAUUAGUAAAAACAUCACUAGGAAUGAGACAUUCCAUAAUUAUCAACUAUUCCCUCCCCCCAACCUGAAGGAGACAUUGUCCUCAAUGUCUAAAGAAAGGAGUAGAGUUUAGACGAUAUCACCUGGUCACUGCUGGAAAUAUUUACAGACGGAGAGUUAAAUCUAAUUUACACUUUUUACGAGAGUUACUGCCAUCGUUAUCAAUUGCCCAAUCCAACACCAAAGUCAUGGGAUCUGGCUUUGGUUUGUAAGCUUGCAAAAGAGUGCAAAAGAUCAAGUAACUCAUUAGCAGUAUGAGCACAAAUGAAGAGUUUUUUCGCUGAGGAUGGAAUGAAAUAAUUUUUUAUUACAUGAUUAAGAAAUGUUAUUAAGCCAUUAUAAAAGUUAUUAACAUUUAACAAACCGAUUGGUUUUUUAUGGAUAUUAAAAUGGGUCCAGUAAGCAAAUGUAAUUAGCGCCUCCAAAGUUGCAAGGUCUCCUGGCAAGAAAAUAAAAACGUCAGCAUGAUUUAACAUUUCGGAUAUUCUUUCUUGCAUACUUGAGACAACUAACUCUUCUCCAGUUGGUGAGUCUGGUAGCCAUCCUAAAGGUUUUAAGGCUUUUGAAAUGAUGCCUAGCACUUGGCUUCCUCGAACGAAAGCAGCUUCAGAGACAAGCUUUGAUAACCCUCGGUCACCUCCUCCAUAUACAAGAUGUAGUUUCCUCUCUGCUAUAGCACGACCAAGAUCUACGGCUACUUAAACGAACUCCUUAAACUUUCCAUAGCGAAAUCUAGAAAGCACACAAAUGUUUUUAAGUUGACUGCUUGAAGUUGCUGCCAUUACAAAAAUUCUAAAAAGAAACAAUUUGUGAGUGCUUGAAAAGGAGUUCCUAUUUAAGGAUCUUGGUGACGGACAUAAUGAUGUACAUUUGUAAAUGGGGUGGUGUGUUUGUUAAAUGACGUGUGAAGCUUUUAGCUUAAUAAUUCAAAUGCAAACAGUGAAAAGAAAAAGUAAAUUGUGAUUAGAUAAAAAAAACAAUAAUAAUAAUAAUGCAAAAUAUAAAAGAACAGUAAAAUAAAAGGAUAUUUACUGGUAGUUGUAAUUGUGGCUUACAUCUUCCUCUGAUUUUACAUCCAGUAACGGCUUGAACGCCCUCUAUGGGUCGAGGAUAGGGUUCCCAUCCAGUUUUCUUAUAAACUGGCAAACAAGGUCUUUUAGAGUCAGAUUCCCAAGACUAAACUGUGCACUUUCCUUUUGGAACAGCUUCAACAAAUUUUGAAUUUCACGUUGAACAUAUAUGCUCGGAUGCAUCUCAAGAGAUCGUAAGAUAUCAUCCAACGAUUCUUUACUCAUGCUAUCCUUAACGAAUUUGAUUUUAUCUUCACGAUUUACAGAAAUCAUUCCUAAAGCUUUACAACGUGGAUUUUUGCAAGCAAGUCUUACACAAUGAGAACAUUCAGAGCCAAGUCGCUUAGCUCUUCUUUUUUUAGCAAAUGUACUUUUACCAAAACCAGGCAUGUAGGAAAUGAAUAGAUCAGAAAACUCACCUUCCAAUCGGACCUUUGCUUCGAUUAACUAUCGAAUGUCAGCAGGAAUCCCAUUGAUCAUUAACAAACACAGUUGUUCACAACGAGCUUUGUAACUCUUCUUAAGAGCAUUUUGAGGGAGAGAAGGAAAAUGUUGAUGCAAAUUUUGUUGUAUUUCUUCCAUGCUUGACAUUGAGGUUUCAGUUAUUGUGGGAAACUGAGAAUGCCGACUUAAAAAGUCACGGAGUACCGUUAUCCGUCAUUUAUACGAGAGAGUGAAUCAAAACAAAACAAAUCAAAUCUGCAAAAUCAAAUCAAAAGUGAAAAAUAGCAACAAAAUAAAACAAAAACACACAAGGAAUAUAACACACCUUCGUCCUUUUAUUGAAUCCAGUUCCAAUUGCAGAUUAUAAAUACCAUCAUCUAUUUCCUUGAGUUGUCUUUCUAGAUCUUUCACGUGAGAUACUAACUCUGGUGGUUGCAGAUCCCAAAUGGGAUGUAAUUUACAAAAUCGGAGCAAUUUCCUCAGGUGAAAUUUUACAUGAAAAAGCGUUUUAAAAUUAUCGAAAAGGAAAUUGCUCAUGGAGGUACUCAUGACAAGUAUAAAAAUUUGGUGAGCUAAAUCACAAUUGUCAAACAACACACAAUUAAAACAAUGCAAUGCACUCCAUUCAAGACAUAUGGAAAAGGAAAAAGAAAAAGAAAUCAAAUAAUUCAAAUGAUAAAGUAACAGUAAAUCAAAACAAAACGUUAAAAUGAAAAGGCUUAAUCAAAAUUUUGGUGGGUCACUCAAAUGGAAUUCGGCAUCUGCUUUAUGUGGUUGGUAUUCCAGAUAUGGUUUCAAUCUUUGGCCAUUAACUUUAAAUGUGACACCAUCCUUUGGAUUCUCAAUUUCUACGGCUCCAUAUGGAUACACAUUUUUUACAACAAAUGGGCCAUUCAACUUUGACUUUAACUUCCCUGGAAAUAAAUGAAGACGAGAAUUAUAAAGCAACACUUUUUGACCAAUUUCAAAUGUUUUCCGAAAAAUUCUUUUGUCAUGAAAAAAUUUGGUUCUUGCCUUAAUAAUUCUGGAAUUAUCAUAUGCAUCAUUCCUUAAUUCCUCAAGUUCAUUUAUUUGCAAUUUACGCACAUUGCCAGCAUCAUCAAGAUUUGAAUUAAAAGCUUUAAUGGCCCAAAAUGAUUUAUGUUCAAGUUUUACUGGUAAGUGGUAAGAUUUUCCAUAAAUAAGCCGAUAGGGUGACAUUCCUAAAGAUGUUUUAAAAGCAGUACGAUAUGCCCAAAGUGCAUAAAUUAGUCGAAGAGACCAAUCUAUACGGUUUGGAUUAACUGUUUUUUCUAAAAUUUGUUUUAUCUCCCUAUUUGCUAAUUCAACUUGACCACUUGUUUGAGGGUGAUAAAGGGUAGCAACCUUAUGUGUAAUUCCAUAUUUCUUCAUGAAAGACUCAAAUGGCUUAUUACAAAAAUGCUUACCUCCAUCACUGAUAAUGGCUUGAGGUAUUCAAAAUCUGCUCAAAAUAUUUUCUUCUAAAAAGCGGAUCACAAUCUUGUGAUCAUUGUGCCGACAAGGAAUCGUCUCGAUCUAUUUUGAAACAUAAUCAAUAGAAAUCAAAAUGUAUACAAAUCCAAAUGAUGAUGGGAAAAGACCCAUAAAAUCAAUUUCCCAACAAUCAAAUAUUUCAAUGACAAUGAUGGGGUUUAAAGGCUUCAUGUUCCGCUUUGAAAUAGACCCUAUCAUUUGAUAAUUCUUACACAUUUUACAGAAUGCAUGUGAAUCUUUAAAUAAUGUAGGCCAAUAAAAUCCACACUGCAAUAUUUUGCAGCUGUCUUUUUUGAAGAAAAAUUGCCACCGAAUGCUUCAGAAUGACAAAAUUGAAUGACCCUACUUACCUCGUCGUCUGAUAUGCCUCUUCGAAAAAUUUGAUCGGAGCAGUACUUGAACAGGUAUGGCUCAUCCCAGUAAAAGCUUUUUACUUCAGUUAAGAAUUUCUUCUUGUCUUGGGAACUCCAGUCACAUGGCAUUUCACUUGUUGUAGGAUAAUUAACAAUAUUAGCAUACCAAGGCAUUUUGUUUAUAGAAAACAAAAAUUCAUCAGGGAAAGAAUCAUUGAUGGGUGUUGUUUCAAUUGAAGACUCAUUUGUAAGUCUUGAAAGAUGAUCUGCAACAACAUUUUCAGCGCCCUUUUUGUCCUUGAUUGUCAAAUUAAAUUCUUGAAGUAGCAAAAUCCAUCGUAUUAACCUUGGUUUGGCAUCCUGUUUUGACAUUAAAUAUCUCACAGCAGCAUGAUCAGAAUAAACAACAGUACAUGAACCAAUUAAAUACGAACGAAAUUUAUCCAAUGCAAAUAUUACAGCAAGUAGUUCUUUCUCAAUUGUAGUGUAAUUCAUUUGAGCAGUAUUUAAAGUUCUACUUGCAUAAUAGAUGACAAAGGGCUUACCUUCCUUUCUUUGACCCAGAACAACGCCAACGGCAUAAUCAUUAGCAUCACACAUUAGCUCAAAAGGUAAAGACCAAUUAGGGGGUUGCAUUAUUGGGGCUGAUGUCAAAAAACUAAUUAUCUUUUCAAAAGCUUGUUGACAAUCUUUAGUCCAUUCAAAUUGUGUGUCUUUUAUUAGGAGGUUACAAAUUGGUCUAGAUAAGGCACUAAAAUCUUUUAUAAACCUCCUAUAAAAUACUGCAUGUCCUAAAAAAAGGGACUUCUCUAAUUGUCUUUGGUGAGGGUAAUUUUGAAAUGACUUCAACUUUGGCUUUAUCAACUUCGAUUCCUUUUGAAGACACAAUAUGGCCUAAGACAAUUCCAGAAGUGGUCAUGAAAUGACAUUUUUCCCAAUUUAAAACGAGUCCUUUUUCUUUGCACCUUUCCAAAACUUUUUCUAGAUUAUCAAGACAUGUAUCAAAAGAAUUACCAAAUACAGUUAAAUCAUCCAUAAAAACCUCUAGACAAUUUUUAACUAUGUCACUAAAAAUGCUUAGCAUGCAACUUUGAAAUGUUGCAGGAGCAUUACAAAGUCCAAAGGGCAUUCUCCUAAAUGCAAAUGUUCCAAAUGGGCACGUGAAUGUGGUCUUUUCCUGGUCUUCUAAGGCUUUAGGGAUUUGAUAAUAGCCAGAGCAGCCAUCAAGAAAGCAGUAGUAAGGAUGUCCAGCUACUCUUUCAAGAAUUUGGUCUAGAAAUGGAAAGGGAAAAUGAACUUUUCUAGUAGCAUAAUUUAAUUUUCUGUAAUCAAUGCACAUGCGCCAACUAGAUGGAAUUCGUGUUGGGAUUGAUUCACCUUUUUUAUUUUUUACAACAGUUAUUCCAGAAUUUUUUGGUACUACUUGUAUUGGACUUACCCGUUUACUAUUAGAGAUAGGGUAGAUAAUUCCUACAUCUAAUAGUUUAAGGACCUCAUUUUUUACCACUUCUUUCAUAUGAGGGUUUAGUCUUCUUUGUGGUUGACGGGUUGUUUUGGCAUUUUCCUCUAAGUGUAUUCAGUGUGUGCAAAUUAAAGGAUUAAUGUCUUUUAUGUCUUUUAAGGUCCAACCAAAUGCAAUUUUAUGCCUUUUUAGUACAGAUAACAACUUACCCUCUUGAUCAUGUGUGAGUUGAGAAGAAAUUACCACCGGAUAUGUCUGCUGCUCUCCAAGAUAGGCAUACUUCAAUUCUUCUAGUAACGGCUUUAAUUCGAGCUCUGGUGCUUCCUCUUCGUUUGCUUCUUUAGGUUGUACCGUAUCUUCAAAGUUCGAUUGGUCAUCAUCACCUAUAGGUACCUGCAUAGAAUCAAGUGUAGGACAUAUGUUAGCAGUAUCAAAAUCUAAUUCCUUACUUGAUUCAAUAGAACCAGUAAAAAGUAAAUUUCCGCAGAGUUUGUAAAAUUCUCAUCCUGAAUGUAUUCCUCAAUGAUUGGCUCGAUGAGAUCAAUUUCAUCAUUAUCAUUAUCAUCAUCUUCUUGGUGGUGAGGUUGUUUACACAUGUUGAACACAUUGAGUUCCAGUGUCAUGUUACCAAAAGAUAAAUUCAUUAAUCCAUUCCGGCAAUUUAUCAAAGCAUUAGUAGUAGCUAAAAAUGGUCGACCCAAUAUAAAAAUGGUCGACCCAAUAUAACAGAAAUUUGUUUGCAUUCAUUAGCAAUUGGUUCCGUUUCCAAAACAAUAAAAUCUACAGGAUAUAUGAAUUUAUCGACUUGGACUAAUACAUCUUCAAUUAUUCCUUUUGGAACCUUCAUCGAUCUAUCAGCAAGUAAAAAAGUAGUAGAAGUUGGUUUUAACUCACCGAGAUUGAGUUGUUGGUACACAGAGUAAGGAAGUAAAUUAACACUGGCACCAAGAUCAAGUAAAUCAUGUCCAAUUUUAUGAUCCCUAAUAGUGCAAGAAAUAGUUGGACAAUCAGGAUCCUUGUAUUUCAAAGCACUAUUGGUUGAGAGAAUGGAACUUACAUGUUCUGCUAGAAAAGCUCUCUUUUGCACCUUAUGUUUCCUUUUCACCGUGCACAGAUCUUUCAGAAAUUUAGCAUAGGACGACACCUGUUUAAUGACAUCCAGCAGAGGAAUGUUGACCUUUACUUAUUUAAAAACUUCAUAAAUUUCUGGACUGUGGUUUCAUUUCUUUGGCUUGAUCAGUGCUUGAGGAAAUUGGGGUACAAGAGGAGAAUUGGUUAUUUCUUCAUGGGUUAAAGGUUCGACAAACUCUUCCCUAUUUUUUGAAAUUGAAUCUUUACUAGUUUCACGAGGGUCCACAAUGUGUUUUUCAAUUACUUUACCACCACGAAGGUUAUAACCGAUUUGACUUGACUCAUAUUUUUGUUUCCUGAAUUUCCCAUUUUAGGAUGUUGUUGACUCUUGGGGUUUGGUUCAGGUUGAGCAGGAAACUUUCCUUUUUCAUGUAUGGUCAGAGCAGAUGUAAGUUUGGAGAUAGUUUCUGUCAAAUUGGUUAAGAUUUGCAUCUUUUGGUUAUUGAUUGACUCUUGUUUUUCAAUAAACGAAUGCAAUGUGUCUUUCAGAGUUUUUCUUGGUGGUGGGACAUAUGGUGGGUAGCUCUGGGAGUUUUGGAAAUUUUGACGUGGAGGGGCUGGUUGUAAAGGUUGUGCAUGAUUGUCAUUUCUCCAACUAAAAUUUGGGUGGUUUCUCUAACCAGAGUUGUAAGUUUGGGAGUAUGAAUUUGGAUUUGGCCUUUUGAAAUUAUCAACGACAUUUACUUGUUCAUGCAAACUUUGUCUUAGAGCUGGUAAAGUUGGACAGUCCUGCGUAGAAUGGUCAGUAGAAUCGCAAACAUAACAUAAAAUAUUUUGAACAGACUUUACAUGAUCAUUCUUUUUUUACUCUAAUGCUUCGACUUUUCUAGCUAAUGAUGCAAAUUUGGCUUGAAAAUCAUGGUCUUCCCUAAGGUUAUGCAUGCCUCCACCAGAUAGAGAUGACUAGGGUUUACUUGAUGACUCAUAAGAACCAACUGUAUUCCAGUGUUGUGCAUUUUCUGCUAUAUAGUCAAGAUAGUCUAAUGCAUCUUCAGGACUUUUAUCCCUAAACUCACUAUUACACAUCAUUUCAAUGACUUGUCUACCUUGGGAUGUUAAUCCCUCGUAGAAAUAAGACACUAAUCUCUAUGUUUCAAAACCAUGAUGUGGACAAAUGUUAAGCACUUCUUUAAACCUAUCCCAACAUUGGUAGAGAGUUUCUCCUAGCUUUUUAGUGAAAGUGGUGAUUUUGAAAUAUAAGUGUGCAACCCAAGAGGAGGGGUGAAUUGGAAUUUUAAAAAUUAUCCUAGCAAAUCCACACAACAAGCAAUCUAAUGUCUUAAUAAAAAUUGAAAGCAAUAAGUUCAAUAAAAGCACAAGAACAAAUGAGUAAGAGAGAAGAGAAACAAACACACGAAAUUUUACGUGGUUCGGCAAUCCCCGCCUAUGUCCAUGCCUCAAAGCGAUCCAAGCUUGAGGAUUUCACUAUCCGAGCCUUUCCAAGGCUUCAACCGUUUACAAUUGACUUCAAGGUGUCAAUGAACCUUUACAACAAAGAGAUUAUCUCCCAAUCUCUUCACUCAAGUGUCUCACACACUCAAACUUUUACAAUUAAGAUGAAGAAAUGAAAGUUACAAUAAAACUCACUCAAAGAGUAGAUAUUCAAAAAUGAAGAACAAGAAAUGAUUCAAUGUUUUGUGAUUUACAAAUUGAAAGCUCAAGAUAUCUCGUGUGCUUUUUGUUUAUGCUUGGUGGAGAGCUUGAAAAUGAGUUGGAUUUGAGUUUAUAUAGUUUAAGCUAAAAAAACUAGCUGUUAUGCACAUUUUGGUCUUAACCGGCUUGCCGUUUAUGAAUCCGAUAAGCUGCUUUUAUGUUACCGUUAAGGCAAAAAUUUGAAUUUCAGAAUAUCCGGCUUGCUGCUUUUCAUAUCCAGCAAGCCGCUUUUGAAAUCUGGAUUGUCGCUUGUGAAAUUCGGUAAGCCGUUUAUGCUCCAGAAGCUUACUGCCCAAAAUCCAGUUUGCCAUUUACCAUAUCCGGUAAGCCGCUUGCUACAGUGAAAUAUUUUCCAAAUUUAUAGUUUAACCCAAAACUUUAUAAAACUAUAUUAUGGCCCAAAAUGUUAUGAAAGUUUACAAAUUGGUCCAAUUUUAGAAUUUUAAAUAAUGCUUUGUCAAUCCCAAAACUUUUUGAAAUUAUGAUUUCGCCCAAACUAUGUGAAAUUUUAGAAUGACCUAAAAAUAUUUAAAUAGUUUCAAAUAGGUCCAAAUCUGAAAUUUAAAACAUUAUUAAAGAUUUUAAAAUACUUUCAUUUUAGUCCAAAAUACUUUAAUUCCAUAACAUCAUUUUCUUAUUAUAAAAGCACAAUUCCUAAAUCUUUGCUUCAUCAAUACAUGUGGUUUGUUAUCAUCAAAAUCAAUAUUUAUAGCCAUAUAGGCUAACAAAUUUGUCUUUUGAAAGAAUUUUUUCUAUGGGGUGGGAAGAAUUUUUUCAAAAAUUGUGCUUGCAUUUCAUCCCAAGUUCUGAUGGAUUCUAACCUAAGAUUUUGUAGCCAAGUUUUAGCUUUAUCCUUUAGUGAGGAAGGAAAAAACUUAAGCCUGAUUAUAUUCAUGCUACAAUUUUGAUCAAUACAGAUGUUACAGACUUCCUCAAAUUCCCUUAAAUGCAAAUAUGGAUUUUCAGACUCAAAACCAUGAAAAGUAGGAAGAAAUUGAAUGAUAUCAGGUUUGAAAUUAAAACGUGAUGCAUCAUGAGGGAAAAUUAUGCAUGAUGGUUACCCUGUUCUAGUAGGAUGCAUGAAAUCUCUAAGGGUCCUAGGUUGGUCAUGAAGAUUUUGCAAGGCUUGGUCAUUUUCGUGCUCCGAAAAAUUUUCAGCUCCUAUGUCAGCCAUAUUUAAGGGUGGUGAAGGUGAUUUUCUAAUUAAUCUACCACUAUUUGUACGAGACCAACGACGCAUGCAACGCUAAUGAUGUGUGCUAAACUAAUGAUGCAAAAAAGCUAAAUGAAAAUUACAUAAAUAAAAAUAAACUCGAAAUUAAAUAAGCAAAAAAAAAAUACGAAAUAAAAAUAAACGAACUGAAAAAUAAAUAAAUAAAUUAGGCAGUGAAACCAGCCAUUAAAAGAAACAGUUUAGGCGGUAUUUUAAAACCAGCCAUAUAAUAAAAAAUAAAAUUAAAUUAAUUAAUGCACAAAAAUAAAUAAACUGAAAUUAAAAUGCUAGGUGGUAGAACCGACCAUAUAAAUAAAAAUACAUAAAUUAACAAAAUUUAAAUAACAGUCAAGCGGUAGAACCGACCAUUGAAAAUAAAUGCGGAAAGUAAAUUACAGAAAUUUAAAUAAAUAAAUUUGAUUUGGGAACUGAUUUGCAAAGGUUUUUGGGCUAAGAUGAAGUUUCUCACAAAUUUUAUGGAUAAUGUUAAGGUUUGAAAAGAAGAGGGGUGCUAACUGAAGUUUUACAAAAAGAGAAUAAAAUAGAAUCACGGAAAGAUAGUAACGGCAAAACAAACAAAAAUAAAAUAAAAUAAAAUAAAAAUAAAGUAAAGACAAACGAAUACCAAAUUUAGAAAACUCCCGGGCAAUGGCGCCAAAAACAUGACACAACUCAAAAGUGUGUUACUCUCAAGUAUAAGAGUGUCUAGUUAUAAUAUACCCCGGUGAGACCGGGGUCGAACCACAUAGAGUUUUAAAUCUAAUAAAACUAAGAAAAUUAAUUGUGGGGAAAAGGAAUUAUUUGAAAUCAAUUUAAAAAUAAGCUAAGGUUUAGGAUCCACUCUCUGUAUUCAAACUAUAAUUUUAAUACUCUCUCAUUUAUAUUUUACCUCACUUUUACCAAUUAAUUAUUAUAUAAUUUAAUUCUAUGUGUGUGGAUAAAUAUAGAAUAAAGUACCUAAUGUGCCACACUAUAUUAAUGUGUCGAUAUUAUGACAAAAUACCAUAAAAUCCAGUGAGAUUUAUAAAUUAACAUGAUAUAAAAAUAAUUAGAAAAGAAUUAAAAAAACUCAUUUGAGAAAAUAAUAAUAAUUAAUAGUUUGAAACAUUGAGCUUCACUCUUCACCUCAGCUUAAUAAAAUUAGCUACUCAUAUUGAAAGAAAACACAACACUCUUUUUAUUUGAUAAACUUUUUGAAAUAUAUUACAAAGAAAAUUGAUACAAACGGAAAUAAGAAAAGAAAAGAAACAACGAAAGAAAGAAAAUCUUCAGUCUCGGCUUCAUCUCUCAAAUUUUGCUCUCCAGCUUCCCCCCGCUCUUCAAUUUCUCCUCCCUUUUUAUAGGCAACAAUUGCUGAUGAGCAUAAUUUGUAUACAUAUUUUACCGUUUAUUAUCUAAUUACUAGUUAUUUUUAUUAGUUAUUUUUAAUUAAUUGAAUUAUUUUAUUGCAUGGGGAAUUAAUUGGAGAUUGGAAAUAAAAAGUACAAAAAGAAUAACAAUUUAAAAGAAUAUUAGUUGAAGCCGUGACAGAGUUAAGAGUCAAGAGCAAUUUGCAUUGAAUUUCAAUUCUCCAACUGGGUUGCACGUGCAUGGCAUUGCAAAAGUGGAAAGCAAUUUAAAUAGGACCCGCACUUGGCUUUCAUAAUUGGAAAAGGAAUCCAAAAGCAAUUCUAAGGGUGAUCAUGUGUGAGAGCUAAAGCAAAUAAAAGGGCAAGCCUUUUGGCUUUAGGAUUUAAGAGGUGGGGCCCAUUUCAAAGAUUAUAAAAGGGAGUUUUGGCUUUUGGAGAAGGAGGCAGCCAUUGGACGGAAACAAAAGGGUGCAUACGCAAGGUUGGGAGAGAGUAUUCGGCAGAAGCAGCAGUUCGGCUUCCAUGGCUGAUUUUAUUUCUUGUGUUACUCUCAAUUCAAGUAUGUCUAGCUAAUUUUCUUAUACUGAGGUUAAGGAUGAAACCCUAUUUAAUGAAAUAAUUAUCUUUGUAUUUAAUUAAUUCCUUAUAUAUGUUCUUUGAUGAUUAUGGUUUUUAUUUCACAUGAUUAAUUGGAUGUAAAUAAAAUCUUUUCAUCAAUUCUGUCAUGCAUUAUUGAUUGUUAGGAUUAAUAUUUGAUUAAAUCUAUGCUUGGAUCUAUAAAGUUUAUACAUGAUUGUCUUUGAUUUUAUGUCUUUCAUUAAAUUGUUCACAUAGAAUGCUUAGGGAAACUUUGACUCUUUGUUAUUCAAUAUGUUUACAUGAAAUUCUUAGAUGUCAUACUAUUAAGCAGAAAAAGAACCUACAUAAGAUUAAUUUUAUUUGGGCUUAAUUGUUAUAUCUAUAAGAUGACAUAGAUUGAUUUCGAGUUGUCACUCUAAAAUUGGGGAUUAAUGAAUAUUUAGAUAAUUACUAGUUGAAUAGUGGUGGAUUCUGAAACCUUGGUAAUUCUUAUCUUAUUGAAUUCUCCUUUAUUUUAAUUGCUUCCUUGUUUAAUUGGUUUAAUUUUCUUAGAAACUCAAUUUUGGUCAACUAGGUUAGAAUUAAUGUUAAUUUUAGAUUUAAAUUAGACUUUUCAAUUUAUAACAAUCCCUGUGGGAUCAACCUCGUUACCACUAUUAUAUCUCUAGAUUUGUGCGCUUGCGAGUAUAUUAAAAUUUUCAUAACAAGUUUUUGACGCCGUUGUCGGAGAUUGUACUAGAAAGUCAGUUUAAUCUAGGUUAAUUUGAUUCUUCCACUAGUUAUAAUUUAGGUUGUCUUUUAUUUUAUUUAUUCAAUUUUUAUUAAAAAAAACAAAAAAAAAUUUAAUUUUAAUUUAAUUUUAUUUUGAAUUUAUUGUUUAGUUGUUUGCUUUCUUUUAUUUAAUUUUGUUUAUUUUUAUUAUUGUUGUUUUAUUUUUCUUCUUUGUCUAGUUAGUUUAUGAGUGUUUGGGAACGCGAUUCAACAAAUCGUUUGGUAAAAAAAGAGUCGAAAAUUGAUAGUAGUCGAGAUAGUUCUUCGGAAGUGAUGGAUGACCCCAAUAGAUUAUUGCCAAUACUUCCACCAGUGCAAGCAGAGAAAACCCUUAGAGAAUAUUUUUCACCACUUGCAGCCAACCAACCAUCUUGUAUUGUGUUGCCACAAACUACAGCAACACACUUUGAAUUUAAGCCCUCUGUCAUUCAACUUUUGCCAUCCUUCCAUAGGUUAGAGAGAGAGGACCCAUAUUUUCACAUUAAGGAAUUUCUUGACAUAUGCUCUACAUUCCGUUUUCAAAAUUUUAAUGAUGAGUCAAUUAGGCUUCGUAUGUUCCCUUUCUCAUUAAAAGACAAAGCAAAAGCUUGGUUGAAUUCACUUCCUGCUGGGUCCAUUAGUACAUGGGAUAAAUUGAGUAAUAAGUUUCUCACCAAGUUUUUUCCUAUGUCUAGAACAAAUGCCCUUAGGAGAGAGAUAAGUGAUUUUUAUCAAAGAGAGGGUGAGCAAUUUUACGAGUGUUGGGAAAGAUUCAAUGAUUUACUCCUUAAGUGUCCCCACCAUGGUUUUGAAAAAUGGAGACUUAUACAAUACUUUUAUAACGGUUUAACCAUGUCAAAUCGUCAUAUGGUAGAGUCUAUGAAUGGUGGGAGAUUUUUGAACUUACAUGAAUGGGCCGCAUGGGAUUUCUUUAAUUCACUUUCUGAAAUUUCUCAACAGUGGGAUUUUUCAAAUCAAAGGGAAAAAUCAUCUCAAGUUUCUAGAAAGGGGUUAUAUGAAGUUAAGGAUGAUUUAGAUAUGAAAUCCAAUCUAGCUACACCUUCUAGGAAAGUAGAUGCCUUAGUUAUGAACCAAUCCAUAAAUUAUCAUCCUAGUGUAGCUAAUGAGGUUUGUGCUAUUUGUUCUAACUUGUCUCAUACAGCACAGAAUUGUCCAUCAUUACCAGUCUAUCCAGAGGCUUAUUCUGAGUAGGUACAUGCCUUACAAUCAUAUGAGAAAACCUCCAAUAGUCCAUAUUCAUCCACAUAUAAUCCUAAUUGGAGGAAUCACCCUAAUUUUUCUUAGAAACAAAAUCAACCUUUGUCAAACCAAGGAGGGCAACAAUUUAACAUGCCCAAUCAACAAUUUGUCCCUCCUAACCAAGUAUAUCCUCCUGCCCAACAACCUAUGUCUCAAUUUGUUGCACCCCAACAAAGAAAGCCUUCUUUAGAGGAUACACUUCAAAGUUUCAUUUAGUCAACCCAACAAGCUUUUCAGUCAAAUACUCAAGCUAUUCUGAAGCUUGAACAUCAAUUGGGUCAAUUAGCAACUACUAUAGCGGAGAGAGAAAAAGGAAAAUUUCCAAGUCAACCAAUUCCCAAUCUUAAAGGAGUGCAUGAAGUUGAAUCGAGUUCAAGCCAUCAGCAUGAAGAAGCAAAAUCUGUUAUGACCUUGAGAAGAGGAAAGUUAUUUGACAACAAGGUGGAGGUUCAAACAAGAAAAACAUAUAAGUCUACUUCUUCAAAUCCAGUUCCAUCACAAGACUCAUCACCAAAUGAUCCAGAAGAGAGUGACCCACCAGCUUACAUUCCCAAGGCUCCUUUUCUUCAGGUUAACAAAGGUAAAGAAAGGGACUUCAACAGGUGAGAUUAUAGAAAUCUUCAAGCAGGUAAGUAUAAACAUCUCUUUACCCGAUGCUAUUAAGCAAGUUCCUUCCUAUGCCAAAAUUUUGAAAGAUUUAUGCACUAAAAAGAGAAAUUUGCAUGUCACUAAAAAGGCAUUUUUAACUGAACAAACUAACAAUUUACUUCAAUGUAAAAUGCCACCAAAAUUUAAGGAUCCUGGUUCGCCUACUAUCUCAUGUGUUAUAGGGAACCAAUGUUUUGAUAAAGCAUUAUUGGAUUUAGGCGCUAGUGUUAAUCUCUUGCCUUAUUCCGUUUACAUGCAGCUUGGACUAGGUGAGUUAAAAUCAACUCCUAUUAUUUUGCAACUUGCUGAUAGGUCAAUGAAAAUACCUCGUGGUAUUAUAGAGGAUGUGUUGAUACAGAUUGAUAAAUUUUAUUAUCCUGUUGAUUUUAUUGUUAUUGAUACUCAACGUGUACCGGAUCCGAAGAAACACACCCCAAUUAUUCUAGGUCGUCUUUUCUUAGCUACAACUGAUACUCAUAUUAGUUGCAGGACUGGAAACAUGCAAUUUUCUUUUGGUAACAUGACCAUGGAAUUAAACAUUUUUAAUAUUCCCAAGCAGGCACAAGAAGAUGAUGAAGUCGUUGAAGUAGAUAUGAUAGAAGCAUCAAUUGAUGACUCACUUAUUUCUAACCACUGUGACAAUCCAUUAAUACCAUGCACAACUGACUCUGAUUUCUCUGUUCAUGUUGAUAGUGGUAUUGAAGAAGUUAAUGCUUUACUUGAUUCGACUCUUAUCAUAGAUCUAAUUAAGUGGAAAGAAAAGAUUGAGCCACUUCCUCCUGAAGAGAAAAUUGAACUAUUCAAGUUGGAGUUACUUCCUAAAAAAGUGAAACAUAGGUCACAUUCUGACAUGAAAAAGGUGGUAAGAUCUAAAGUGCUUAAAUUAUUAGAUUUUUAUACUACUUCAGAUAACUCUCAGGAAAGCAUGGAACAGAAGAGAUCAAGGCAGUGUGAUAUUGAGGAGUUUCAUUACCAUCAUCUUUUUAUAGAUAAAAUACUCCAGUGCUUAGUCAAUUAUGUUUUCUGGCAUUUUCUAUAUAAUUGCUUUGCUUUUCACCAAAUUCUUAUUGAUCCUGGUUGAUUUGUUGUUUACAUUAAUUAGUUAGUUAUUAGGAUUUUUUUAUUUUUUAUUUUUAUUAUUUAUAUUUCUUCUAACGUUUUCUUUUAGUUAUCAUUUUUUUAAGCUUUCACAGCCCAUCCAGGUGUGUUCUCUCCAACUUUCUUUUUAUUAUUUAUGUUUUGUUAUUAUUUUUUCUUCUCUCAUUUGUAUAUCUUUUGUUUGUGAAACAUUGAGGACAAUAUUCCGAAUAAGUUUGGGGGUGGGAAUAGUGUGUGCUUUGUUUGUUAAAAUUUUUUUUUUUGUUUGUUAAAAAAAAAUUGUGUUUUUUUUUUGUUUUUAUGUGAAAAGCCAAUGAUAAGAAUUUGAUUGACAAUGAAUAUGAUUUUUAGAAAUGGUUGAAUAUUGUCUUAGUUUAUACUUGAUUCUUGUGUUAGUUCCUCUUGAUGGAGAUUCUUUAAAAUAUAAGCACUAAUGUCAAUUCUUUCAUAAUUUUGACUUGAAAUUUGAGAUUGACGCAGCUUGAGUUGAGAAUUUUAGAAAGAGUAAAUGACUGUUUGUCUUGAUUCUUAUCUCCACAAUACAAAAUAGUAUACAGAGGUGCCAAAGUCAGAAAUAGCUACCUAUAACCCUUAAGAGUGAAGCUACCCUUGAGUAAUUUGGUCCUAUGUACCACAAGUAUGUAGAGGAUAAUCUACCAUGAGAAGAAGGCUACCUUAAGGGGUAGAGUGAAAGCUCCUGACUAUGGUUAAGAAAAAAAAAGAAAAAAAAAAGAAAAAAGGAAAAGAAAAAAAAUCAAGUGCAUCUGCUAAAAAAAAUCAAUAAAAAAAAUGCACAUAAAAGCCUAUGAAAAACAAAUUGGAGAUUAAGAUGAUAAGAUUAGUUUGACCUACUCUUUUCUUUGUUUGAGGCGAAGGCUGUUGAUAUUAAGGAUUUUGGGAAUGGAUUUGAUUGAAUUGAUUUUACACACACACUACAAGAAUCGAAAGAGAGAUGAGAUUGAUUAUUGAAUUAAAGUUAGAAUUUUGCCAAUAUUUGAAAUUUUCUUUGAGCUAUAUAAUUUAUGUAAUCUUUGAGGCUAUCUUCAUGUUUUGUUUAAAGCUUGUUGUUCUUUUCAUUUUAUUUUUAUUUUAAUUCUUUGAAAAAUGAUGUUUGUGGGUAUCAUCAUUGAAGCCCUCACGAGACUACAACUCGUCCACUAGGGCCGCCUAGGGGUUUAAAGGCUUGUUGCAUACACUAAAUGCAAUCGCGAUUACCUGCGAAAGUGGUUUAAUUAGGAUUUACUUUUUGUGUUGUUAUUUUUAUUUUUGUUUUAAGUUUUAGUUUUGCUCGAGGACUAGCAAAAUCUAAGUUUGAGGGUAUUUGAUGAGCAUAAUUUGUAUACAUAUUUUACCGUUUAUUAUCUAAUUACUAGUUAUUUUUAUUAGUUAUUUUUAAUUAAUUGAAUUAUUUUAUUGUAUAGGGAAUUAAUUGGAGAUUGGAAAUAAAAAGUACAAAAAGAAUAACAAUUUAAAAGAAUAUUAGUUGAAGCCGUGACAGAGUUAAGAGUCAAGAGCAAUUUGCAUUGAAUUUCAAUUCUCCAAUUGAGUUGCACAUGCAUGGCAUUGCAAAAGUGGAAAGCAAUUUAAAUGGGACCCGCACUUGGCUUUCAUAAUUGGAAAAGGAAUCCAAAAGCAAUUCUAAGGGUGAUCACGUGUGAGAGCUAAAGCAAAUAAAAGGGCAAGCCUUUUGGCUUUAGGAUUUAAGAGGUGGGGCCCAUUUAAAAUCUUUUCAUCAAUUCUGUCAUGCAUUAUUGAUUGUUAGGAUUAAUAUUUGAUUAAAUCUAUGCUUGGAUCUAUAAAGUUUAUACAUGAUUGUCUUUGAUUUUAUGUCUUUCAUUAAAUUGUUUACAUAGAAUACUUAGGAAAACUUUGACUCUUUGUUAUUCAAUAUGUUUACAUGAGAUUCUUAGAUGUCAUACUAUUAAGUAGAAAAAGAACCUACAUAAGAUUAAUUUUAUUUGGGCUUAAUUGUUAUAUCUAUGAGAUGACAUAGAUUGAUUUCGAGUUGUCACUCUAAAAUUGGGGAUUAAUGAAUAUUUAGAUAAUUACUAGUUGAAUAGUGGUGGAUUCUGAAACAUUGGUAAUUCUUAUCUUAUUGAAUUCUCCUUUAUUUUAAUUGCUUCCUUAGUUUAAUUGGUUUAAUUUUCUUAGAAACUCAAUUUUGGUCAAUUAGGUUAGAAUUAAUAUUAAUUUUAGAUUUAAAUUAGACUUUUCAAUUUAUAACAAUCCCUGUGGAAUCGACCUUGUUACCACUAUUCUAUCUCUAGAUUCGUGCGCUUGCGAGUAUAUUAAAAUUUCACAACAAUUGCCUUUAAUUUUCUUUAUUUUAUUAUUUAUUUAUUAUUUUAUUAUUAUUUUAAAAUAUAUAAGUGUGUGGAAAUGUGUGAUGGUCAGGAGGCGUAAUAGCCUCCUGACCAUCACCAACAUGUUUUUGUUCUUUUGUUCUUUUUUUCUUUUUUUUAUUGAUUAUUUAUUAUUACAUCUCUUCAAUUUUGUUCUAGUAGUUCUUCUUUGUUUCCGCUUUCAAUACCAAGUUCAUCUUUAUUCCUGAAAAAUAUUUACAAGAUAAAAAUUAACAAAUUACGAAUUAAUUUAACAUAAAAUAUAUUUGGGAAAUAUUAAAAUAAUUUAGAAAUAAUGAAUGCAUUAAUCGACAUAAUAAGUGAAAAACUAAUAAUUUUAUCCUUAUUAAAUGUACACUUUUUAGUGUCAAUCACACCCCCAACCAGCUUAUUGUUGGGCCCUAGCAAUUUAAGUGAUAAAAGUUUAGUAAAAUUUCAAACUCAAAUUGAAAAUCAUUUUUUUAAAAAAAUUGUGUUUACUUCUUCCAUCAUAUUAAUGACAACAAUCAAAUAAAAGUAUAAGCAUUAUCUUCAGCCUAAAGAAAAUCACACCGACUCAAAACAGUUCAGUAAAAUCCUGUAAAAUGAUCAAUCAUCAUAGCUACAUUAAUCAAGCCACUUUUAAGAAUGAUACAUCAAACCCCAAAAUCUCACGAUUAAGAGUGACUCUCUCAAAAGAAGAUAUACCCGAAAUUAAUUUGUCACUCUAAAAAAAUGGUAAAUUUGAGAGAAUAAUAAAACAAUAUCACACGCUCUCACCAAGAUAAAAAAUAAUGCCCACAACUUAGAAAUAAAAUGAUCUCAAGUCCAAUGAAUUACUAGCAAAAUUUAUUUUUAUUUUUACUCAUCACCACAUCUUUUAGUCCAUAUUACCAGCUCUUAUCUAGAAGAAUACACAUGUAGCUUUGAAGAAUUACAUUAUAAAUGUGAAUUUGAUAAAGUUGAAAAUACCAUAUGCUAUUAUAAUGAUCAAUAUUUUAUAAAGAUACCAGAUCCAUGGGGGAAAACGAUUAUGUUAGAAUAUAACAAGGAAUAAAUUGAUACCCUAAGAAAUAGGAUCAGAUUUGCUCGAAAUAGAAUUAGUGAAUGGUAUGUUGAAAAAAAAGUUAAGAGACUUUGGUAAAGUCCCCAUAGUUCAGCUUCCAUAAUGGAACAACUACCCAAAUUCAUGCUAAAACCACAAACCCAUUCCCUACAAUAAUUCCUCACCAAGCCACCAGCAUUAGCCAAUCCCAAUCUCUUCAAAGCCCCAUCAGUAUUGAGCUUGAAGAACGACCACUUUGGGGGCUGCCAAUAGAUCAAUCUUUUAGUUUCUGGAACUCUCUGACUAUCUAAAGACUUUAUAAGCAGCGAUGCUUUUUUUCGUGUGAUUGUUCACAUCCACAAUUACGUUGUAAAGGCUGCUUGAUUUGUGAGCAUAAACGAACUCAUUAUGCCAAUACCACAUGUGCCAGACAUGACUCCAAAUAACAUUGACCUAUCCUUCUCAUUAGUGAUCCUCAAGUGGUUUUUCAUAUUAUAAACAAUCCAUGCACGAACAUCCAAUGUAAAACAGGUAUGACUUGUGUGUUUCGAAAUAAGGGUUAACCAAAUGCGUUUAGAGUCAACAUAAUCCCCGACUACAUGGAGAGCAUCGUCUAUGAUAUGCCCACACUGCAUGCAAGUACUAUCAUUAAGCACAUGUCUUCGCGAUAAUUUAGCAUUAUUUUUCAAUCUAUUAUGCAUCAGCAGCCAAAGAAAGCACUGAAUGCUUUGGGGGCCUCUCCAUAUCCAAAUCAAAACCCAAAGGGAAUUAUUUUCAUUUAGCAUCGGUCUAAAGAGGGAUAAAUAAGCUGACCUCAUGCUAAACGAACCAGACCGCGAUGGACCCCAAUAACAACAGUCAACUUCAUCGCUAACAGAAGGGGGCAUAGUGCCUGCUAUUUUGAGAAUUAUAUGGUGGGGUAGAAAAGAAGCAAAACAGUCCCAAUUCCAAGCACCAUUAUUAUCGAUAAAAUUAGCUACACACUCAUUUAAUAUGUUUUCAAUGAUUGUACCAAAAGUAUAAGAUUGCAACCAACGCCCAUCCUCCAGCAAAUAAUCUUUCCAAAAUCUAGCCAACUUCCCAUUCCCAAUACCCCAGCGAGUCCCUUAGAGAACCUCAUUCCAUACGUUUCCCACGAAUUUUCAUAAAGGAGAACUAUAUCAAGUAGGACGUUUUAGAGGAAGGUUUUCUUUAUCAACGCCAUAUUUAAACAUCAAUACUUGAAUCUAGAAGCUGUGGGGUGAUUCAAUAUGACCCCAACCAAUUUUCAUUAGCAAGGCUUUAUUCAUGAGAUUAAGAUCUUUAAGGCCAAGGCCCCCACAUAAAUUAAGGAGUUGUACUCUAUCCCACUUAAUAAGGUGUAUGCGAUGAGUCUCGUCAAUCUCGUUCUAGAUAAAAUGCUUGCAAAUCUGAUCAAUUUUAUUACGAAUGCUUAGAGGUAGCAUGAAGGUCUGCAUGGAAUAGGUUGGGAGAGCCAGAAUGAUCGACUGCAUUAAUGUUAUCGGGCCUACAAGAGAAAGAUGUUUGGUUGUCCAGCCCGGAAGUCUCUGUAGUGCUAAUGGUGGUCAACGAUAAGGUACCAGUUUCAAUGGGAGACAUUGAGUUUGCAUGAGAAAUCUGGGAGAUUUCAUAGAGAAUGUAUGAGUUAGUGACAAUGGUAAAUAUGAUUAAAUGCGUGAACUAACAUAAAAUGAAAUACAAAAACUAAAUGAUAAAGCACGAGUUUUGAAAAAAGUUUAUUCUUCAAUAGACCAUCAAUUAAACAGAAGCAAGCCACUGUCAUUCUAUGUAAACAAACAUAACAAAACCACCUACAUAGGAAUAAUUUUUCAAUAUAGGAAUCUUGAACUUUUCAUGACAAAAAAUCAAUUUACAAUAUUAUAGGUACGUGUAAAAAAAAGUUUAUAACAUUGUAAAUCAGAUCACCAGCUAGAAUCUAACUCCACCUACAUGGUUUAGUAAACAACUAUAACAUUGCAUCCAACAAUGGCGUCACCAGAUUUAAAAUCCGCUCGAUGCAUCUGAGCAAUUGCAUAUCCAUCAGUCAAUAGAAACUCGCCAGUGUCGCCGACGAUGGGCAUCUUACGGACAGGAACAAUCGACCUGUUGUUGCCAAGGAGGCUGAUACAGCUGCCAUUAUUAGGACCAUCAACCAAUACAAAGCUCAUGGACCUGAUGAUAGCUAGUUGAUGCUGACAAGCUGACCCGUAAAGCCCUUGAGCACGACCAACAAGCUUUGAUUGAGGACUAGUAGUUUCUAUCGACGAAUCAUCCGCCAAAUCACAACGCAGAAACAAGUUGGUGACUUGUAAGUAUCAAUGGCUUGAGCAAUGCUUUUUGCCACUACGUAUUUUUUGUUGUCUCUUUUGCGAAAUCAAGCCCCAUAGCCAAAGUCUCUCUGAUCGUAUUGAUGUUGCUGCCACUGGGCAAAUGAUGAGCAACAAAAAAACUACUUAAAACAUUGCAGUAACUUUAAAACAAGACAUGAAAUUAAGAGGAAGAGAAUAGAUGAUGCACUUUUGAAGGUAGAAAAGAAGGAUGAUUCAAGAUUCAUUUCAAAUUUUUUUGAAGUGUUUUGAUCAGUGAAUAUCCAAAGGCUGCUUAACUACAAAGGUGAAGUGGGAAGAAAUUUUGACAUUUUGUUACAUUGAGCUAGCUAGCAAAUGUAUAUGAGGGGCUUCACUUGUACACAUAAAAAAGGAAGAUUAAUUAGUCAUGGUUUUUUAUUAAGAAAAAAAAUGGCUUGCUUAAAAUAUAGUGUGGUUAAUUUCAUUGAAGGACAUGACUCAAAGGAAAAGAAAAAGAAAUCUAAUAAUAAACUAAACAAAAAAUAAUUCCAAAAACAAUAAAUUUAAUUAAAUGUACAUUGAAAUUACCUUUAUAAUGCAACAAGAUAUUAAAAUCAAUGGUUAACGCUAAUAAAUUAAGCGUAAUUUAUUUAAUACUUAUUUAUGGACUCUUUCAACUCCAUUAAAGCCAUUGCAAGUCGUUUUUCAAUAUUCACUCAGAUAAAUAGAGGCUCAUGCCUUUCUGAUUCUUCCACAUCUCUUUCAAUUCUAAUUAAGCCGUUUGCAAUUCUCUUAAGAAAUUAAAAAAUGUCGAAGAGUCUGACUUUCAUCAUUUUGGCUUUGCUUGUAGUGGCAAACACUAAAAACAUGCUUAUUUUAGCCAGUAGAACUGGCCAAAGAUCUAAGCCAGAGGCUUUAUUUUCUAUUAACCCUACAGCAUCACCUGACAUUGUUGAUUGCUCAGGGCUCACAAGUGAAGAGUGUUUGAUCGAGAUGAUUAAGAAAGCACUUGUAGACUAUCGAUACCCCUGCCCUGAGGGGGGGUGCAAAUGAUAUUGUUAAUAAGUUAUUUCUUUUACCUUGUAGGAGUGCUUUUGCAAUAACGAUCAAUUACAGUGAAAUUGAAUUCGUGUUUUUAAUAAAAUAAAACAUUAAUCCAUUAUGCAUAGGUAAUAUUAUGUCAUAUGUUUUUGGUGUGUGUAUCUCCUACUGCUUUGUUAUAGUUGCAUCGUCGAAUCAAUCUUCGAGAAAUCAGUUUCUUUAAAUAAUAGCAAUUAUCAACCAAUCAACAUUACUAUGUUGGUACCAUUUGUAAUAUUUAAAUUUUAAGUCUAUCUACUUUUAGGGUGAGAUUAUUGAUUCCUAAGAAAAAUAAUAAAAUAAACCCUCAUUAUCUAAAUCCUAUAUUACUAAGCUAUCCGAUUUAAUUUAAUGUUAAACUUUAAUUUAACCCCUGAAAAUGUCCAGACUUACCUACAUUUAUUGCUAAGAAUAUGAUUUAAAAGUUCAUCAAUGUGCACCUCAUUUAUGCUCAUCUUUUGAAGAACAAAUAGGGUGGAUUGAGAUUUUCAUGCUUUUGGAGGGUAAAUUAAAGAUAGUUAUUAGGAGGGAACGAAUUGAAGUUUGUUUUUAAAUGCAAAGAUGUAUUCUUUUAGUUUAUUUGAGAUAAUUCGUUUGACUUUAAUUUAACAUAUGUUUUUGUAAUUGAAAUAUAGAUACUUCUUUAUUUUUGUUAUUUAGCUGAGUAAUAUAAUAUUUAUAUUUAAUUGAUCACUUAAAAAUGUUUAUGCAUUAAUAUGUUAAUUUUUCGCGGCUUGGAAGGUAAGAAUUUUUUUUAUAAGAAAAUAAUGCAAGCAACAAUAAGAAUUAAGAUUAAUCAUAUAAUGAUGCAAACUAUGGACAUGCUAAUAAGUUGGUACACGAAAUCUUAAUAAAUGAUGUAUGGUUUCAGCUUUCCUUGUUUUUUCUUUCUUCGGUAAUGCUCUUGAGAUGUUAUGAAUUAAACAAAUAUAUGUUCCCAAUUAUGCACUCUUAUCAUAUAGGGAGCAUCAUAAACAGAGGAAAAAAAAUUUCAAGUUUGGUGACCAAAAAGACUUGAAACAAUGCCUAAUGUCUUUGAAAGAAGUAGGGGAUUCAACACAACUGUGUGGACUGAAUAGAGAAGUAGUAGCAAAUAGAACACUCAACAUAAAAGGCACCGAACAAAAUACAGUUAAAAGGUUGUUACAAGUGAAUAAAAGUUACAGAUUUUAUUUUGAAAUUAAAUUCUAAAAAUAAAUUUAAGAGUUAGUGUUUCAUUUUCUGGAUGUAAAUGCCCUUCACCAAUUUCAUUUUAAAAACACACCAAAAUCUAAGUAAUUUUUUUGCUCGCCUCUCUCAACUAAAAUCUUUUUAUCUUAGACUUCACGUGAUGGAGUUCCAACACUAGUUUGAAGUUCGCAAAAUAACAAUAGUUUGAACCAAUUUUGAAUAAUAAAAAUUAUAAAUUGGAAAAUGUAUCGAGUAAAAAUUAUAAUUAUAAAAAUUAACAUCGCAGAUUUUGAGUUUUUUUCUAUUAAAAUCAAAGGUAUUCUCAUAACUAUAAUUUUUUUUUUAUUUUCAAAAAUUUUGUAGGAUCAAAUAGUCUUUCAUUUCAUUCAAGAAUAAAAUGGUCAUUUUAUUUUCAUUUCUUAGUGUGAAAGUAGUUCACUGAAAGAACUUUAGAAACAAAGUGGUGAAAGAACAAGUUAAAAAUUUGUGGUAGUUAGAUAUAUGUAUGACAAAACAGUGGUGGUGCAGAGAUAAUUUCACUUCAUACUAUUGUAAUAUAUUAAGGUUAUUAAAAAAUUUUGUUUCAAUAAACUCAUGACAAGUGUGUAGCUAGCUUACUAGUAAACUUAGGCACUCUUAGAAAGAUUCUAAAGUAAAAGUAAUGCCUGAAAAAUCUAGAUUUAAGUAAGGCCAUUUGUGACCCUUUUAGUCUUUUCUAAGAACUCAACUGGUAUAUUUUUUCAUACACUAUGGAUUGUUUUAUGUCAAUUAUUAGCAAUAAUUUUCAACAUAUAUUCCCAAACUUUACCAUUUUAUAGCUUGAAGUUCAUAGGACUUUGGAAUCAGAUCAUUUACAACAAUCUUUACAAGGUGAUAAUGAUACGGAGAGAAUAUGUAAAUUUUAAGUCAGCCAGUAUGAGGGCGCCUUCAACUUAAUUGGGGUCUUCACUUUUAAGGCACUACCGGGGUGGCCAUUGCCCUCAUUGCUUAUGUACUUUAACUUCAUAUAGAAUUUUACUUUUUUUGAUCCCCUUUUUGGAGCACAAGUAGAUUGUCGAUUACUGCCAAAUGCAUAAGAAUAUGGUCAGAUGCCUAGAUUAUGGAAAAAUAAUGAAAUUUAAAGUAAUACAUCAGACUGCUGAUGUAUUAACAUUAUAUUGAAAUUCAAUAUUUGGCUACCAACAAGCACAUAUUAUAUAAAAAGAAUUAAACACACAAAUAAACAUAAAAUGAAAUACAUAAAUAAAAUGAUAGAGCGCAUGUUUUGGAAAGUUUAUUCCUCAAUCCACCACUAAUUAAAUAGAAGCAAGUCACUGUCAUUCUAUGUAAACAUACAUAACCAAUCACCUACUUAGGAAUAAUUUUUUGAUUUGGGAAUCUUGAAUUUUUCAUUAAAAAAUCAGUUUACAAUAUUAUAAGUACGUGAAAAAGAAAGUGUAUCUUGUAUGAGAGUUUUUUGCAUUACCGAUCAAUUGCAGUGAAAUUGAAGCUGCGUUUUAAUAAAAAGAAGAAAUGGAUCACACAUACAUAGUUCAUACUUCUAAAUGUUGGAUUAAAAUUUAUUAAAACACAACACGGGCAAAGUCACUAGCAAAUAGGAAGAAUAGCAAAGUCAUUCUUAGGGAAUAUAUUGAAUAUCACUCUAGAUAUGUUAGAGUAGUAAACUUCACUUUGUAUUUUAUUAGAAGUAAUAGGACCAUUUGGUCCAUAUAUUGAAGAUGUAUCUACCUACAAAAGCAUAGUUAAUGGCCAACAAUAUCUCAUCUUAACCACACCAGAGAUAUCAUUUACAAUGUAUAAGCUAAAUUAGUAUAUGGCUGCUCCUACACUUCAAUAUCUAAUGGCUUGUAAACGAGUGUUAAGGUACUUAAAGGAACUAGAAGAUAUGGAUGAAACUAAUUGGAUUCACAGAUACAAAGUAGGCAUGUGAUUUGGAUGACAAAAAAUCCAUUGGAGUUUACUACGUAUACUUGGGAAACAAUUUAAUACAUGGUCAUCAAAAAAGCAAUCUAUGGUAGCAAGGUCCAGUGCAGAAAGUGAAUAUAGAGCACUUGCAGAAUUAACUUGGUUGCAAUCAUUAUUCAGUGAAAUCAGAAUACAAUGUACAUUAGUUCCAUCAAUUUGGUGUGAUAAUGCAAGUGCCACUGAAGUAUCCAAGAAUCCAAUCUAUCACUCAAGAGCUAAACAUAUUGAGUUGGAUAUGCACAUUGUGAGAGGCAAAAUACUUGUAAAAGAACUUGAAAUCAGUUAUAUAACAUGUGCAGAACAAAUUGCCUAAUUAUAUCUUUACAUAUUAAUUUUGCUAGUAUAAUAUCCUUGAGAAUAAUUUGAAUCAAAUGAUUUUGUUACUUUGGCAGUAAUUAAAUAAUAUUAGAUUGAAUUGUUGUGUCAUUUGUUUAGCUUAUUUUAACCCUAUGUAAAAUUAGCUUCCGCAAGUAAAAUGAAAUUUACAUUAUUAAAAUCACUGUUUGUGGUAAUAAAAGUUCACUUGGAAUUUUAUAAUAUCAACUUGAAAUUUAACUCAAAGUAUUGGUAGUUAAGGAUUUCAAUAGAAAUAUUAAAUAGAAACAAGUAGUUAACAAGUUAAAACAAGUUAACCUAUAAUUGAGCAUGUUUAACUAAAAUUAGGGGCUAAUUUUACAAAAAGUUAAACAAUAGAAAGUAAAUUUGGCAUUAAACCCAAAUAGUUAAAAUUUUACCAAGUUAUUGGAAAUACUCAAACAAAAGCAUUGAAAUAACAGUUGAAACACAUAAGUUAAAAAGGGAUAAAAUAUUAACCAAAUUCUAAUUUUAAAACUCAUCCAAUAAGAAAUGAAUUUACUUAGAAUUUAACAAAAAGUAUUGGUAUUUAAUGAACUUAAUAUGAACAUUAAACGCAUAGCUGGUAGAUUUAUAAGUUAGAAAUAUGUAAACCUAAAAGUAAGAAGGUUGAACCAAAAUGAAGGAAUAAAAAAAAUAAAAAAGUCCAAUUGGUAUUUAACCUAAAUAAUUGCAACCUUACCUAAUUAGUAGGAAUAUUCGACAAAAAAAUAGUGGAAUAAUUAGUUGAACCAUAUGAACCUAGAAGGGAGAAAAUUUAAGCAAAAUUAGGAACUUAUCCAAUGGGAAUAAAUAUUAUUUGGAAUCUAACCCAAAAUUGGUAUUAAAUGAACGUAGUAGGAAUAUAAAACAUAAAACUAGUAAACUACUAAUUAAGUUGAAGUAUGUGGACCNNNNNNNNNNNNNNNNNNNNNNNNNNNNNNNNNNNNNNNNNNNNNNNNNNNNNNNNNNNNNNNNNNNNNNNNNNNNNNNNNNNNNNNNNNNNNNNNNNNNNNNNNNNNNNNNNNNNNNNNNNNNNNNNNNNNNNNNNNNNNNNNNNNNNNNNNNNNNNNNNNNNNNNNNNNNNNNNNNNNNNNNNNNNNNNNNNNNNNNNNNNNNNNNNNNNNNNNNNNNNNNNNNNNNNNNNNNNNNNNNNNNNNNNNNNNNNNNNNNNNNNNNNNNNNNNNNNNNNNNNNNNNNNNNNNNNNNNNNNNNNNNNNNNNNNNNNNNNNNNNNNNNNNNNNNNNNNNNNNNAUUCUAACAAAAAUAAAAUUAUAAAAAUUAAAGCUAGUAUUUAUUUCAAAUAAUUGAAAUUGUACUAAGUUACUAUGAAUAUUCAACACAAAUGAAAUAAUUAGUUGAGACAAGAACUCGUAAGAGAGGAAAUUUAAGCAAAAUUAGGAAAUCUUUAAAUGAAAAAUGAAAGUUGGAAUAUAACUUAAAAUAUUGGUAUCGAAUUUGGUAUGAAUAUCAAAUACAAAAUUGAUGGACUAAUAACUUGAAACGUGGGAACCCAUAAGUGAAAAAGCUUAAGCAAAAUCAACGACCAGUCUAAGAAAAUAUAUUUGUUAUAUUUAACCCAAGUAAUUGAAAUCUUACUAAAUUAAUGAGAAUACACAAUACAAAAAUUAGUGGAAUAAUAGUUGAAAUAUAUAAACCCACAUGAAAUGAAGUUUAACUAAAAUUAUGAACUCAUCUCAUAGAAAUGAAAGUUUUUAAAAUCUAACUCAAAAUAUUGGUAUUUAACGACAUUAGUAGGAAUAUAAAACACGAAAAUAGUGAACUUAAAAGUGAAUAUACGAACCUAUAAGUUUAACCAAAAUAAGUUACUAAUCUAACAAAACUAAAUUUAUAAAAAAUAAAAAUUUAGUAUCUAACCUAUAUAAUUGGAAUCUUACAAAGUUAAUGGAAAUACUCAACACAAAAAUGAUAGAAUAAUUAGUUGAAAUUAUUGAGCCUAAAUGGUAGAAAAUAUAACGAAAAUGUGAACUUAUCCAAUAGGAAAUGAAUUUACUUACAUUCUAACCCAAUAUAUUAGUAUUUAAGGAAUUUAAUAGGAACAUCAAAGACAAAGCUAGUGGAUUGAGAAGUGAAAACGAAUAAAUUAGUAAGUGAAAAAGGUUAAAUAAAAUUAGAGAUGUGCGAAAUCAAAUUGUAACAUCCAAUUAAUAUAUUGGUAUUUAACUAAAAGAGUUGGAUAUGAUUAUUUUAUAGUUUUUUAAUAUCAUUUUAAUUAUAAUAUUUUUCUCAUUCAAAUAUUUUUAUGUUAGUUAUUUACAAAUUUUCUUAUUUUUCAGCAUUAAAAAUAAAUUGUCAAAAAUUAUUUAGAAAACACCAAAAUCACCAGCUGUUCAAGUUGUAAAGCGACUAUGUAAUAUACAACAACUGUAUAAGUUGGAUGAUCCUUCAUUUUAUUCUCCCUUGCAAGCAGCAAUUUUCAUGGGAUUGUACUUUUGGUUGCCACUACUUACUGCGUCAAAUAGUCCAAGGAAAGGACGGUAAAGAUAAUGUGUGGAUUAGUCAAAUCCACAUGCACCUUUGUUCUCGGCCAAAUAAAUACCGGCUCCAUUCUCUCUUCUAGUCUUCUUCAUAAUUUUACAUUGUACACUUUUUAUUUUAUUUUUCUACGCUACACACGUUUGUUUUUCAUUUUUUUUUCCUCAGUGUUUUUGCAUGUUGAUAAUUGUAUAGUUGCUCUUAGACAAUCACAUUCGCUUGGACAAACUUCUUUUUCUCAUGGAAAAUGAUCUCUGCACUGCCCCUAUUUUAUCAUAUGUACAUCUAACCACCACAAAAGUUUAAUAUGUUCUUGACACCACCUUUAUUUUUAAAUUUAUAUCAAUAAACAAUUUUGACAAUUAGAGUUUAAAUAAAAUAAUCAUUUUACCCUUAAACGAAUUAACAAACUAUUUUAUCCUACAAAAUUUUUAAAAAUAAAAAAAUUAUAAUUACCAUUUAAUCAAUUGAUAAAAUACUAUUGAAAAAUUGGAUGUGUAAGUUGUUGUGCAAAUUUUAUUGAACUCGCAAGUGCACGAAUCUAUUGUAGUAUAGAUCAAUGAUGACGAGUGUCGAUCCCACGAGGAGGUAAAUUUUAAUUGUGUGUAGAAUUAAUUUUCUAAAUGUGUGGUUGGAUUUGUGGUGAAAAUGAUUUGGAUUAUCCUAAAAUUGGAAUUGAAAUGGCGAGAAUAAUUUGAAGAGAAUUCUAUUGAGAUGACGUACUUGGGUAUCCGGAUCCGUAUCAACAUGCACCAUGGGCUAAAUAUUCCUUAUUAAUACCAAUUAAAUCAUGAGGGGGGGAAUCCACACCUCAUGAACCACACUCUAAUCAAUAUGGUGCUAAGGGCUUAUCGUGCCAAAUAAUAAUAACCUUGUACUAGGGAGCCGGUGUAACUAGGGCGGUAUCUAGAAAAGCUUAUUAUUAUUUGUCGACGAGAAGUCAAAACAUCCACAAAAAUUAGAGGGGAAGAUAAACUAAAUUUACCAAAUAAAGCCCAUGACACAUGUUGAGACUUCACCUUCAACCCAAGCUUGAAAGAAAAUUAGCUACUCAUAAUUGAACAAGGGAAAAAAUGGGAAUUUAUUAAAAUACAUAGAAAAUACAAGAUGGAGAAGGAAUUAUAGAAAAUGGAGUCCAAAAAUGGAUUCAGAGCUAUCAAAUUAGGGGGGGAGGCCCCCUUUUUAUAGAUACAUUGAGUAAAUCGUGGCCAUCGGAUUAAAAACAGUUUGGACACUCAAGAUUGUGCCACGUCAUCAGUCAAGAGUACGCGGUUUGACCACGCGGAUGAACAGUAACACAGUUUGACCAGGGUUGAAUAGUGACGCGGUUUGGUUAAAAAUAAUCCUGUGUGAUGCAUGUAUCGUACGCGAGAUUUUUAGUCCACUGAUAUGCUGCCACGUCACCAUCAAUAGUACAUAAGAAUUUUAGUNNNNNNNNNNNNNNNNNNNNNNNNNNNNNNNNNNNNNNNNNNNNNNNNNNNNNNNNNNNNNNNNNNNNNNNNNNNNNNNNNNNNNNNNNNNNNNNNNNNNGUCCUGAGUUCAAAAGUGAUAUCUGCUUUGCCGUCUGAUCUCUCGUUUAUUUUGAAAUGACCAUGAUGCCCCUAAAAUACAUCAAAUAUUUAAUUAUAAUACAACAUACAUAAUUAAAUCAUAAGAAAUUUAAAUACAUAAAAGUAGGAAUCUUAGUAAAACUUGAAGUGUAAAAUGACGAUUUUAUCCUUUAUAAAUAUGCAUUUUCUAACACUCAACACACCGCCCAACCAGCUUAUUGCUAGUCCCUAGCAAAUAAAGCGAAAAUAAAAUUCAAAUCCAAAAUGAUUUUUUUUCUUUUUUAAACAAUCAUUUUAUUCAAUCAGACUAAUGAUAGUAAUCAAAUGAAAGUAUAAGCAUUAUCUCCAGUCUAAAGAAACAUCACACCCACAUCAACCAUCCACAUGAAUCAGCCUAGUAGACUUUGUCAUAGCUACCUUCAAGAAUGACAUGUUAAACCCCAAAAUCUCACUGGAAGUAGUGACACUCUGACAAAGAAAUUAAACCAAAUAAAAAUAGUCACUCCAAUGAAUGGUAAUUGAGAGAAAAUAAUAAAAAAAUGAUAUCACAUGCUCUCACCAAGAUGAAAGAAAUAUGCCCUCAGCUUAGAAAUAAUACGAUCUCAAGUCAAAUAAAAUGCUAGUAAACCCAAUUUAUUUAUUUUUUUUAUGCACCACUACAUCUUUUUAGCCCAUAUAACUAGCUUCUACUUCACACUAUAGUUCCCUAAAAUCAAGAAGGACUUUUAUUACUACAUCUUUUUAGCCCAUAUAACUAGCUUCUACUUCACACUAUAGUUCCCUAAAAUCAAGAAGGACUUUUAUUAGGACGUAACGUAGGCUAGGGACAUGGUUAACAAAGAAGGGAAAUAAGGAAAAUAAAGUAUAUAUUUGAGAAAAAUGCAGAGGAAUUUUUUUUUUGGAAGUUGUGUGGAUUUCACCUAUUAUUGUUAUUAUUUUUUUCUUUUUUCUUUUUUUGAAACAACAAUUUUUUUUUUUGCUUUUGUUGGGCAUAACUUCACUAUGCCAAAUAUUUAUUUACAUUUUUCUCAAACAUAAAUAGGUGAUGGAACUUGUAAGAUAUUGGGUAAUAUUCCAAAUCUGAGUGGGUCAAGAUGAUAAGUUUGACAAAGAAAAGUUUUUUUUUUAAGGCUCAAAAGGGUUAACUAUGGAUAUUUCACAAAAGGGAUGGCUAGAAAGGCUCAAACGGAUCAAAGAUGGCCUUUCCAUCAUCUUUUAGGGCUCUAAAUAAUCUUCCAUAUGUACUAGUUAGAUGGGCCUCCAUAUGUAGCAACACACAUUUUUUUUCUUUUUUUUUUUUAUAAUUUUUUUUAAGGGUUAACUCAAAAGAAAUCUAGAGAUCGUGUAUACAAUAAUAAACUGCUAAGCUGUAUAAAAAAUGGGCAAAAGGGUUACUCUCCAAGAAAAAUGAUAGGCUCAAAAACUCACUUGGUACUUAUUAUGAUAUGUUCAUUCCUUCAAGCAACUCAUAUUUGUCUCCGACAUCGACAUGUAGAGUAGCAAACAUAGUGUAACAUCACUGAAGACCAAAGAUAAUACAAAUACUAAAAUUUGAUAUUAAUCAUGUCAUCCAAUGUUAAAACAAAUCACACAAUUUUUUUUUAAACAACAUCCUACCCCCCAACCUAUUCUAAACAUGAAAGGAAAAUAUGUAUGCAGAAAUGUGAAAAUGAUGCAUAAAAAUUAAUUAGAAAAGUUACACUUAAAAUGAUAGAAAAAGAAAUGUUUUUUUUUAAUUUUUAACUAAGAAGAUGCGUUUCUAGAGGCACUACACUCCAUAUUCAGCCAUCUUCGACUCAGAUAUUUAAAAAUGUAUAUUUAUAAAGGAGAAAUUAAAAAGAAGAAGAAAAAUGAACAUCAAAACUUAAUAAAGAAAAAGAAAAUGUCUGAAUUUUUUGAAUUUUUUUUUCAAACAAUGAAGAUGCGUUUCUAGAGUCACUACAUUCCAUAUUCAGCCAUCUUCAAUACAAAAAGUUAGCAACAGUUAGUUUCUACAACAAAAAAUUAGUAAAAACUUAACCAAGAUUCCACAAUUGUCGACUAUUCCCUCCCCCCAACCAGAACGAAACAUUGUCCUCAAUGUUUGAAAGGAAAGAAGUAGAGUUUAGAAGACAUCACCUGGGUGGUGCAACACAGAAGAAAAUAUUUAUAGGCGGAGAGUUAAAUCUAAUUUGUACUUCUUACUACAGCUACUGUUAUCGUCAUUAUUUGGACGCUCCAACACAAAGGUCUAGGGGUCUAGCUCCGGUCUAUAAGCUUGUAACAGAUCAAGUAGCUCAUUAGCAGUGUGAGCACAAAUAAAAAGCUUUUUGGCAUUGGAAGGAACGAAAUAGUUUUUUAUUGCAUGGUUAAGAAAUGCAAUAAAGCCAUCAUAAAAAUUAUUGACAUUUAACAAACCGAUGGGUUUCUGGUGAAUGUGCAGAUGAGGCCAAAAUGCUAGUGUGAUAAGUGCCUCUAGUGUUGCAAGAUCUCCUGGAAGGAAAAUAAAAGCAUCAGCAUGAUUAAGCAUUUUAGUUAUUCUUUCUUGCAUACCUGUGACGACUAACUCUUCUCCAGUCGGUGGGUCAGACAAACCGCCCAAAGGUUUUAGGGCUAUUGGGAUGAUGCCUAAUACUUGGCUUCCUCUGACAAAAGUAGCUUUUGAGACCAAUUUUGAUAACCCUCGGUUACCUCCUCUAUACACCAAGUGUAAUUUUCUCUCUGCUGUGCUUCGGCCAAGAUCUAUGGCUGCCUCAAUGAACUCUUUAUGUUUGCCAUAGUUAAAUCCAGAAAGUACACAAAUGUUCUUAAAUUGUCUAUUGGGAGUAGCUGCGAUUGGAAUAUUUCUCAAAAAUAAUUUGUGAGUGCUUAACAAAAAGUCAUAUUUAAGAAUUUUAGUGACAGUGGGUCACAACUGUGUAUGACGUGGCAUGUCAGUGUCUAAUAACGUGUAAAGCACAUGGCUCGCGAGUCAAAAAGGAAAUAGUAAAAAGAAAAAGAAAUAAUGAUAAAAUAAAAUUAUUAAAGAUAAUAAUGCAAAAGAUAAAAUAACAGUGAAAUAAAAUAAUAGUGAAGUAAAAGGAUAUUUACAGGUUGUUGCGACUGUGGCUCACAUCUUCCUCCGGUUUUACGUCCAGAAACGGCUUGAACUCCCUCUAUGGGUCGAGGAUGGGUUUUCCAUCCAGUUUUCUUAUAAACUGGCAAACAGGGUCCUUUAUAGUCAGAUUCUCGAGACUAUAUCGUGAAUGCUCUUUUUGGAAUAAUGGCUAUAACUGGAGAAUCGCUCUUUGUACAUAUCCACUGGGAUGCGUUUCAAGAGACAGAAUGAUAUCAUCCAAUGACUCCUUAUUCAAGCCAUCCCUAAUGAAUUGAAUCUUAUCUUCUCUGUUAUUAGACAUCAUUCCUAAAGAACAUGGUUUUUUAUCACAACUCAUUCUGGCACACUUAUGACAAGCAAUAGAAAUUCUUCGGGCUCGUCGUUUUCUUGCAUAAUUUCCUUACCACAACCAGGCAUGUAUGCAAUAAAUUUUGGAGGUAACUCACCUGCCAAUCGUACUUUAGCCUCGAUCAACCAACGGAUGUCAGCAGGUAUGUUAUUCCUCAUGAGCAAUCGCAUGCGUUCGGACCGGGCUUUAUAGAUUCUAAGGAGGUCAUUCUGAGGAAGUGAAGGGAAUCGCUUGUGAAGCUUCGCUAGAAUCUCGUUUCUGUCCAUAUCUUCGCCUCAAAAUAUCAGUUAUUAUGGGAUAACUGAAGUAACCGACUUGAUUGUCACGGAGUACUGUUAUCCGCCACUUUACCCGGGUAACAAACUAAAGCACACAAACAGAAAAAGAAAUUAAAACACACAAAGAAAAUUAAAAUCGUCCUCUUAUUGAAUUUACCUCAAGCUUUAACUGGAUGUCGUAAGCACUUCUCUCAAUGUCUCUGAGUUGGCUUUCUAAACCCUCAACAUAAGAUACUAAAUCUGGUGGUUUCAGAGCCCAAAUACGAUGUGUUUUACAAAAUUGAAUCUGCCUUUUGAGAUGAGAUUUUACACGUUGAAGUGGUUUAAGAAUGUUCAGGAGGAACGGUUUAAGUAUGGUACUCAUGAUUAACAAUGACAAGAAAAAAACUUAAUGGUUAAACAAAUACACUUAUGCAAAAAUAAUUUCAAUUAGCAAAAAAUAAUAAAAAAAAAGAAAGAAAAAAAAAUCAAAUCACCGAAAAGAAAGAAAGAAAAACUUAAUUCAAAUCUGGUUGAUCACUCAAAUUUAUUUCGAUGUCCUCUCCAUGUAGUUGGUACUCUAGAUAUGGCUUUAAUCUUUGACCAUUAACUUUAAACGUGACACCUGUUGUGCAAAUUUUAAUGUACUCGCAAGCGCACGAAUCUAUUGUAGUAUAGAUCAAUAGUGACGAGUGUCGAUCCCACGAGGAGGUGGAUUUUAAUUAUAUGUAGAAUUAAUUUUGUAAAUGGGUGGUUGAAAUUGUGGUGGAAGUGAUUUAAAUUAUCCUAAAAUUGGAAUUGCAAUGGUGAGAAUAAAUUGAAGCGAAAUCUAUUGAAAUGACGUACUUGGGUAUCUGGAUUCGUAUCAACAUGCAUCAUGGGCUAAAUAAUUCGUAUUAAUGCCAAUUAAAUCAUGAGGGGGGAAUCCACACCUCAUGAACCACGCUCUAAUCAAUAUGGUGCUAAGGGCUUAUCAUGCCAAAUAAUAAUAACCUUGUACUAGAGGGCCGGUGAAACCAAGGCGGUACUAGACAAGAAUAUUAUUAUUUGUCGAUGAGAAGUCAAAACAUCCACAAAAACUAGAGGGGAAGAGAAAAUAAAUUUAUCAAAUAAAGCCCAUGACACAUGUUGAGACUUCACCUUCAACCCAAGCUUGAAAUAAAAUUAGCCACUCAUAAUUGAACUAGGGGCAAAAUAGGAAUUUAUUAAAAUACGAAGAAAAUACAAGAUGGAGAAGGAAUUACAGAAAAUGGAUCCCAAAAAUAGAUUCAGAGAUAUCAAAUUAGGGGGGAGAGGCCCCCUUUUUAUAGAUACAUGGAGUAAAUAAUGGCCAUCGGAUUAAAAACAAUUUGGACGCUCAUGAUUGCGCCACGUCAUCAGUCAACAGUACGCGGUUUGACCACGCGGAUGAACAGUAACAUGGUUUGACCUGGAUGAAUAGUAACGCGGUUUGACCCGGAUGAACAGUAACACGGUUUGGUUGAAAAUAAUCCUGUGUGAUGCAUAUACCGUACGUGAGAUUUUUCGUCCACUGAUAUGCUUUCACAUCACCAUCAACAGUACAUAAGAAUUUUAGCCCAACAGGAUCGUGACUCCUCAUCAGUCAAUGCCACAUCAUCGAUCAAUGCCACGUCAUCAAUCUGUCUAUGUGAACAGUGCCGUGAACAGUAACGUAUACAGUACCGUACAUGUGAACAGUGUUAUUUUUCCUUUUAUGCUCCUCCUAAGGUUUUCGACCGUCCUGAGUUCAAAAGUGAUGUCCGUUUUGCCAUCUGAUCUCUCGUUUAUUGUGAAAUGACUAUGAUGCCCUUAAAAUAUAUAAAAUACUUAAUUAAAAUAAAACAAACGGAAUUAAAUCAAAAGAAGGUUAAAUUCAUAAAAGUAAAGGUGUUAGUAAGACUUGAAAUGUAAAAUGACGGUUUUCUCCUUUAUAAAUAUGCAUUUUCUAACACUCAACACACCCCCCAACCAGAUUAUUGCUAGUCCCUAGCAAAUAAAGCAAAAAUAAAAUUCAAAUUCAAAUUCAAAAUGAUUUUUUUUUAAAUUUAGAAACACCCGUGUUUAUUCAAUCAGAUUAAUGAUAGCAAUCAAAUAAAAGUAUAAGCAUUAUCUCCAGUCUAAAGCAACAUCACACUCACAUCAACCAUCCACAUGAAUUAGCCCAGUAGACUUUGUUAUAUCUACUUUCAAGAAUGACAUGUCAAACCCCAAAAUCUCACUGGAAGUAGUGACAUUCUCACAAAUAAAUUAAACCCACUAAAAAUAGUCACUCCAAUGAAUGGUAAUUGAGAGAGAAAAUAAUAAAGAAGUGAUAUCACAUGCUCUCACCAAGAUGAAAUAAAUAUGCCCUCAGCUUAGAAAUAAUACGAUCUCAAGUCAAACAAAAAUGCUAGUCAACCCACUUUAUUUAUCUUUUUUUUUAUUAUGCAUCACUACAUCUUUUUAGCCCAUAUAACUAGCUUCUACUUCAGAAUAUAGUUCCCUAAAAUCAAGAAGGACUUUUAUUAGGACGUAACGUAGGCUAGGGACAUGGCUAACAAAGAACAGAAAUAAGGAAAACAAAGUGUAUGUUUGAGAAAAAUGCAGAAAUUUUUUUUGUUUUUUUUUGGAAGUUGCAAGGUGGAUUUCACCUAUUAUUUUUAUUUUUAUUCUUUUGAAACAACAACUUUUUUUUUUGUUUUUUUCUCUUUUUUUUUGGCAUAACUUCACUGAACAAAAUAAUUAUUUAUCUUUUUCUCAAACAUAAAUAGGUGAUGGAACUGAUGAGACAUCGGGAAAUACUUAAAAUCGGAGUGGGUCAAGAUGAUAAGUUGAAAAGGAAAAGGUUUUUUUUUUUAAAAAAAAAAGGCUCAAAAGGGUUAACUAUGGAUAUUUAAUAAAAGGGAUGGCUAGAAAGGCUCAAACGGAUCAAAGAUGGUCUUUCCAUCAUCUUUUAGGGCUCUAAAUAAUCAUCCAUAUCUAAUAGUUAGAUGGGCCUCCCAAUGUAACAACACACAUUUAUUUUUCUUUUUUUAUUUUACAAUUUUUUUUAAGGGUUAACUCAAAAGCAAUUUAGAGAUCGUGUGUAAAAUAAUAAACUGCUAAGUUGUAUAAAGAGUGGGCAAAAUGGUUAUUCUCCAAGAAAAAUAAUAGGCUCAAAAACUCACUUGGUACUUAUUAUGACAUGUUCAUUCCUUCAAGCAAUUCACAUUUGUCUUCGACAUCAACAUGCAGAGUAGCAAACAUAAUGUAACAUCACUUAAGACCAAAGAUAAUACAAAUACUAAAAUUUGAAUAAAUCAUGUCAUCCAAUGUCAAAACAAAUCAUACAACCUAUUCUAAACAUGAAAGGAAAAUAUACAUACAGAAAUGUGAAAAUAAUGCAUAAAAACUAAUUAGAAAAGUUACACGUAAAAUGAUAGAAAACGAAAAUGGUUUUUUUUUUUAAAGAAGAUGCGUUUCUAGAGGCACUACACUCCAUAUUCAGCCAUCUUCGACUCAAAAGUUGGAAAAUGUAUAUUUAUAAGGAGAAAUUAAAAAAAAGAAGAAAAAUGAACAUCAAAACAUAAUAAAGAAAAAGAAAAAGUCUGGAUUUUUUUUUUAAUGAUGAAGAUGCGUUUCUAGAGUUACUAUACUCCAUAUUCAGCCAUCUUCAACACAAAGAGUUAGCAACAGUUAGUUUCUACAACAAAAAAUUAGUAAAAACUUAACCAAAAUUUCACAAUUAUCGACUAUUCCCUCCCCCCAACCAGAACGAAACAUUGUCCUCAAUGUUUGAAAGUAAAGAAGUAGAGUUUAGAAGACAUCACCUGGGUGGUGCAACACAGAAAAUAAUAUUUACAAACGGAGAGUUAAAUCUAAUUUGUACUUCUUACUGCGGCUACUGUUACCAUCAUUAUUUGGAUGCUCCAACACAAAGGUCCAGGGGUCUGGCUCCGGUCUAUAAGCUUGUAACAUAUCAAGUAGCUCAUUAGCAGUGUGAGCACAAAUAAAGAGUUUUUUCGCAUUAGAGGGAAUAAAAUAGUUUUUUAUUGCAUGGUUAAGAAAUGCGAUAAAGCCAUCAUAAAAGUUAUUGACAUUUAACAAACCGAUGGGUUUCUGGUGAAUGUGCAGAUGGGCCCAAGAUGCUAGUGUGAUAAGUGCCUCUAGUGUUGCAAGAUCUCUUGGAAGGAAAAUAAAAGCAUCAGCAUGAUUAAGCAUUUCAAUUAUUCUUUCUUGCAUACCUAAGACGACUAACUCUUCUCCAGUUGAUGAGUCAGACGAACUGCCCAAUGGUUUUAAGACUCUGGGGAUGAUGCCUAACACUUGACUUCCUCUGAUAAAAGUUGCUUCUGAGACCAUUUUUGAUAACCCUCGGUUACCUUCUCUAUACACCAAGUGUAAUUUUCUCUCUGCUAUACUUCGACCAAGAUCGAUGGCUGCCUCAACGAACUCUUUAUGUUUGCCAUAUGUAAAUCCAGAAAGCACACAAAUGUUCUUGAAUUGUCUAUUGGGAGUAGCUGCCAUUGUGACACUUCUCAAAAACAAUUUGUGAGUGCUUGACAAAAAAGAAAUCACAUUUAAAAAUCUUGGUGACAGUGGAUCACAGUUGUGUAUGAGGUAACAUGUUAGUGUCAAAUAACGAGUAAAGCACAUGGCUCGCGAGUCAAAAAGGAAACAGUAAAAAGGAAAAAGCAAACAGUAAUAAAAUUAUUAAAGACAAUAAUGCACACAAUAAAACAAUAGUGAAAUAAAAUAACAGUAAAGUAAAUGGAUAUUUACAGGUAGUUACGACUGUGGCUCACAUCUUCCUCUGGUUUUACGUCCAGAAACGGCUUGAACGCCCUCUAUGGGUCGAGGAUAGGCUUCCUAUCCAGUUUUCUUAUAAACUGGCAAACAAGGUCGUUUAUAGUCAGAUUCCCGAGACUAUAUCGUGCAUGCUCUUUCUGCAAUAAUGGCCAUAACUGGAGAAUCGUUCCUUGCACAUAUCCACUGGGAUGCGUUUCAAGAGACAAAAGGAUAUCAUCCAAUGACUCCUUAUUCAAGCCAUCCCUAAUGAAUUGAAUCCUAUCUUCCCUGUUAUCAGACCCCAUUCCUAAAGAACAUGGGUUUUUAUUGCAACUCAUUAUGGCACACUUAUGAUAAGCAACAGAAAUUCUUUGAGCUCGUCGUUUUCUUGCAUAAUUUCCUUUACCACAACCAGGCACGUAUGCAAUAAAUUUUGGAGGUAACUCACCUGCCGAUCGUACUUUCGCCUCAAUUAACCAACGGAUAUCAGCAGGUAUGUUAUUCCUCAUAAGCAAUCGCAUGCGUUCGGACCGAGCUUUAUAGAUCGUAAGGAGGGCAUUCUUAGGAAGUGAAGGGAAUCGCUUGUGAAGCUUCGCUAGAAUCUCGUUUCUGUCCAUACCUUCGCCUCAGAAUAUCAGUUAUUAUGGAAAACUGAAGUAACCGACUUGAUUGUCACGGAGUACCGUUAUCCGCCACUUCACCGGGAUAACAAACUAAAGCACACAAACAGAAAAACAAAUUAAAACACACAAAGAAAAUUAAAAUCGUCCUCUUAUUGAAAUUGCCUCAAGCUCCAACUGGAUAUCCUAAACACUUCUCUCAAUGUCUCUGAGUUGGCUUUCUAAACCCUCAACAUAGGCUACUAACUCUGGUGGCUAUAGAGCCCAAAUGCGAUGUGUUUUACAAAAUUGAAUCUGCCUUUUAAGAUGAGUUUUGACACGUUGAAGUGGUUUAAAAAUGUUCAGGAGGAACGAUCUAAGUAAGGUACUCAUGAUAAAAAAAUGAUAAGAGAAAACUUAAUAGUUAAACAAACACACUUAUGCAAAAAUAAUUUCAAUUAGCAAAAGAAUAAUAUAAAGAAAGAAAGAAAAAAAAAUCAAAUCACCAAAAAGAAAAAAAAAUCAAUUCAAAUUUAGUGGGUCACCUAAAUUUAUUUCGAUGUCUUCUCCGUGUGGUUGGUAUUCUAGAUAUGACUUUAAUCUUUGACCAUUAACUUUAAACGUGACACCGUUCUUUGGGUCCUUAAUUUCAAUUGCCCCAUGUGGAAAAACAGUAUGAACAAUAAAUGGGCCAGACCAACGAGAGCGUAACUUACCUGGGAAUAGGUGCAAGCGAGAAUUGAAUAAAAUCACUUUCUGACCUGGAGUGAACAAUUUUCUCAUAAUUUGCUUAUCAUGGAAGACUUUCAUUUGUUGCUUGUAAAUCUUGGCAUUUUCGUAUGUAUCAUUGUGAAUUUCUUCAAGUUCUGUCAGUUGUAAUCUUCUUUCUGAGCUGGCUUGCUGCAUGUCAAAAUUGAAUUUUUUGAUGGCCCAAUAUGCACGAUGCUCGAGUUCCACAGGUAGGUGGCAAGCUUUUCCAUACACUAGCCUGUAGGGUGACAUCCCAAUCGGGGUCUUGAAAGCCGUUCUAUAUGCCCAUAAUGCAUCAUCAAGUCUUAAUGACCAAUCUUUCCUGUCUGGCCUCACCGUUUUUUCUAAUAUGUGCUUUAUUUCUCGAUUGGAGAUCUCAACUUGGCCACUAGUUUGCGGAUGAUAUGGGGUUGCCACUUUAUGAGUGAUUGAAUACUUUGUCAAAAGAGCUUUGAAUGCUUUGUUACAAAAGUGGGCACCACCAUCACUGAUUAUUGCUCGAGGGAAUCCAAAGCGUGAGACAAUAUUGCUUUUCAAAAAUCCUAUCACCACCUUGUGAACAUUGGUUCUGCAUGGAAUUGCUUUUACCCAUUUCGAUACAUAGUCAACAGCAACCAAUAUGUAUUGAUGGCCAAAAGAAGGGGGAAAUGGUCCCAUGAAGUCGAUACCCCAUACAUCAAAAAUCUCAACCAUUAAAAUUGGAUUUAGUGGCAUCAUGUUCCUUCAUGUAAUGCUCCCCAUUCGUUGACACCUAUCACAUGAAGAAUAGAAAGUGUAAGCAUCUCGAAAUAUAGUUGACCAAUAAAAACCACAUCGUAAAACUUUAGUUGCUGUUUUCUUAGCACUGAAAUGGCCUCCACAAACUUGUUCAUGGCAGAAUGAAAGGAUAUUCUGAAUUUAACUUUCUGGGACACAUCGUCUAACAAUUUGGUCUGCACAAUACUUGAACAAAUACGGGUCAUCCCAAAAGAAAUUCUUUAUCUCUGCAAAGAAUUUAGCCUUGUCUUGCUUGGUCCAAUGCUCAGGAAGUUUACCUGUAACAAGAUAAUUAAAUAUAUCAGCAUACCAAGGUAAUACUUCCACACUCAUUAAUUGUUCAUCUGGAAAUGACUCAUUUAAUGAUAAUGGUUCUGUAAUUGUGUCAAAAUGGAGACGAGAGAGAUGAUCCGCCACAAUAUUUUCUGUCUCUUUCUUAUCUUUGAAUUCCAAGUCAAAUUCCUGCAAAAGUAACACCCAACGAAUUAGUCUAGCUUUUGCAUCUUUCUUUGUGAGAAGAUAUUUAAGAGCAGCAUGAUCUGUGAAUACAAUUAUUUUACAACCGAUGAGAUAGGAUCGAAAUUUUUCCAAUGCAAACACUACUGCUAGCAUUUCUUUUUCAGUAGUUGAAUAGUUCAACUGUGCAUCAUUUAAUGUCAUACUAGCAUAGUAAAUAACAUGGGGAAUUCAAUCAACUCUUUGUCCUAAUACUGCUCCUACUGCAUAAUCAGAUGCAUCACACAUGAGCUCAAAUGGUAAACUCCAGUUUGGGGCCUGAAUGAUGGGUGAUGAUGUCAAUAAUUGCUUUAGUUUUUCAAACGCCAUAAGACAUGAAUCAGUAAAGAUAAAAAGGUACAUUCUUAGCAAGUAGAUUGCAUAAGGGUCUAGAAACUUUGCUAAAAUUUUUAAUGAAACGUCUAUAGAAACCAGCAUGCCCAAGGAACGAUCUUACUUCUCUGACUGUUUUGGGUGGAGGAAGAUUAGAAAUGAGAUCCACCUUGGCUUUGUCAACCUCAAUACCUUUACUUGAAAUGAUGUGACCGAGAACAAUACCUUGUUUUACCAUAAAAUGGCACUUCUCCUAAUUUAAGACCAAGUUCUUCUCGAUACAUCUCUGCAGAACUAGCGUUAGAUGAUGUAAACAUUGAUCAAACGAGUCACCAAAGACAGAAAAGUCAUCCAUAAAGACUUCAAGGAAUCGUUCAACCAUAUCAGAAAAAAUGCUCAACAUGCAUCGUUGAAAUGUAGCAGGUGCAUACAUAAUCCAAAUGGCAUUCUCCUAUAUGCAAAUGUGCCAAAAGGGCAAGUGAAAGUGGUCUUCUCUUGAUCUUUUGGUGCUAUGGGGAUCUGAUUAUAUCCUGAGUAGCCAUCUAGAAAGCAAUAAAAUUCAUGGCCUGCUAAUCUAUCAAGCAUUUGAUCAAUAAAUGGUAAAGGAAAAUGGUCUUUACGUGUGACAGAAUUCAACUUUCUAUAAUCAAUGCAUACACGCCAUUCUGUAGUUACUCUAGUGGGUAUCAAUUCAUUAUUAAUUCAUUACUCUAAUAGCUUAAGGACUUCAGUUCUAACAACUUCUUUCAUAUUAGGAUUUAACCGACGUUGUAUUUCCCUAGUAGAUUUAGCAUUUUCAUCAAGGUGAAUGUAAUGCAUGCAGUCUACUGGGUUUAUACCUUUAAUGUCUGCUAUGGUCCAUCCUAAUGCUCCUUUGUGCUCUUUUAAAACAUCCAACAACUUACCUUUUUGUUCGUCAUUGAGGGAUGAUGAGAUGAUUACCGGCAGAGUACUUUCUUCUCCCAAAAAUGCAUAUUCCAGAGUGUUGGGUAAUGGUUUGAGCUCGAGUUUCGGUGGUGAUUCUGAUGAUGGAAUGAGUUGCUUCUCUGAUGGUGCUAGUUGUUCAACUCUUGACUUCCAUUUAUUAGUGUCCAUGGAUGGUGCUGAGUCAAGUAGGGCGUUGACCUCAUCGACCGAUCUGUCAAUAUCAAAAUCCAAACCAAAGUGAGUUAAGCAUGUUUGUAAAGGCUCAUCACUAAGGUUUGAAAGAAAAGUGUUAUCAACUAUUGUUUCUAUUAAAUCCACAUCAACAAUUCCAUCAUCUGCAUUGUGAGGUUGUUUGGCAAUGUUGAAGAUGUUCAGCUCCAUAGUCAUGUUGCCGAAGGACAACUGCAUAUUUCCAGUCCUGCAUUGAAUGUGAGCAUCCGCAGUUGCCAAGAAAGGUCGUCCUAGAAUAAUGGGGAUGUGCUUCCUUGAAUCCUGUAUUGGUUGAGUGUCAAUUAUAAUGAAAUUAACAGGAAAAUAAAACUUGUCUACCUGGAUAAGCACGUCCUCCAUAAUACCACGAGGUAUUUUCAUGGACCGAUCUGCAAGCUGUAACACCACUGGAGUUGGGUGUAAUUCUCCCAGUCCAAGUUUCACGAAUUCUGAAUAAGGCAAUAGAUUUACACUAGCUCCUAAAUCCAACAAAGCAUUCUCAAUUGUGUGGUUCUCUAUACUACAUGAGAUACUGAAUAAUGGAGCUUUGGGAAUAUAUUCUCGUGGGUUGGUUUCUUCUUUCUCCUCCGGUGAUGAGUCCUCAACACUCACAGGUACAAUUUGAUUUUCUUUUGUCACCGGCAUCUCCACUUUGUUGUCGGCUUCUUUUCCUUUUCGCAAGGUCAUAACUGCUUUGACUUCUCUAUGCUGCUGUGGUGAACUAGUACUUGCUUCAUGCACUCCUUUAGGAUUAGGCACUCGUUGACUUGGAAAUUUGCCUUUCUUAACAGUCAUUGCCAAGGUCUGAACUGAAGAAGCAAGUUGUCCCACUAUCUUUUCGAGUAUUGAAACUGAUUGGGCUUGUGAAUUGAAGCCUGCUCUCAACUCAUUUCAUAGUCCAUCAAUGGUGCGGUUUUGUUGCUCAAUUAUGGAGUGAGUAACAUUCUUGAAAUUCUGGAAUGCAUCCUCCCAUGGUCUAGGUUGAGAGUAGUUUUGGUUCUUAUUGUAUGGUCUAAAUGGUGGCUGAAAGGCUUGAGUAUUUUAUGGAAUUUGUUGCAUUGGUGGAGCUGGAGUUGCUGGUCCAUUCUGUUGGAAUCCUUGAGACCAUGAAAAAUUGGAGUGGUCUCUCCAUCCAGGGUUAUAUGUGCUAGAGUAUGGAUUAUAAUUCGAUGGUUUUCUCAUUACACCUAUGGCAUUGGCUUGAUCAGAGUAUGAGUCAUGGUCAUGUGGUUCUGUUGAUUUAGCAGUCGAUAACGAUGCUAUUUGUCGAGCAAGACCUUCAACCAUCUCCUUGACUUCUUUGAUUCCCGAAGUUGACUCGCCAAUGUGAACCUCAUUCACUCCUUUAAUUCUUUUAGUAUUCCUGAGUGAUCGACUCCGUUGUUGGAAUUAUCCGCUUGUCGCUGGAAGAAUUCCCAAAUUUCUGAUGUACUUUUUGACAUUAGCUCUCCUCCACUUGUUGCCAUUAGCCAUUCUUGCACAUUCGGCAAUAAUCCCUCCAAAACGUAUUGGCAUUGGUGCCAUUUCUCGUACCCAUGAUGUGGACACUUCAAGAGUAGCCCAUUGAAUCGCUCCCAUGUUUCAAAAAACUGCUCGUCCUCUCUCUGGGUAAACUCUGAGAUUUCCCUGCGAAUAGCGUUGGUUUUAUGCACUGGGAAAUAUUUAUUCAAAAAUUUUGUUACCAUUUGUUCCCAUGAUGAAAUGCUAUUAGCAGAUAAAAUAUUUAACCAUGAACGAGCUCUAUCCUUUAAAGAAAAUGGGAAUAAUCUGAGUUUAACAUCAUCAUCUGAAAAAUUUUCAUAUUUAAAAGUUUGACAAAUUGCAUGAAAAUCAUUCAGAUGAUUAUAUGGGUCCUCAUUUCCUAGGCCAUAAAAUGUUGGGAGACAAUUUAGCACACUGGGUUUUAAUUCAAAACUCCUAGCAGCUACGUUUGGGUAUCUUAUGCAUGAUGUGCUCAAAUUAGCUAAGAGACUAAAAUAGUCCUUAAAUAGCCUCUCCUGUGGUGCUUGUAAAUCCAUUUUAUUUUUAAAGUUCUUGUGUGUGCGAAGUGUUUUUUCUAGUUCAAGGUCUAUAGGUUCAAGAUUAGGUAAUAAUGACCUACGACCAUGCAUGCAAAACAAAUAAAAAAAAUAAAGAUGGGAACAAAACAAAUAAAAAUAAAGAAGAGGGAGAAAUUACGAUACUAACCUUAUUGCGCUAUUACAACCUUUCUAUAAAAAUACACAAAAAUAAAUAUGUGAAAUUAACUGAAAAUUAAAUUAAAACUUAAUAAAGAAAAUUAAAUUAAGAUAAACAAAAAUUACAAAGAAAAAUAAUUUAAAAAUUAAAUUGCAUAAUUGUAAAGAAUAGAGAAAGAAAAUAAAUACUAACCUCUAAAUGCAGAUUCACUUUUUUUUUCUUUUUUUUUAAAGAAAAAAAAUACAAGACAACAAUUAUUCACACGAGGAGGUGGAUUUUUAAAAGAAAUUAUUCACACAAAUUAAUUCUAUGAAUUAAAAUUACUUACCUCCCCGGCAACGGCGCCAAAAACUUGUUGUGCAAAUUUUAAUGUACUCGCAAGCGCACGAAUCUAUUGUAGUAUAGAUCAAUAGUGACGAGUGUCGAUCCCACGAGGAGGUGGAUUUUAAUUAUAUGUAGAAUUAAUUUUGUAAAUGGGUGGUUGAAAUUGUGAUGGAAGUGAUUUAAAUUAUCCUAAAAUUGGAAUUGCAAUGGCGAGAAUAAAUUGAAGCAAAAUCUAUUGAAAUGACGUACUUGGGUAUCUGGAUCCGUAUCAACAUGCAUCAUGGGCUAAAUAAUCCGUAUUAAUGCCAAUUAAAUCAUGAGGGGGGAAUCCACACCUCAUGAACCACGCUCUAAUCAAUAUGGUGCUAAGGGCUUAUCGUGUCAAAUAAUAAUAACCUUGUACUAGAGGGCCGGUGAAACCAAGGCGGUACUAGACAAGAAUAUUAUUAUUUGUCGAUGAGAAGUCAAAACAUCCACAAAAACUAGAGGGGAAGAGAAAAUAAAUUUACCAAAUUAAGCCCAUGACACAUGUUGAGACUUCACCUUCAACCCAAGCUUGAAAGAAAAUUAGCCACUCAUAAUUGAACUAGGGGUAAAAUGGAAAUUUAUUAAAAUAUGAAGAAAAUACAAGAUGGAGAAGGAAUUACAGAAAAUGGAUCCCAAAAAUAGAUUCAGAGAUAUCAAAUUAGGGGGGAGAGGCCCCCUUUUUAUAGAUACAUGGAGUAAAUCAUGGCCAUCGGAUUAAAAACAGUUUGGACGCUCAGGAUUGCUCCACGUCAUCAAUCAACAGUACGCGAUUUGACCACGCGGAUGAACAGUAACACGGUUUGACCUGGAUGAAUAGUAACGCGGUUUGACCCGGAUUAACAGUAACGCGGUUUGGUUGAAAAUAAUCCUGUGUGAUGCAUAUACCAUACGCGAGAUUUUUCGUCCACUGAUAUGCUGCCACGUCACCAUCAACAGUACAUAAGAAUUUUAGCCCAACAGGAUCGUAACACCUCAUCAGUCAAUGCCACAUCAUCGGUCAAUGCCACGUCAUCGAUCCGUCUAUGUGAACAGUGCCGUGAACAGUAACGUAUACGGUACCGUACAUGUGAAUAGUACCGUACAUGUGAACAGUGCCAUUUUUCCUUUUAUGCUCCUCCUAAGGUUUUCGACCGUCCUGAGUUCAAAAGUGAUGUCCGUUUUGCCAUCUGAUCUCUCGUUUAUUGUGAAAUGACUAUGAUGCCCUUAAAAUACAUAAAAUACUUAAUUAAAAUAAAACAAACGGAAUUAAAUCAAAAGAAGGUUAAAUUCAUAAAAGUAAAGGUGUUAGUAAGACUUGAAAUGUAAAAUGACGGUUUUCUCCUUUAUAAAUAUGCAUUUUCUAACACUCAACAACACCGUUCUUUGGGUCUUUAAUUUCAAUUGCCCCAUGUGGAAAAACAGUAUGAACAAUAAAGGGGUCAAACCAUCGAGAUCGUAACUUACCUGAGAAUAGGUGUAAGCGAAAAUUGAACAAAAGCACUUUCUGACCUGGAAUGAACAAUUUUCUCAUAAUUUUCUUGUCAUGAAAGACUUUCAUUCGUUGCUUGUAAAUCUUGACGUUUUCAUAUGCGUCAUUACGAAUUUCUUCAAGUUUUGCCAGUUGCAAUUUUCUUUCUGAGUUGGCUUGCUGCAUGUCAAAGUUGAAUUUCUUGAUGGCCCAAUAUGCACGAUGCUCGAGUUCCACAGGUAGGUGGCAAGCUUUUCCAUACACUAGCCUGUAGGGUGACAUACCAAUCGGGGUCUUGAAAGCCGUUCUAUAUGCCCAUAAUGCAUCAUCAAGUCUUAAUGACCAAUCUUUUCUUUCUGGCCUCACCGUCUUUUCUAAUAUGUGCUUUAUUUGUCGAUUGGAGAUCUCAACUUGGCCACUAGUUUGCGGAUGAUAUGGGGUUGCCACUUUGUGUGUGAUGGAAUACUUUGUCAAAAGAGCUUUGAAUGCUUUGUUACAAAAGUGGGCACCACCAUCACUGAUUAUUGCUCGAGGGAAUCCAAAGCGCAAAACAAUGUUGCUUUUCAAAAAUCCUAUUACCACCUUGUGAUCAUUGGUCCUGCAUGGAAUUGUUCUACCUAUUUCGAUACGUAGUCAACAGCAACCAAUAUCUAUUGAUGGCCAAAAGAAGGGGGAAAGGGUCCCAUAAAGUUGAUACCCUAUACAUAAAAAAUCUCAACCACUAAAAUUGGAUUUAGUGGCAUCAUGUUCCUUCGUGUAAUGCUCCCCAUUCGAAGACACCUAUCACAUAAAGAACAGAAAGUGUAAGCGUCUCGAAAUAUAGUUGGCCAAUAAAAACCACAUUGUAAAACUUUAGUCGUUGUUUUCUUAGCACUGAAAUGACCUCCACAAGCUUGUUCAUGGCAGAAUGAAAGAAUAUUCUGAAUUUCACUUUUUGGAACACAUCAUCUAACGAUUUGAUCUACACAAUACUUGAACAAAUACGGGUCAUGCCAAAAGAAAUUCUUUAUAUCCGCAAAGAAUUUAGCCUUGUCUUGCUUGGUCCAAUGCUCUGGAAGUUGACCUGUAACAAGAUAAUUAACGAUAUCAGCAUACCAUGGUAAUACUUCCACACUCAUCAAUUGUUCAUCUAGGAAUGACUCAUUCAAUGGUAAUGAUUCCAUAAUUGUGUCAAAAUGGAGACGAGAGAGAUGGUCAGCUACAACAUUCUCUGUGCCUUUCUUAUCUUUAAAUUCCAAAUCGAACUCCUGCAAAAGUAACACCCAACGAAUUAGUCUAGCUUUUGCAUCUUUCUUUGUGAGAAGAUAUUUAAGAGCAGCAUGAUCUGUGAAUAUAAUUAUUUUAUAACCAAUGACAUAAGAUCGAAUUUUUCCAAUGCAAACACUACUGCUAGCAUUUCUUUUUCAGUAGUUGAAUAGUUCAUCUGUGCAUCAUUCAAUGUCAUACUAGCAUAGUAAAUAACAUGGGAAAUUUGAUCAACUCUUUGUCCUAAUACUGCUCCUACUGCAUAAUCAGAUGUAUCACACAUGAGUUCAAAUGGUAGGCUCCAGUUUGGGGGCUGAAUGAUGGGUGAUGAUGUCAAUGUUGAGUGUUAGAAAAUGCAUAUUUAUAAAGGAGAAAACCGUCAUUUUACAUUUAAGUCUUACUAACAACCCUUACUUUUAUGUAUUUAACCUUCUUGUGAUUUAAUUACAUGUGUUUUAUUUUAAUUAAGUAUUUUAUGUAUUUUAGGGGCAUUAUAGUCAUUUCACAAUAAAUGAGAGAUCAAACGGCAAAACGGACAUCAAUUUUGAACUUAGGACGGUCGAAAACCUUAGGAGGAGCAUAAAAGGAAAAAUGGCACUAUUCACAUGUAUGGUACUGUCUACGUUACUGUUCACGACACUGUUCACCUAGACGGAUCAAUGACGUGGCAUUGACCGAUGAUGUGGCAUUGACUGAUGAGGUGUCAUGAUCCUGUUGGACUAAAAUUAUUAUGUACUGUUGAUGGUGACGUGGCAGCAUAUCAGUGGACGAAAAAUCUCACGUACGGUACAUGCAUCACACAGGAUUAUUUUCAACCAAACCGUGUUACUGUUCAACCCGGGUCAAACCGUGUUACUGUUCAUCCAUGUGGUCAAACCGCGUACUGUUGACUGAUGACGUGGCGCAAUCAUGAGCGUCUAAACUGUUUUUAAUCCGAUGGCCAUGAUUUACUCCAUGUAUCUAUAAAAAAGGGGGCCUCUCCCCCCUAAUUUGAUAUCUCUGAAUCUAUUUUUGGGAUCCAUUUUUUAUAAUUCAUUCUCCAUCUUGUAUUUUCUUUGUAUUUUAAUAAAUUUUCAUUUUACCCCUAGUUCAAUUAUGAGUAGCUAAUUUUCUUUCAAGCUUGGGUUGAAGGUGAAGUCUCAAUAUGUGUUAUGGGCUUAAUUUGGUAAAUUUAUUUUCUCUUCCCCUCUAGUUUUUGUGGAUGUUUUGACUUCUCGUCGACAAAUAAUAAUAAUCUUGUCUAGAUACCGCCUUGGUUACACCGGCUCUCUAGUAUAAGGUUAUUAUUAUUUGGCACGAUAAGACAUAAGCCCUUAGCACCAUAUUGAUUAGAGCGUGGUUCAUGAGGUGUGGACUCCCCUCUCAUGAUUUAAUUGGCAUUAAUAAGGAUUAUUUAGCCCAUGAUGCAUGUUGAUACGGAUCCAGAUACCCAAGUACGUCAUUUCAAUAUAAUUCUCUUCAAUUUAUUCUCGCCAUUUCAAUUCCAAUUUUAAAAUUUAUUCUCGUCAUUUUAUUUUAAGUUUUAGCAUAUUCCAAAUCAUUUCCACCACAAAUCCAAUCACUCAUUUACAAAAUUAAUUCUACACAGAAUUAAAAUCCACCUCCUCGUAGGAUCGACAUUCGUCACCAUUGAUCUAUAGUACAAUAGAUUCGUGCGCUUGCGAGUUCAAUAAAAUUUGCACAACAAGUUUUUGGCGCCGUUGCCGGGGAGGUAAGUUAUUUUAAUUCGUAGAAUUAAUUUUUGUGAUUAAUUUCUUUUAAUUUUUUUUUGUAAUUUUUUUUAUUAAAAAAAAGUGAAUCUACAUUUAAAGGUUAGUAUUUCUUUUCUUUUUCUCUUCUUUAAAAUUCUGUAAUUUAAUUUUCAAUUUAUUUUUCUUUGUAAAUUUUUUUUUGUUUAUCUUAUUAAUUUAUUUUUAGUUAAUUUAUUUUCACGUUUUUUUUGGUGUGUUUUAUAGUAAGGUUGUAACAGUUUGAUAAGGUUAGUAUCGUAAUUUCUCUUUUUUCUUUAUUUUUAUUCGUUUUGUUCCCAUUUAUUUUUGUGUUCCUUGCAUGCAUGGUCGUAGGUCAUUAUUUCCUAAUCUUGAACCAUAGACCUUGAAUUAGAAAAAAACAUUUCGCACACACAAACAAGUUAAAAAUAAAAUGGAUUUGCAACCACAGGAGAGGCCAUUUAAGGACUACUUCAGUCCUUUAGCUAAUUUGAGCACAUCAUGCAUAAGAUACCCAAAUGUAGCUGCUAGGAGUUUUGAACUAAAACCUAGUGUGCUAAAUUGUCUCCCAACAUUCUAUGGCCUAGAAAAUGAGGACCCAUAUAAUCAUUUGAAUGAUUUUCAUGCUAUUUGUCAAACAUUUAAAUAUGAGAAUUUUUCAGAUGAUGAUGUAAAACUUAGAUUAUUCUCAUUUUCUUUAAAAGAUAGAGCUCGUUCAUGGCUUAAUACAUUGCCUGCUAAUAGCAUUACAUCAUGGGAACAAAUGGUAACAAAAUUUCUGAAUAAAUAUUUCCCAGUGUAUAAAACCAAUGCUAUUCAUAGGGAAAUCUCAGAGUUUACCCAGAGAGAUGACGAACAGUUUUUCGACACGUGGGAGCGAUUCAAUGGGCUACUCUUGAAGUGUUCACAUCAUAGGUACGAGAAAUGGCACCAAUGCCAUUACGUUUUGGAGGGAUUAUUGCCGAAUGUGCAAGAAUGGCUAAUGGCAACAAGUGGAGGAGAACUAAUGUCAAAAAGUGCAUCAGAGAUUUGGGAAUUCUUCCAGCGACAAGCGGAUAAUUCCCAACAACGGAGUCGAUCACUUAGGAAUACUAGAAGAAUUAAAGGAGUAAAUGAGGUUCACAUUGGCGAGUCAACUUCGGGAAUCAAAUAAGUCAAGGAGAUGGUUGAAGGUCUUGCUCGACAAAUAGCAUCGUUAUCGACUGCUAAAUCAACAGAGCCACAUGACCAUGACUCAUACUCAGAUCAAGCCAAUGCCAUAGGUGUAAUGAGAAAGCCAUCAAAUUACAACCCAUACUCCAACACAUACAACCCUGGAUGGAGAGACCACCCCAAUUUUUCAUGGUCUCAUGGAUUCCAACAGAAUGGAUCAGUAGCUCCAGCUCCACCAAUGCAACCAAUUCCUCAAAAUCCUCAAGCCUCUCAGCCCCCAUUUAAACUAUUCAAUCAGAACCAGAACUACUCUCAACCUAGACCAUGGGAGGAUGCAUUCCAAAAUUUCAGGAAUGUUACUCACUCCACGAUUGAGCAACAGAACCGCACCAUUGAUGGACUAUGAAAUGAGUUGAGAGCAGGCUUCAAUUCACAAGCCCAAUCAGUUUCAAGCCUUGAAAAGAUGGUGGGACAACUUACUUCUUCAGUUCAGACCUUGGCAAUGACUGUUGAGAAAGGUAAAUUUCCAAGUCAACCAGUGCCUAAUCCUAAAGGAGUACAUGAAGCAAGUACCAGUUCACCACAGCAGCAUGGAGAGGUCAAAGCAGUCAUGACCAUGCGAAAAGGAAAAGAAGUCGACAACAAAGUGGAGAUGCCGGUGAUAAAAGAAAAUCAAAUUGUACCUGUGAAUGUUGAUAACUCACCACCGGAUGAGAAAGAAGAAACCAACCCACGAGAAUAUGUUCCCAAAGCUCCAUUUCCUCAAAGGUUAGCGAAAGGAAAGAAGGGAAAAUCCACAGGUGAGAUUCUUGAAAUCUUCAAACAGGUAAGUGUUAACAUCCCUUUACUUGAUGCAAUUAAACAAGUUCCAUCUUAUGCCAAGUUUUUUAAAGACCUUUGUACUAAAAAGAGAAACAUUCAUGCUCAAAAGAAGGCAUUUUUAACAGAAAACGUUAGUUCUAUACUCCAACAUAAAAUUCCUCUAAAAUGCAAAGACCUAGGCUCCCCUACUAUCUCAUGUAGCAUAGGGAACCACACAAUUGAGAAUGCUUUAUUAGAUUUAGGAGCUAGUGUAAAUCUGUUGCCUUACUCAGUAUUUUUGAAACUUGGACUUGGAGAAUUACACCCAACUCCAGUGGUGUUACAGCUUACAGACCAGUCCACGAAAAUACCUCGUGGUAUUGCGGAGGACGUGCUUAUCCAGGUAGACAGGUUUUAUUUUCCUGUUGAUUUCAUUGUAAUUGACACUCAACCAAUACAGGAUUUAAGGAAGCACAUCCCCAUUAUUCUGAGCCAACCUUUCUUGGCAACUGCGGAUGCUCACAUUCAAUGCAGGACUGGAAAUAUGCAGUUGUCCUUCGGCAACAUGACUAUGGAGCUGAAUAUCUUCAACAUUGCCAAACAACCUCACAAUGCAGAUGAUGGAAUUGUUGAUGUGGAUUUAAUUGAAGCAUUAGUUGAUGACACUUUUGUUUCAAACCUUAGUGAUGAUCCUUUACAAGCGUGUUUAACUCACUUUGGUUUUGAUUUUGAUAUUGACAGAUCUGUUGAUGAGGUCAACGCCCUGCUUGACUCAGCACCAUCUAUGGACACUAAUAAAUGGAAGUCAAGAGUUGAACAAUUAGCACCAUUAGAGAAGAAACUCAUCCCAUCAUCAGAAUCACCACCAAAACUCGAGCUCAAACCAUUGCCCAACACAUUGGCAUAUGCAUUUUUGGGAGAAGAAAGUACUCUACCGGUAAUCAUCUCAUCAUCCCUAAAUGACGAACAAAAAGGUAAGUUGUUGGAUGUUUUGAAAGAGCACAAAGGGGCAUUAGGAUGCACUAUAGCAGACAUAAAAGGUAUAAACCCAGUAGAUUGCAUGCAUUACAUUCACCUUGAUGAAAAUGCUAAAUCUACUAGGAAAUGCAUCGUCGGUUAAAUCCUAAUAUGAAAGAAGUUGUUAGAACUGAAGUCCUUAAGCUAUUAGAUGCAGGUAUCAUUUACCCAAUUUCUGAUAGUUCGUGGGUCAGUCCUGUACAAGUUGUCCCCAAAAAGUCAGGAGUCACAAUAGUUACGAAUACUGAUAAUGAAUUGAUACCCACUAGAGUGACUACAAGAUGGCGUGUAUGCAUUGAUUAUAGAAAGUUGAAUUCUGUCACACGUAAAUACCAUUUUCCUUUGCCAUUUAUCAAUCAAAUGCUUGAUAGAUUAGCAGGCCAUGAAUUUUAUUGCUUUCUAGAUGGCUACUCAGGAUAUAAUCAAAUUCCCAUAGCACCAAAAGAUCAAGAGAAAACCACUUUCACUUGCCCUUUUGGCACUUUUGCAUAUAGGAGGAUGCCAUUUGGAUUAUGUAAUGCACCUGCUACAUUUCAACGAUGCAUGUUAAGCAUUUUUUCUGAUAUGGUUGAACGAUUCCUUGAAGUCUUUAUGGAUGAUUUUUCUAUCUUUGGUGACUCGUUUGAUCAAUGUUUACAUCAUCUAACACUAGUUCUGUAGAGAUGUGUCCAGAAGAACUUGAUCAAACCUUGCAAAAUCUUCAUAAACAACCUAGGACCCUUAGAGACUUCAUGCAUCCUACUAGAACAUGUCACCAUCAUGCAUAUUUUUCCCUCCUGAUGCAUCACGUUUUAAUUUCAAGCCUGGUAUCAUUCAACUUUUGCCUACCUUUCAUGGUUUUGAGUCUCAAAAUCCAUAUUUGCAUUUAAGGGAAUUUGAGGAAGUCUGUAACACCUGUACUGAUCAAAAUUGUAGCAUGAAUAUAAUUAGACUUAAGUUUUUUCCUUUCUCACUAAAAGAUAAAACUAAAACUUGGCUACAAAAUCUUAGGUCAAAAUCCAUCAGAACAUGGGAUUAAAUGCAAGCACAAUUUUUGAAAAAAUUCUUCCCACCCUACAGAACAAAUUCUUUCAAAAGACAAAUCACCACUUUCACUCAAAAACCAGGAGAAACUCUCUACCAAUGUUGGGAUAGGUUUAAAGAACUACUUAACAUUUGCCCACAUCACGGUUUUGAAACAUGGAGAUUAGUGUCUUAGUUCACUUGGAAUUUUAUAAUAUCAACUUGAAAUUUAACUGAAAGUAUUAGUAGUUAAGGAUUUUAAUAGAAAUAUUAAAUAGAAACAAUUAGUUAACAAGUUAAAACAAGUAAACCUAUAAUUGAGUAUGUUUAACUAAAAUUAGGGGCUAAUUUAACAAAAAGUUAAACAAUAGAAAGUAAAUUUGGCAUUUAACCCAAAUAGUUAAAAUUUUACCAAGUUAUUGGAAAUACUGAAACAAAAGUAUUGAAAUAAUAGUUGAAACACAUAAGUUAAAAAGGGAUAAAAUAUUAACCAAAUUCUAAUUUUAAAACUCAUCCAAUAAGAAAUGAAUUUACUUAGAAUUUAACAAAAAGUAUUGGUAUUUAAUGAACUUAAUAUGAACAUUAAACGCAUAGCUGGUAGAUUUAUAAGUUAGAAAUAUGUAAACCUAGAAGUAAGAAGGUUUAACCAAAAUUAAGGAAUAAAAAAAUAUAUAAAAAAGUCCAAUUGGUAUUUAACCUAAAUAAUUGCAACCUUACCUAAUUAGUAGGAAUAUUCGACAAAAAAAUAGUGGAAUAAUUAGUUGAACCAUAUGAACUUAGAAGGGAGACAAUUUAAGCAAAAUUAGGAACUUAUCCAAUGGGAAUGAAUAUUAUUUGGAAUCUAACCCAAAAUUGGCAUUAAAUGAAUGUAGUAGGAAUAUAAAACAUAAAACUGGCAAACUACUAAUUAAGUUGAAGCUUGUGGGCCUAUAAGUGAGAAAAUUUAACCAAAAUUAGAGACCAGUUUAACCAAAAAUAAAAUUAUAAAAAUAAAAUUUGGUGCUUAACCUCAAUAAUUAGAAUCUUAUUAAGUUAAUAGAAGUAUUCAACACAAAAAUAUGGAAAUUAGUAGUUGAAACUGGACACCAUAAGAGAGAAAGUUCAAGUAAAAUUUGGAACUCAUCCACCAGAAAUAAAUUUAACUUGCAAUCUAAUCAAAAUAUUGGUAUUGAAUGAAUAUAGUAGGAACAUCAAACACAAAACUAGAGGACUAAUAUGNNNNNNNNNNNNNNNNNNNNNNNNNNNNNNNNNNNNNNNNNNNNNNNNNNNNNNNNNNNNNNNNNNNNNNNNNNNNNNNNNNNNNNNNNNNNNNNNNNNNNNNNNNNNNNNNNNNNNNNNNNNNNNNNNNNNNNNNNNNNNNNNNNNNNNNNNNNNNNNNNNNNNNNNNNNNNNNNNNNNNNNNNNNNNNNNNNNNNNNNNNNNNNNNNNNNNNNNNNNNNNNNNNNNNNNNNNNNNNNNNNNNNNNNNNNNNNNNNNNNNNNNNNNNNNNNNNNNNNNNNNNNNNNNNNNNNNNNNNNNNNNNNNAAUGUUCCUAUUAAAUUCCUUAAAUACUAAUCUAUUGGGUUAGAAUGUAAGUAAAUUCAUUUCCUAUUGGAUAAGUUCACAUUUUCGUUAUAUUUUCUACUAUUUAGGCUCAGUAAUUUCAACUAAUUAUUCCAUCAUUUUUGUGUUGAGUAUUUCCAUUAACUUUGUAAGAUUCCAAUUAUAUAGGUUAGAUACUAAAUUUUUAUUUUUUAUAAAUUUAGUUUUGUUAGAUUAGUAACUUAUUUUGGUUAAACUUAUAGGUUCGUUUAUUCACUUUUAAGUUCACUAUUUUCGUGUUUUAUAUUCCUACUAAUGUCGUUAAAUACCAAUAUUUUGAGUUAUAUUUUAAACAACUUUCAUUUCUAUGAGAUGAGUUCAUAAUUUUAGUUCAACCUCAUUUCAUGUGGGUUUAUAUAUUUCAACUAUUAUUCCACUAAUUUUGUUCAGAAUAUAAAAAUGGAAGAAAUAGUUAUUUUUUUUGUAAAUAAUGGAGGAUAUAAUUUAAUGAUAGAUAGUAAUACAAUUAAGGAUAACAUAACUAAAUAUAGACAAUAUUAUUAUUCAGAACAAUUGUAUUUAUCCGGAGAGCUCAUGAAAUUAGAAUUGGAGAACUCAUACUAAUAAAGAAUUGAAAUUUCAACAUAGAUCCUAUUCUCCUAUUCACAGUUAGGAGAGAGGUUUAUAGAAAUAAUUUUUCAUGGAAAUAAUGGAAUAUUAAUUAUGUUGAGGAUUAUAUAGAUGAACUUGUGAUUGAUUAUAAUAGAUUUUUAACUAUUAAGCAAAGAGAUGAAGACAAUUGGAAUAAAUAAAGGAUCAGAAGUGAAUACUAUCCUUCUAGCAACAUUCUAAUAGGAUACAAAGAUUUAAUUAUAUAUAAGCUUUGUUAUAUACAUAAAGGAUUAGAAGAAAACAAUAUUGCUAAGGAUAUAAAAAAUAUUAUAUAUCACAAAUACUUGAUAGAAUAUAAUGAAAUAUUAUACAGAUGGUAUUAUGAAUAUAUUACUAGAACCAUUGAUAAUUUCACAAAAUAUAGAAACCAAUAAAUUUCCACCUUCUCGCUAUAGGCAUAAAGGAUUUACUUAUGAAAGAUUUCAACCAUUUGAUUUGGUAAAUGAUUUUGAUAUGUAAGGAAGUAAUAAGUUAAACUAAAUUUCUCUAUAUUUAUUAAAUAAAUUUGGAAAUCCUAAUUGAACCAUAAAUGAUAUAGAAGAAAGUGCAAAUGAAAUACUUGAAAUUAAAAGCUUUCAAGUUAAAAUGUUAAAAGAUCAAAUGAGUGAAGAAUUUGAUUCACUCAAACAAUUAUAAAAGACUUCAAAAUUAAAGAUUAAGAUAGAUUGAAAUAAGAAAUCAUUAAUGUCAUGAACACAAAUUCAAUUGAAGAUAAAUUAAAUAAGAUAGAAAUUCAAUUACAUAAAAUUGGAAAAAUCGUUGAACAACUUGGUAAUAAGUGACACGACUCAAAAGUGUAUUACUCUCAAGUAUAAGAGUGUCUAGUUAUAAUAUAACCCGGUGAGACCGGGGUCGAACCACAUGGAGUUUUAAAUCUAGUAAAACUAAGAAAAUUAAUUGUGGGAAAAAGAAAUUAUUUGAAAUCAAUUUAAAAAUAAGCUAAGGUUUAGGAUCCACUCUCUGUAUUCAAACUAUAAUUUUAAUACUCUCUCAUUUAUAUUUUGCCUCACUUUUACCAAUUAAUUAUUAUAUCAUUUAAUUCUAUGUGUGUGGAUAAAUAUAGAAUAAAGUACCUAAUGUGCCACACUAUAUUAAUGUAUCGAUAUUAUGUCAAAAUACCAUAAAAUCCAGUGAGAUUUAUAAAUUAACAUGAUAUAAAAAUAAUUAGAAAAGAAUUAAAAAAAAUUCAUUUGAGAAAAUAAUAAUAAUUAAUAGUUUGAAAUAUUGAGCUUCACUCCUCACCUCAGUUUAAUAAAAUUAGCUACUCAUAUUGAAAGAAAACACAACACUUUUUUUAUUUGAUAAAAUUUUUGAAAUAUAUUACAAAGAAAAUUGAUACAAACGGAAAUAAGAAAAGAAAAGAAACAAAGAAAGAAAGAAAAUCUUCAGUCUCGGCUUCAGCUCUCAAAUUUUGCUCUCCAGCUUCUCCCCGCUCUUCAAUUUCUCCUCCCUUUUUAUAGGCAACAAUUGCCUUUAACUUUCUUUAUUUUAUUAUUUAUUUAUUAUUUUAUUAUUAUUUUAAAAUAUAUAAGUGUGUUGAAAUGUGUGAUGGUCAGGAGGCGUAAUGGCCUCCUGACAAUCACCAACGUGUUUUUGUUCUUUUAUUUUUUAUUUUUUGUUUUUAUUUUAUUGAUUAUUUACUAUUACAUUUCUUCAAUUUUGUUCCAGUUGUUCUUCUUUGUUCCCGCUUUCAAUUUCAAUUCCAUCUUUAUUCCUGAAAACUAUUUAUAAGAUAAAAAUUAACAAAUUACAAAUUAAUUUAACAUAAAAUAUAUUUGGGGAGUAUUAAAAUAAUUUAGAAAUAAUGAACGCAUUAAUCGACACAAUAAGUGAAAAACUAAUAAUUUUAUCCUUAUUAAAUGUACACUUUUUAGUGUCAAUCACACCCCCCAACCAGCUUAUUGUUAGGCCCUAGCAAUUUAAGCGAUAAAAGUUUAGUAAAAUUUCAAACUCAAAUUGAAAAUCAUUUUUAAAAAAAAUUGUGUUUACUUCUUCCAUCAGAUUAAUGACAACAAUCAAAUAAAAGUAUAAAAAUUAUCUUCAGCUUAAAGAAAAUCACACCCUUUCAAAACAGUUCAGUAAAAUCCUGUAAAAUGAUCAAUCAUCAGAGCUACAUUAAUCAAGCAACUUUUAAGAAUGAUACAUCAAACCCCAAAAUCUCACGAUUAGGAGUGACUAUCUCAAAAGAAGAUAUACUCCAAAUUAAUUUGUCACUCUAAAAAAAUGGUAAAUUUGAGAGAAUAAUAAAACAAUAUCACACGCUCUCACCAAUAUAAAAAUUAAUGCCCACAACUUAGAAAUAAAAUGAUAUCAAAUCCAAUGAAUUACUAGCAAAAUUUAUUUUUAUUUUUACUCAUCACCACAUCUUUUAGUCCAUAUUACCAGCUUUUACUUCAAAUUAUAGUUCCCAAAAAUCGAGAAAGACUUUAAUUAGGACGUAACGUAGGCUAGGGUUAUGGCUAACAAAAAAGAUAAUAGGGAAAAUAAAAAUAUAUGUUUGAAAAAUAGGGGACUUUUUGGAGAUUAUAAGGUGCUCUUUUUUUUUUUUUCAAAGGUUCAAAGGGGUUAACUAUGGAUUCUUUAUAAUAGGGUUGGCUAGAAAGGCUCAAACAGAUCAAAGAUAGCCUUCUGUCAUCUUUUAGGAUUCUAUAUAAUCUUUCAUAUCCACUAGUUCAAUGGACUUUUAUAUGCGGCUGCACAAACUUUUUUUUUUUAAUAUUGAGAUCUUGUACAAUAAAUUGUGAAGCUGUAUAGGCAAACAAGGUUACUCUUCAAGGAUAACAGGCUCAAAAACUCGCUUGGUCUUUUUAUAACAUGUACAUUCAUCCAAAUGGCUUAAUCAAUUUCACUCAUUCAAUUUCUCAAUUUAUAUUUCAACAUACAAAGGGAAAAACAUAGUGUAAUAUAACUCAAGGCCAAAGAUAAAACGAAUACCAAAAUUUGAAAAUCAUCAUGUUAUCCAAUGUUAAAAGAUCACACCAAAAAAGAAAAUAAUUUUUUUUUUAAGAAAGCACUAAAAAUUUGGGACUAAUUACAGAAACUUAAGGGAGAUGAUUAAGAGAAAAAGACCGAAAACAAAAAGUUAGAAACAUUUUUUUUUUGGAAGAAAACACAAAAAUUAAGAAAAUGCGUUUCUAGAGAUACUACAUUCUAUAUUCUAUCAUCUUCGACUUAAAUUUUUAUCCAAAGUUAGUCUUUACAACAAAAAUUAGUAAAAACAUCACUAGGAAUGAGACAUUCCACAAUUAUCGACUAUUCCCUCCCCCCAACCUAAAUGAGACAUUGUCCUCAAUGUCUAAAGAAAGGAGUAGAGUUUAGAAGAUAUCACCUAGACACUGUUGGAAAUAUUUACAGACGGAGAGUUAAAUCUAAUUUACACUUUUUACGAGAGUUACUGCCAUCGUUAUCAGUUGCCCAAUCCAACGCCAAAGUCAUGGGAUCUGGCUUUGGUUUGUAAGGUUGCAAAAGAUCAAGUAACUCAUUAGCAGUAUGAGCACAAAUGAAGAGUUUUUUCGCUAAUGAUGGAAUGAAAUAAUUUUUUAUUACAUGAUUAAGAAAUGUUAUUAAGCCAUCAUAAAAGUUAUUAACAUUUAACAAACCGAUUGGUUUUUUAUGGAUAUUCAAAUAGGCCCAGGAAGCAAAUGUAAUUAGCGCCUCCAAAGUUGCAAGGUCUCCUGGCAAGAAAAUAAAAACGUCAGCAUGAUUUAACAUUUCAGAUAUUCUUUCUUGCAUACCUGAGACAACUAACUCUUCUCCAAUUGGUGAGUCUGGUAGCCAUCCUAAAGGUUUUAAGGCUUUUGGAAUGAUGCCUAGCACUUGGCUUCCUCGAACGAAAGCAGCUUCAGAGACAAGCUUUGAUAACCCUCGGUCACCUCCUCCAUAUAGAAGAUGUAGUUUCCCCUCUGCUAUAGCACGACCAAGAUCUACGGCUACUGUUGUGCAAAUUUUAAUGUACUCGCAAGCGCACGAAUCUAUUGUAGUAUAGAUCAAUGGUGACGAGUGUCGAUCCCACGAGAAGGUGGAUUUUAAUUGUGUAGAAUUAAUUUUGUGAAUGGGUGAUUGGAUUUGUGGUGGAAAUGAUUUGGAAUAUGCUAAAACUUAAAUUAAAAUGGCGAGAAUAAAUUCUAUAAUUGGUAUUGAAAUGGUGAGAAUAAAUUGAAGAGAAUUCUAUUGAAAUGACGUACUUGGGUAUCUGGAUCCGUAUCAACAUGCAUCAUGGGCUAAAUAAUCCUUAUUAAUGCCAAUUAAAUCAUGAGGGGGGAAUCCACACCUCAUGAACCACACUCUAAUCAAUAUGGUGCUAAGGGCUUAUCGUGCCAAAUAAUAAUAACCUUGUACUAGAGGGCCGGUAAAACCAAGGCGGUACUAGACAAGAUUAGUAUUAUUUGUCGACGAGAAGUCAAAACAUCCACAAAAAUUAGAGGGGAAGAGAAAAUAAAUUUACCAAAUAAAGCCCAUGACACAUGUUGAGACUUCACCUUCAACCCAAGCUUGAAAGAAAAUUAGCCACUCAUAAUUGAACUAGGGGCAAAAUGAGAAUUUAUUAAAAUACGAAGAAAAUACAAGAUGGAGAAGGAAUUACAGAAAAUGGAUCCCAAAAAUGGAUUCAGAGCUAUCAAAUUAGAGGGGGGAGGCCCCCUUUUUAUAGAUACAUGGAGUAAAUCAUGGCCAUCGAAUUAAAAACAGUUUGGACGCUCAGGAUUGCGCCACGUCAUCAGUCAACAGUACGCGGUUUGACCACGCUGAUGAACAGUAACACGGUUUGACUCGGAUGAACAGCAACGCGGUUUGACUCGGAUGAACAGUAACGCGGUUUGGUUGAAAAUAAUCCAGUGUGAUGCAUGUACCGUACUCGAAAUUUUUCGUCCACUGAUAUGCUGCCACGUCACCAUCAACAGUACAUAAGAAUUUUAGCCCAACAGGAGCGUGACACCUCAUCAGUCAAUGCCACAUCAUCGGUCAAUGCCAUGUCAUCGAUCCGUCUAUGUGAACAGUGUCGUGAACAGUAAUGCAGACAGUACCGUACACGUGAAUAAUACCGUACAUAUGAAUAGUGUGAUUUUUCCUUUUAUACUCCUCCUAAGGUUUUCGACCGUCCUGAGUUCAAAAGUGAUGUCCGUUUUGCCGUCUGAUCUCUUCUUUAUUGUGAAAUGACUAUAAUGCUCCUAAAAUACAUAAAAUACUUAAUUAAAAUAAAACACAUGUAAUUAAAUCACAAGAAGGUUAAAUACAUAAAAGUAAGGGUUGGUAGUAAAACUUGAAAUGUAAAAUGACGGUUUUCUCCUUUAUAAAUAUGCAUUUUCUAAUACUCAACACACCCCCCAACCAGUUUAUUGCUAGUCCCUAGCAAAUAAAGCGAAAACAAAAUUCAAAUUCAAAAUAAUUUUUUUUUUAAUAGAAACACUCGUAUUUAUUCCAUUAGAUUAAUGAUAGCAAUCAAAUAAAAGUAUAAGCAUUAUCUUCAGUCUAAAGCAACAUCACACCCACAUCAACCAUCCACAUGAAUCAGCCCAGUAGACUUUAUUAUAGCUACUUUCAAGAAUGACAUGUCAAACCCCAAAAUCUCACUGGAAGUAGUGACACUCUCACAAAGAAAUUAAAACCAAUAAAAAUAGUCACUCCAAUGAAUGGUAAUUGAGAGAGAAAAUAAUAAAGAAGUGAUAUCACAUACUCUCACCAAGAUGAAAUAAAUAUGCCCUCAGUUUAGAAAUAAUAUGAUCUCAAGUCAAAUAAAAAUGCAGGUCAACCCAAUUUAUUUAUCUUUUUUUUCUUUUAUUUAUUUAUUUAUUUUUAUUAUGCACCACUAUAUCUUUUUAGCCCAUAUAACUAGCUUCUACUUCAAACUAUAGUUUCCUAAAAUCAAGGACUUUUAUUAGGGCGUAACGUAGGCUAGGGAUAUGGCUAACAAAGAAGGGAAAUAAGGAAAACAAAGUGUAUGUUUGAGAAAAAUGCAGAGAAUUUUUUUAUUUUUUUUGGAAGUUGCAAGGUGGAUUUCACCUAUUAUUUUUAUUUUAUUUUUUCUUUUGAAACAACAACUUUUGUUUUUUUUUUUUGCUUUUAUUUGGAAUAACUUUACUGAACAACAUAAUUAUUUACAUUUUCUCAAACAUAAAUAGGUGAUGAAACUUAUAAGACAUUGGGUAAUACUCCAAAUCGAAGUGGGUCAAGAUGAUAAGUUUGACAAAGAAAGGUUUUUUUUUUUUUUAAAGGCUCAAAAGGGUUAACUAUGGAUAUUUGAUAAAAGGGAUGGCUAGAAAGGCUCAAACGGAUCAAAGAUGGCCUUUCCAUCGUCUUUUAGGGCUCUAAAUAAUCUUCCAUAUCUACUAGUUAGAUGGGCCUCCAAAUGUAGCAACACACUUUUUUUUCUUUUUUUUCUUGUUUUUUUUUUAAUUUUACAAUUUUUUUUUAAGGGUUAACUCAAAAGAAAUCUAGAGAUCGUGUAUACAAUAAUAAACUGUUAAGCUGUAUAAAGAAUGGGCAAAAGGGUUACUCUCCAAGAAAAAUGAUAGGCUCAAAAACUCACUUGGUACUUAUUAUGACAUGUUCAUUCCUUCAAGCAACUCAUAUUUGUCUCCGACAUCAACAUGUAGAGUAGCAAGCAUAAUGUAACAUCACUUAAGACCAAAGAUAAUACAAAUACUAAAAUUUGAAAUUAAUCAUGUCAUCCAAUGUUAAAACAAAUCACACAAUUUUUUUUUUAAACAACAUUCUACCCCCCAACCUAUUCUAAACAUGAAAGGAAAAUAUGCAUGUAGAAAUGUGAAAAUGAUGCAUAAAAACUAAUUAGAAAAGUUACACGUAAAAUGAUAGAAAACGAAAAUGGUUUUUUUUUUUUUAAGAAGAUGCGUUUCUAGAGGCACUACACUCCAUAUUCAGCCAUCUUCGACUCAAAAGUUGGAAAAUAUAUAUUUAUAGAGGAGAAAUUAAAAAGAAGAAGAAAAAUGAACAUCAAAACUUAAUAAAGAAAAAGAAAUUUAUUUUUAUUUUUUUAUUUAUUUUUAUUUAUUGUUUUUUUAAUUAAUUUUUUUUAAAACGAUGAAGAUGCGUUUUUAGAGUCACUACUCUCCAUAUUCAGCUAUCUUCAACACAAAAAAGUUAGCAAUAGUUAGUUUCUACAACAAAAAAUUAGUAAAAACUUAACCAAAAUUCCACAAUUGUCGACUAUUCCCUCCCCUCAACCAGAACGAAACAUUGUCCUCAAUGUUUGAAAGGAAAGAAGUAGAGUUUAGAAGACAUUACCUGGGUGGUGUAACACAGAAGAAAAUAUUUACAAGCGGAGAGUUAAAUCUAAUUUGUACUUCUUACUGCGGCUACUGUUACCAUCAUUAUUUGGAUGCUCCAACACAAAGGUCCAGGGGUCUGGCUCUGGUCUAUAAGCUUGUAACAGAUCAAGUAGCUCAUUAGCAGUGUGAGCACAAAUAAAGAGUUUUUUCGCAUUAGAGGGAAUGAAAUAGUUUUUUAUUGCAUGGUUAAGAAAUGCGAUAAAGCCAUCAUAAAAGUUAUUGACAUUUAACAAACCGAUGGGUUUCUGGUGGAUGUGCAGAUGGGCCCAAGAUGCUAGUGUGAUAAGUGCCUCUAGUGUUGCAAGAUCUCCUGGAAGGAAAAUAAAAGCAUCAGCAUGAUUAAGCAUUUCAGUUAUUCUUUCUUGCAUACCUGAGACGACUAACUCUUCUCCAGUUAAUGAGUCAGAUGAACUGCCCAAUGGUUUUAGGACUCUUGGAAUGAUGCCUAACACCUGACUUCCUCUGACAAAAGGUGCUUCAGAGACCAUUUUUUAUAACCCUCGGUUACCUCCUCCAUACACCAAGUGUAAUUUUCUCUCUGCUAUACUUCGACCAAGAUCGAUGGCUGCCUCAACGAACUCUUUAUGUUUGCCAUAGGUAAAUCCAGAAAGCACACAAAUGUUCUUGAAUUGUCUAUUUGGAGUAGCUGCCAUUGUGAUACUUCUCAAAAAACAAUUUGUGAGUGCUUGACAAAAAAAAAUCACAUUUAAGAGUCUUGGUGACAGUGGGUCACAGUUGUGUAUGAGGUAACAUGUCAGUGUCAAAUAACGCGUAAAGCACGUGGCUCGCGAGUCAAAAAGGAAACAGUAAAAAGAAAAAAGCAAACAGUAAUAAGGAAAAAGCAAACAGUAAUAAAAUUAUUAAAAACAAUAAUACACACAAUAAAACAAUAGUGAAAUAAAAUAACAGUAAAGUGAAAGGAUAUUUACAGGUAGUUGCGACUGUGGCUCAUAUCUUCCUCUGGUUUUACGUCCAGAAACGGCUUGAACGCCCUCUAUGGGUUGAGGAUAGGCUUUCUAUCCAGUUUUCUUAUAAACUGGCAAACAGGGUCGUUUAUAUUCAGAUUCCCGAGACUAUAUCGUGCAUGCUCUUUCUGGAAUAAUGGUCAUAACUGGAGAAUCGCUCCUUGCACAUAUCCACUGGGAUGCGUUUCAAGAGACGGAAGGAUAUCAUCCAAUGACUCCUUAUUCAAGCCAUCCCUAAUGAAUUGAAUCUUAUCUUCCCUAUUAUCAGACACCAUUCCUAAAGAACAUGGGUUUUUAUUGCAACUCAUUCUGGCACACUUAUGACAAGCAACAGAAAUUCGUCGAGCUCGUCGUUUUCUUGCAUAAUUUCCUUUACCACAACCAGGCAUGUAUGCAAUAAAUUUUGGAGGUAACUUACCUGUCGAUCGUACUUUAGCCUCGAUUAACCAAUGGAUGUCAGCAGGUAUGUUAUUUCUCAUGAGCAAUCGCAUGCGUUCGGACCGAGCUUUAUAGAUCGUAAGAAGCGCAUUCUGAGGAAGUGAAGGAAAUCGCUUGUGAAGCUUCGCUAGAGUCUCGUUUCUGUCCAUAUCUUCGCUUCAGAAUAUCAGUUAUUAUGGGAAACUAAAGUAACCGACUUGAUUGUCACAGAGUACCGUUAUCCGCCACUUCAUCGGGGUAACAAACUCAAGCACACAAACAGAAAAACAAAUUAAAACAAACAAAGAAAAUUAAAAUCGUCCCCUUAUUGAAUUUACCUCAAGCUCCAACUGGAUGUCGUAAACACUUCUCUCAAUGUCUCGGAGUUGGCGUUCUAAACCCUUAACAUAGGCUACUAACUCUAGUGAUUGUAGAGCCCAAAUGCGAUGUGUUUUACAAAAUUGAAUCUGCCUUUUGAGAUGAGUUUUAACACGUUGAAGUGGUUUAAGAAUGUUCAGAAGGAACGGUCUAAGUAAUGUACUCAUGAUUAAAAAUGAUAAAAGAAAACUUAAUAGUUAAACAAACAUAUUUAUGCAAAAAUAAUUUCAAUUAGCAGAAGAAUAAUAUAAAGAAAGAAAAAAAAUCAAAUCAACGAAAAGAAAAAAAAAUCAAUUCAAAUCUGGUGGGUCACUCAAAUUUAUUUCGGUGUCUUCUCCAUGUGGUUGGUACUCUAGAUAUGACUUUAAUCUUUGACCAUUAACUUUAAACGUGACACCGUUCUUUGGGUCCUUAAUUUCAAUUGCCCCAUGUGGAAAAACAGUAUGAACAAUAAAGGGACCAGACCAUCGAGAGCGUAACUUACCUGGGAAUAAGUGCAAGCGAGAAUUGAAUAAAAGCACUUUCUGACCUGGAGUGAACGAUUUUCUCAUAAUUUGUUUAUCAUGGAAGACUUUCAUUCGUUGCUUAUAAAUCGUGGCAUUUUUGUAUGCAUCAUUGCGAAUUUCUUCAAGUUCUGCCAGUUGUAAUCUUCUUUCUGAGCUGGCUUGCUGCAUGUCAAAGUUGAAUUUCUUGAUGGCCCAAUACGCACGAUGCUCGAGUUCCACAGGUAGGUGGCAAGCUUUUCCAUACACUAGCCUGUAGGGUGACAUCCCAAUCGGGGUCUUGAAAGCCGUUCUAUAUGCCCAUAAGGCAUCAUCAAGUCUUAAUGACCAAUCUUUUCUGUCCGGCCUCACAGUCUUUUCUAAUAUGUGCUUUAUUUCUCGAUUGGAGAUCUCAACUUGGCCACUGGUUUGUGGAUGAUACGGGGUCGCCACUUUGUGUGUGAUUGAAUACUUUGUCAAAAGAGCUUUGAAUGCUUUGUUACAAAAGUGGGCACCACCAUCACGGAUUAUUGCUCGAGGGAAUCCAAAGCGUGAGACAAUAUUGCUUUUCAAAAAUCCUAUCACCAUUUUGUGAUCAUUGGUUCUGCAUGGAAUUGCUUCUACCCAUUUCAAUACAUAGUCAACAGCAACCAAUAUGUAUUGAUGGCCAAGAGAAGGGGGAAAGGGUCCCAUGAAGUCGAUACCACAUACAUCAAAAAUCUCAACCACUAAAAUUGGAUUUAGUGGCAUUAUGUUCCUUCGUGUAAUGCUCCCCAUUCGUUGACACCUAUCACAUGAAAAACAGAAAGUGUAAGCGUCUCGAAAUAUAGUUGGCCAAUAGAAACCACAUUGCAAAACUUUAGUAGCUGUUUUCUUAGCACUGAAAUGGCCUCCACAAGCUUGUUCAUGGCAGAAUGAAAGGAUAUUCUGAAUUUCACUUUUUGGGAAACAUCGUCUAACAAUUUGGUCUGCACAAUACUUGAACAAAUAAGGGUCAUCCCAAAAGAAAUUCUUUAUUUCUGCAAAGAAUUUAACCUUGUCUUGCUUGGUCCAAUGCUCAGGAAGUUUACCUGUAACAAGAUAAUUAACUAUAUCAGCAUACCAAGGUAAUACUUCCACAUUCAUUAAUUGUUCAUCUGGAAAUGACUCAUUCAAUGGUAAUGAUUCUGUAAUUGUGUCAAAAUGGAGACGAGAGAGGUGGUCUGCCACAACAUUUUCUGUCCCUUUCUUAUCUUUGAACUCCAAGUCAAAUUCCUGCAAAAGUAACACCCAACGAAUUAGUCUAGCUUUUGCAUCUUUCUUUGUAAGAAGAUAUUUAAGAGCAGCAUGAUCUGUGAACACGAUUAUUUUACAACCAAUGAGAUAAGAUCGAAAUUUCUCCAAUGCAAACACUACUGCUAGCAUUUCUUUUUCAGUAGUUGAAUAGUUCAACUGUGCAUCAUUCAAUGUCAUACUAGCAUAGUAAAUAACGUGGGGAAUUCGAUCAACUCUUUGUCCUAAUACUGCUCCUACUGCAUAAUCAGAUGCAUCACACAUGAGCUCAAAUGGUAAGCUCCAGUUUGGGGGCUGAAUGAUGGGUGAUGAUGUCAACAAUUGCUUUAGUUUUUCAAAUGCCACAAGACAUGAAUCAUCAAAGAUAAAAGGUACAUCCUUAGCAAGUAAAUUGCAUAAGGGUUUAGAAACUUUGCUAAAAUCUUUAAUAAAACGUCUAUAGAAACCAGCAUGCCCAAGGAAAGAUCUUACUUCUCUGACUGUUUUGGGUGGAGGAAGAUUAGAAAUGAGAUCCACCUUGGCUUUGUCAACCUCAAUACCUUUGCUCGAAAUGAUGUGACCGAGAACAAUACCUUGUUUUACCAUAAAAUGGCACUUCUCCCAAUUUAAGACUAAGUUCUUCUCGAUACAUCUCCGCAGAACUAAUGUUAGAUGAUGUAAACAUUGAUCAAAUGAAUAACCAAAGACAGAAAAGUCAUCCAUAAAGACUUCAAGGAAUCAUUCAACCAUAUCAGAAAAAAUGCUCAACAUGCAUCGUUGAAAUGUAGCAGGUGCAUUGCAUAAUCCAAAUGGCAUUCUCCUAUAUGCAAAUGUGCCAAAAGGGCAAGUGAAAGUAGUUUUCUCUUGAUCUUUUGGUGCUAUGGGAAUUUGAUUAUAUCCUGAGUAGCCAUCUAGAAAGCAAUAAAAUUCAUGGCCUGCUAAUCUAUCAAGCAUUUGAUCGAUAAAUGGUAAAGAAAAAUGGUCUUUACGUGUGACAGAAUUCAACUUUCUAUAAUCAAUGCAAACACGCCAUCCUGUAGUUACUCUAGUGGGUAUCAAUUCAUUAUCAGCAUUGGUAACUACUGUGACUCCUGACUUUUUGGGGACAACUUGUACAAGACUGACCCAUGAACUAUCAGAAAUUGGGUAAAUGAUACCUGCAUCUAAUAGCUUAAGGACUUCUGUUCUGACAACUUCUUUCAUAUUAGGAUUUAACCGACGUUGCAUUUCCCUAGUAGAUUUAGCAUUUUCAUCAAGGUGAAUGUAAUGCAUGCAGUCUACUGGAUUUAUACCUUUUAUGUCUGCUAUAGUCCAUCCUAAUGCUCCUCUGUGCUCUUUUAAAACAUCCAACAACUUACCUUUUUGUUCAUCAUUUAGGGAUGAUGAGAUGAUUACCGGUAGAGUACUUUCUUCUCCCAAAAAUGCAUAUUCCAGAGUGUUGGGUAAUGGUUUGAGCUUGAGUUUUGGUGGUGAUUCUGAUGAUGGGAUGAGUUUCUUCUCUGAUGGUGCUAGUUGCUCAACUCUUGACUUCCAUUUAUUAGUGUCCAUAAAUGGUGCUGAGUCAAGUAGGGCGUUGACCUCAUCGACCGAUCUGUCAAUAUCAAAAUCCAAACCAAAGUGAGUUAAACAUGUUUGUAAAGGAUCAUCACUAAGGUUUGAAACAAAAGUAUCAUCAACUAAUGCUUCAAUUAAAUCCACAUCAACAAUUCCAUCAUCUGCACUGUGAGGUUGUUUGGCAAUGUUGAAGAUGUUCAGCUCCAUAGUCAUGUUGCCGAAGGACAACUGUAUAUUUUCGGUCCUGCAUUGAAUGUGAGCAUCCGCAAUUGCCAAGAAAGGUCGGCCUAGAAUAAUGGGGAUGUGCUUCCUCGAGUCCUGUAUUGGUUGAGUGUCAAUUACAAUGAAAUCAACAAGAAAAUAAAACUUGUCUACCUGGAUAAGCACGUCCUCGACAAUACCACGAGGUAUUUUUGUGGACCGAUCUGCAAGUUGUAACACCACUGGAGUUGGGUGUAAUUCUCCAAGUCCAAGUUUCACAAACACUGAAUAAGGUACCAGAUUUACACUAGCUCAUAAAUCCAACAAAGCAUUCUCAAUUGUGUGGUUCCCUAUGCUACAUGAGAUAGUGGAGGAGCCUGGGUCUUUGCAUUUUAAAGGAAUUUUGUGUUGGAGUAUAGAACUAAUGUUUUUUGUUAAAAAUGCCUUCUUUUGAACAUGCAUAUUUCUCUUUUUAGUACAAAGGUCUUUAAGAAACUUGGCAUAAGAUGGAACUUGCUUAAUAGCAUCAAGCAAAGGGAUAUUAACACUUACCUGUUUGAAGAUUUCAAGAAUCUCACCUAUGGAUUUUUCCUUUUUUCCUUUAGCUAACCUCUGAGGAAAUGGAGCUUUCGGAACAUAUUCUUGUGGGUUGGUUUCUUCUUUCUCCUCCGGUGAUGAGUCCUCAACACUCACAGCUACAAUUUGAUUUUCUUUUGUCACCGGCAUCUCCACUUUGUUGUCGACUUCUUUUCCUUUUCGCAAGGUCAUGACUGCUUUGACCUCUCCAUGCUGCUGUGGUGAACUGGUACUUGCUUCACGUACUCCUUUAGGGUUAGGCACUGAUUGACUUGGAAAUUUGCCUUUCUCAACAGUAAUUGCCAAGGUCUGAACUGAAGAAGCAAGUUGUCCCACCAUCUUCUCGGGGCUUGAAACUGAUUGAGCUUGUGUGUUGAAGCCUGCUCUUAGCUUUUUUCGUAGUCCAUCAAUGGUGCGGUUCUGUUGCUCAAUCGUAGAGUGAGUAAGAUUCUUGAGAUUUUGGAAUGAAUCCUCCCAUGGUCUAGGUUGAGAGUAGUUCUGGUUCUGAUUGAUGGUCUAAAUGGGGGCUGAGAGGCUUGAGGAUUUUGAGAAAUUUGUUGCAUUGGUGGAGUUAGAGCCGCUGGUCCAUUCUGUUGGAAUCCUUGAGACCAUGAAAAAUUGGGGUGGUCUCUCCAUCCAGGGUUAUAUGUGUUGGAGUAUGGGUUGUAAUUUGAUGGUUUUCUCAUUACACCUAUGGCAUUGGCUUGAUCUGAGUAUGAGUCAUGGUCAUGUGGCUCUGUUGAUUUAGCAGUCGAUAACGAUGCUAUUUGUCGAGCAAGACCUUCAACCAUCUCCUUGACUUCUUUGAUUCCCGAAGUUGACUCGCCAAUUUGAACCUCAUUUACUACCUUAAUUCUUCUAGUAUUCCUAAUUGAUCGACUCCGUUGUUGGGAAUUAUCUGCUUGUCGCUGAAAGAAUUCCCAAAUCUUUGAUGCACUUUUUGACAUUAGCUCUCCUCCACUUGUUGCCAUUAGCCAUUCUUGCACAUUCGGCAAUAAUCCCUCUAAAAAGUAUUGGCAUUGGUGCCAUUUCUUGUACCCAUGAUGUGGACACUUCAAGAGUAGCCCAUUGAAUCGCUCCCAUGUUUCGAAAAACUGCUCGUCCUCUCUCUGGGUAAACUUCGAGAUUUCCCUGUGAAUAGCAUUAGUUUUAUGCACUGGGAAAUAUUUAUUCAAAAAUUUUGUAACCAUUUGUUCCCAUGAUGUGAUGCUAUUAGCAGGUAAAGUAUUUAACCAUGAACGAGCUCUAUCCUUUAAAGAAAAUGGGAAUAAUCUGAGUUUAACAUCAUCGUCUGAAAAAUUUUCGUAUUUAAAAGUUUGACAAAUGGCAUGAAAAUCAUUCAGAUGAUUAUAUGGGUCCUCAUUUUCUAAGCCAUAGAAUGUGGGGAGACAAUUUAACACACUAGGUUUUAGUUCAAAACUCCUAGCAGCUACAUUUGGGUAUCUUAUGCAUGAUGUGCUCAAAUUAGCUAAGGGACUAAAAUAGUCAUUAAAUGGCCUCUCCUGUGGUGCUUGUAAAUCCAUUCCAAAUUUAUUUUUAAUGUGCUUUUGUGUGCGAAGUGUUUUUUCUAAUUCAAGGUCUAUAGGUUCAAGAUUAGGAAAUAAUGACUUACGACCAUGCAUGCAAAACAAAUAAAAUAAAAAUAAAGAUGGGAACAAAACAAAUAAAAAUAAAGAAGAGAGAGAAAUUAUGAUACCAACCUUAUUGCGCUAUUACAACCUUUCUAUAAAAAUACACAAAAAUAAAUACGUGAAAUAAAUUAACUAAAAAUUAAAUUAAUAAAAUAAAAAAAAAUUACAAAGAAAAAUAAAUUGAAAAUUAAAUUACAGAAUUUUAAAGAAGAGAAAAAGGAAAGAAAUACUAACCUUUAAAUGUAGAUUCACUUUUUUUUUUCUUUUUUUUUAAUAAUAAAAAAAAUACAAGAAAACAAAUAAAAGAAAUUAUUCACAAAAAUUAAUUCUAAAAAUUACUUACCUCCCCGGCAACAGCGCCAAAAACUUAUUGUGCAAAUUUUAAUGUACUCGCAAGCGCACGAAUCUAUUGUAGUAUAGAUCAAUGGUGACGAGUGUCGAUCCCACGAGGAGGUGGAUUUUAAUUGUGUAGAAUUAAUUUUGUGAAUGGGUGAUUGGAUUUGUGGUGGAAAUGAUUUGGAAUAUGCUAAAACUUAAAUUAAAAUGGCGAGAAUAAAUUCUAAAAUUGGUAUUGAAAUGGUGAGAAUAAAUUGAAGAGAAUUCUAUUGAAAUGACGUACUUAGGUAUCUGGAUCCGUAUCAACAUGCAUCAUGGGCUAAAUAAUCCUUAUUAAUGCCAAUUAAAUCAUGAGGGGGGAAUCCACACCUCAUGAACCACACUCUAAUCAAUAUGGUGCUAAGAGCUUAUCGUGCCAAAUAAUAAUAACUUUGUACUAGAGGACCGGUGAAACCAAGGCGGUACUAGACAAGAUUAGUAUUAUUUGUCGACAAGAAGUCAAAACAUCCACAAAAAUUAGAGGGGAAGAGAAAAUAAAUUUACCAAAUAAAGCCCAUAACACAUGUUGAGACUUCACUUUCAACCCAAGCUUAAAAGAAAAUUAGCCACUCAUAAUUAAACUAGGGGCAAAAUGGGAAUUUAUUAAAAUAUGAAUAAAAUACAAGAUGGAGAAGGAAUUACAGAAAAUGGAUUCAGAGCUAUCAAAUUAGGGGGGAGUCCCCCGUUUUGUAGAUACAUGGAGUAAAUCAUGGCCAUCGGAUUAAAAACAGUUUGGACGCUCAUGAUUACGCCACGUCGUCAGUCAACAGUACGCGGUUUGACCACGCGGAUGAACAGUAACACGGUUUGACUCGGAUGAACGCUAAUGCGGUUUGGUUGAAAAUAAUCCAGUGUGAUGCAUGUACCGUACGCGAGAUUUUUCGUCCACUGAUAUGCUGCCACGUCACCAUCAACAGUACAUAAGAAUUUUAGCCCAACAGGAUCGUGACACCUCAUUAGUCAAUGCCACAUCAUUGGUCAAUGCCACAUCAUCGAUCCGUCUAUGUGAACAGUGUCGUGAACAGUAAUUCAGACAGUACCGUACACGUGAAUAGUACCGUACAUAUGAAUAGUGUCAUUUUUCCUUUUAUACUCCUCCUAAGGUUUUCGACCGUCCUGAGUUCAAAAGUGAUGUCCGUUUUACCGUCUGAUCUCUCUUUUAUUGUGAAAUGACUAUAAUGCCCCUAAAAUACAUAAAAUACUUAAUUAAAAUAAAACACAUGUAAUUAAAUCACAAGAAGGUUAAAUACAUAAAAGUAAGGGUUGGUAGUAAAACUUGAAAUGUAAAAUGACGGUUUUCUCCUUUAUAAAUAUGCAUUUUCUAACACUCAACAGCUACUUAAACGAACUCCUUAUACUUUUCAUAGUGAAAUCCAGAAAGCACACAAACGUUUUUAAGUUGACUGCUUGAAGUUGCUGCCAUUACAAAAAUUCUAAAAAGAAACAAUUUGUGAGUGCUUGAAAAGGAGUUCCUAUUUAAGGAUCUUGGUGACGGACAUAAUGAUGUACAUCUGUAAAUGGGGUGGUGUGUUUGUCAAAUGACGUGUGAAGCUUUUAAUUAAUAAUUCAAAUGCAAACAAUGAAAAGAAAAAGCAAACGGUGAUUAGAUAAAAUAAAAAAAACAAUAAUAAUAAUAAUGCAAAAGAUAAAAGAACGGUAAAAUAAAAGGAUAUUUACUGGUAGUUGUGAUUGUUGCUCACAUCUUCCUCUGGUUUUACAUCCAGUAACGGCUUGAACGCCCUCUAUGGGUCGAGGAUAGGGUUCUCAUCUAGUUUUCUUAUAAACUAGUAAACAAGGUCUUUUAGAGUCAGAUUCUCAAGCCUAAACUGUGCACUUUCCUUUUGGAACAACUUCCACAAAUUUUGAAUUUCACGUUGAACAUAUCCGCUCGGAUGCGUCUCAAGAGAUCGUAAGAUAUCAUCCAAUGAUUCUUUACUCAUGCUAUCCUUAGCGAAUUUGAUUUUAUCUUCACGAUUUACAGAAACCAUUCCUAAAGCUUUACAACGUGGAUUUUUGCAAGCAAGUCUUACACAAUGAGAACAUUCAGAGCCAAGUCGCUUAGCUCUUCUUUUCUUAGCAAAUGUACUUUUACCAAAACCAGGCAUGUAGGAAAUGAAUGGAUCAGAAAACUCACCUGUCAAUCAGACCUUUGCUUCGAUUAACCAGCGAAUGUCAGUAGAAAUCCCAUUGAUCAUUAACAAACGCAGUCGUUCACAAUGAGCUUUGUAACUCUUCUUAAGAGCAUUUUGAGGGAGAGAAUGAAAAUGUUGAUGCAAAUUUUGUUGUAUUUCUUCCAUGCUUGACAUUGAGGUUUCAGUUAUUGUGGGAAACUGAGAAUACCGACUUAAAAAGUCACGGAGUACCGUUAUCCACCAUUUAUACGAGAGAGUGAAUCAAAACAAAACAAAUCAAAUCUGCAAAAUCAAAUCAAAAGUGAAAAAUAACAAUAAAAUAAAACAAAAACACACAAGGAAUAUAACACACCUUCGUCCUUUUAUUGAAUCUAGUUCCAAUUGCAGAUUAUAAAUACCAUCAUCUAUUUCCUUGAGUUGUCUUUCUAGAUCUUUCACGUGAGAUACUAACUUUGGUGGUUGCAGAUCCCAAAUGGGAUGUAAUUUACAAAAUCGGAGCAAUUUCCUCAAGUGAAAUUUUACAUGAAAAAGUUUUUUAAAAUGAUCAAAAAGGAAAUUUCUCAUGGAGGUACUCAUGACAAGUAUAAAAAUUUGGUGAGCUAAAUCACAAUUGAUAAAAAUUUGGUGAGCUAAAUCACAAUUGUCAAACAACACACAAUUAAAACAAUGUAAUGCACUCCAUUCAAGACAUAGGGAAAAGGAAAAAGAAAAAGAAAUCAAAUAAUUCAAACGAUAAAGUAACAGUAAAUCAAAUUCACAAAACGUUGAAAUGAAAAGGCUUAAUCAAAAUUUUGGUGGGUCACUCAAAUGGAAUUUGGUAUUUGCUUCAUGUGGUUGGUAUUCCAUAUAUGGUUUCAAUUUUUGGCCAUUAACUUUAAAUGUGACACCAUCCUUUGGAUUCUCAAUUUCUACGGCUCCAUAUGGAUACACAGUUUUUACAACAAAUGGACCAUUCAACUUUGACUUUAAAUUCCCUGGAAAUAAAUGAAAACGAGAAUUAUAAACCAACACUUUUUCACCAAUUUCAAAUGUUUUCCGAAAAAUUCUUUUGUCAUGAAAAAAUGUGGUUCUUGCCUUAAUAAUUUUGGAAUUACCAUAUGCAUCAUUUGUUAAUUCCUCAAGUUCAUUUAUUUGCAAUUUACGCACAUUGCCAGCAUCAUCAAGAUUUGAAUUAAAAGCUUUAAUGGCCCAAAAUGAUUUAUGUUCAAGUUCUACUGGUAAGUGGCAAGAUUUUCCAUAAACAAGUCGAUAGGGUGACAUUCCUAAAGAUGUUUUAAAAGCAGUACGAUAUGCCCAAAGUGCAUCAAUUAGUCGAAGAGACCAAUCUAUACGGUUUGGAUUAACUAUUUUUUCUAAAAUUUGUUUUAUCUCCCUAUUUGCUAAUUCAACUUGACCACUUGUUUGAGGGUGAUAAAGGGUAGCAACCUUAUGUGUAAUUCCAUAUUUCUUCAUUAAAGACUCAAAUGGCUUAUUACAAAAAUGCUUACCUCCAUCACUGAUAAUGACUCGAGGUUUUCCAAAUCUGCUCAAAAUAUUUUCUUUUAAAAAGCGGAUCACAAUCUUGUGAUCAUUGUGCUGACAAGGAAUUGUCUCGAUCUAUUUUGAAACAUAAUAAACAACAACCAAAAUGUAUACAAAUCCAAAUGAUGAUGGAAAAAGACCCAUAAAAUCAAUUCCCCAACAAUCAAAUAUUUCAAUGACAAGGAUGGGGUUUAAAGGCCUCAUGUUCCGCUUUGAAAUAGACCCUAUCAUUUGACAACUCUUACACAUUUUACAGAAUGCAUGUGAAUCUUUAAAUAAUGUAGGCCAAUAAAAUCCACACUGUAAUAUUUUGCAGCUGUCUUUUUUGAAGAAAAAUGGCCACCGCAUGCUUCAGAAUGACAAAAUUGAAUGACCCUACUUACCUCGUCGUUUGGUAUGCAUCUUCAAAAAAUUUGAUCGGAGCAGUACUUGAACAGGUAUGGCUCAUCCCAGUAAAAGCUUUUUACUUCUGUUAAGAAUUUUUUCUUGUCUUGGGAACUCCAGUCACAUGGCAUUUCACCUAUUGCAAGAUAAUUAACAAUAUUAGCAUACCAAGGCAUUUUGUUUAUAGAAAACAAAAAUUCAUCAGGGAAAGAAUCAUUGAUGAGUGUUGUUUCAAUUGAAGACUCAUUUGUAAGUCUUGAAAGAUGAUCUGCAACAACAUUUUCAGCGCCCUUUUUGUCCUUGAUUGUCAAAUUAAAUUCUUAAAGUAGCAAAAUCCAUCGUAUCAACCUUGGUUUGGCAUCCUGUUUUGACAUUAAAUAUCUCACAGUAGCAUGAUCAAAAUAAACAACAAUAGAUGAACUAAUUAAAUACGAAAUUUAUCCAAUGCAAAUAUUAUAGCAAGUAGUUCUUUCUCAGUUGUAGUGUAAUUCAUUUGAGCAGUAUUCAAAGUUCUACUUGCAUAAUAGAUGACAAAGGGCUUACCUUCCUUUUUUUGACCCAGAACAGCGCCAACGGUAUAAUCACUAGCAUCACACAUUAGCUCAAAAGGUAAAGACCAAUCAGGGGGUUGCAUUAUUGGGGCUGAUGUCAAAAGACUAAUUAUCUUUUCAAAAGCUUGUUGACAAUCUUUAGUCCAUUCAAAUUGUGUGUCUUUUAUUAGGAGGUUACAAAUUGGUCUAGAUAAGGCACUAAAAUCUUUUAUAAACCUCCUAUAAAAUCCUGCAUGUCCUAAAAAAGAACGGACUUCUCUAAUUGUCUUUAGUGAGGGUAAUUUUGAAAUGACUUCAACUUUGGCUUUAUCAACUUCGAUUCCUUUUGAAAACACAAUAUGGCCCAAGAUAAUUCCAGAAGUGGUCAUGAAAUGACAUUUUUCCCAAUUUAAAACGAGUCCUUUUUCUUUGCACUUUUCCAAAACGUUUUCUAGAUUAUCAAGACAUGUAUCAAAAGAAUUACCAAAUACAGUUAAAUCAUCCAUAAAAACCUCUAGACAAUUUUCAACCAUUUCACUAAAAAUGCUUAGCAUGCACCUUUGAAAUGUUGCAGGAGCAUUACAAAGUCCAAAGGGCAUUCUCCUAAAUGCAAAUGUUCCAAAUGGGCAUGUGAAUGUGGUCUUUUCCUGGUCUUCUAAGGCUAUAGGGAUUUGAUAAUAGCCAGAGUAGCCAUCAAGAAAGUAGUAGUAAGGAUGUCCAGUUACUCUUUCGAGAAUUUGGUCUAGAAAUAGAAGGGGAAAAUGAACUUUUCUAGUGGCAUAAUUUAAUUUUCUAUAAUCAAUGCACAUGCGCCAACUAGAUAGAAUUCGUGUUAGGAUUGAUUCACCUUUUCAUUUUUUACAAUAGUUAUUCCAGAUUUUUUGGUACUGCUUGUGUUGGACUUACCCAUUUACUAUUAGAGAUAUGGUAGAUAAUUCCUACAUCUAGUAGUUUAAGGAUCUCAUUUUUUACCACUUCUUUCAUAUGAGGGUUUAGUCUUUUAGCAUUUUCCUCUAAGUGUAUUCGGUGUGUGCAAAUUAAAGGAUUAAUGCCUUUCAUGUCUUUUAAGGUCCAAUCAAAUGCAAAUUUUAUGCCUUUUUAGUACAGAUAACAACUUACCCUCUUGAUCAUGUGUGAGUUGAGAAGAAAUUACCACCAGAUAGAAGAAAUUACCACCGGAUAUGUCUGCUGCUCUCCAAGAUAGGCAUACUUCAAUUCUUCUGGUAAGGGCUUUAAUUCGAGCUCUGGUGCUUCCUCUUCGUUUGCUUCUUCAAGUUGUACCGUAUCUUCAAAGUUUGAUUGGUCAUCGUCACUUAUAGGUACCUGCAUAGAAUCAAGUGUAGGACAUAUGUUAGCAGUAUCAAAUGAUUGGCUCAUCCUGAAUGUGUUCCUCAAUGAUUGGCUCGAUGAGAUCAAUAUCAUCAUUCUCAUUAUCAUCAUCUUCUUGGUGGUGAGGUUGUUUACACAUGUUGAACACAUUGAGUUCCAGUGUCAUGUUGCCAAAAGAUAAAUUCAUUAAUCCAUUCAUGCAAUUUAUCAAAGCAUUAGCAGUAGCUAAAAAUGGUCGACCCAAUAUAACAGGAAUUUAUUUGCAUUUAUUAGCAAUCGGUUCCGUUUCCAAAACAAUAAAAUCCACAGGAUACAUGAAUUUAUCGACCUGGACUAAUACAUCUUCAAUUAUUCCUUUUGAAACCUUAAUCGAUCUAUCAGCAAGUAAAAGAGUGGUAGAAGUUGGUUUUAACUCACCGAGAUUGAGUUGUUGGUACACUGAGUAAGGAAGUAAAUUAACACUAGCACCAAGAUAAAGUAAAUCAUGUCUAAUUUUAUGAUCCCCAAUAGUGCAAGAAAUAGUUGGACAACCAGGAUCCUUGUAUUUCAAAGCACUAUUGGUUGAGAGAAUAGAACUUACCUGUUAUGCUAGAAAAGCUCUCUUUUGCACCUUAUGUUUCCUUUUCACCGUACACAGAUUUUUCAAAAAUUUAGCAUAGGACGGCACCUGUUUAAUGACAUCCAGCAGAGGAAUGUUGACCUUUACUUGUUUAAAAACUUCAUAAAUUUCUGGACUGUGGUUUGAUUUCUUUGGCUUGAUUAGUGCUUGAGGAAAUUGGGGUACAAGAGGAGAGUUGGUUAUUUCUUCAUAGGUUAAAGGUUCGACAAACUCUUCUUUAUUUUUUGAAAUUGAAUCUUUACUAGUUUCACGAGGGUCCACAAUGUGUUUUUCAACUACUUUACCACCACAAAGGGUUAUAACCGAUUUGACUUGACUCAUAUUUUGGUUUCCUGAAUUUCCCAUUUUAGGAUGUUGUUGACUCUUGGGGUUUGGUUCAGGUUGAGCAAGAAACUUUCCUUUUUCAUGUAUGGUUAGAGCAGAUAUAAGUUUGGAGAUAGUUUCUAUAGGUUUGCAUCUUUUGGUUAUUGAUUGACUCUUGUUUUUCAAUAAACGAAUGCAAUAUUUCUUUUAGAGUUUUUCUUGGUGGUGGGACAUACGGUGGGUAACUCUGGGAGUUUUGGAAAUUUUGACGUGGAGGGACUAGUUGUGAAGGUUGUGCAGAAUUGUCAUUUCUCCAACUGAAAUUUGGGUGGUUUCUCCAACCAGAGUUGUAAGUUUGGGAGUAUGAAUUUGGAUUUGGCCUUUUGAAAUUGUCAACAACAUUUACUUGUUCAUGCAGACUUUCUCUCAGAGCUGGUAAAGUUGGACAGUCCUGUGUAGAAUGGUCAGUAGAAUCGCAAACAUAACAUGAAAUAUUUUGAACAGACUUUACAUGAUCAUUCUUUUUCGACUCUAAUGCUUCGACUUUUCUAGCUAAUGAUGCAAAUUUGGCUUGAAAAUCAUGGUCUUCCCUAAGGUUAUGCAUGCCUCCACCAGAUGGAGAUGACUUGGGUUUACUUGAUGACUUAUAAAAACCAACUGUAUCCCAGUGUUGUGCAUUUUCUGCUAUAUAGUCAAGAUAGUCUAAUGCAUCUUCAGGACUUUUAUCCCUAAACUCACCAUUACACAUCAUUUUAACGACUUGUCUACCUUGGGAUGUUAAUCCCUCAUAGAAAUAAGACACUAAUCUCCAUGUUUCAAACCGUGAUGUGGACAAAUGUUAAGCAGUUCUUUAAACCUAUCCCAACAUUGGUAGAGAGUUUCUCCUGGUUUUUGAGUGAAAAUGGUAAUUUUAAAAUAUAAGUGUGCAACCCAAGAGGGCAGGUGAAUUGGAAUUUUAAAAAUUAUCCUAGCAAAUCCACACAACAAGCAAUCUAAUGUCUUAAUAAAAAUUGAAAGCAAUAAGUUCAAUAAAAGCACAAGAACAAAUGAGUAAGAGAGAAGAGAAACAAACAUACGAAAUUUUACGUGGUUCGGCAAUCCCCGCCUACGUCCACGCCUCCAAGCGAUCCAGGCUUGAGAAUUUCACUAUCCGAGCCUUUCCAAGGCUUCAACCGUUUACAAUUGACUUCAAGGUGUCAAUGAGCCUUUACAACAAAGAGAUUAUCUCCCAAUCUCUUCACUCAAGUGUCUCACACACUCAAACUUUUACAAUUAAGAUGAAGAAAUGAAAGUUACAAUAAAACUCACUCAAAGAGUAGAUAUUCAAAAAUGAAGAAUAAGAAAUGAUUCAAUGUUUUGUGAUUUGCAAAUUGAAAGCUCAAGAUAUCUCGUGUGCUUUUUGUUUAUGCUUGGUGGAGAGCUUGAAAAUGAGUUGGAUUUGAGUUUAUAUAGUUUAAGCUAAAAAACUAGUCGUUAUGCACAUAUUUUGGUCGUAACUGGCUUGCCAUUUAGGAAUCCAGUAAGCCGCUUUUAUGUUACCGUUAAGGCAAAAAUUUGAAUUUCAGAAUAUCCGGCUUGCCGCUUUUCAUAUCCGGUAAGCCGCUUUUGAAAUCCGAAUUGCCGCUUGCGAAAUCUGGUAAGCCGUUUAUGCUCCAGAAGCUUACUGCCCAAAAUCUGGUUCGCUGUUUAACAUAUCCGGUAAGCCGCUUGCUACAGUGACUGCUACAGUGAAAUAUUUCCUAAAUUUACAGUUUAACCUAAAACUUUAUAAAACUAUAUUAUAGCCCAAAACGUUAUGAAAGUUUGCAAAUAGGUCCAAUUUUAGAAUUUUAAAUAAUGCUUUGUCAAUCCCAAAACUUUUUGAAAUUAUGAUUUCGCCCAAACUAUGUGAAAUUCUAGAAUGACCCAAAAAUAUUUAAAUAGUUUCAAAUAGGUCCAAAUCCGAAAUUUAAAACAUUAUCAAAGAUUUUAAAAUAUUUUCAUUUUAGUCCAAAAUACUUUAAUUCCAUAACAUCAUUUUCUUAUUAUAAAAGCAAAAUUCAUAAAUCUUUGCUUAAUCAAUACAUGUGAUUUGUUAUCAUCAAAAUCAAUAUUUAUAGCCAUAUAGGCUAACAAUCUUCCCUUUUUUUAUGAUGACAAAACACAUUAUAAAAAAUUUAAUCUAGUUAUGAAAAGCUCCCCCUUAAUCAAUAAAAUUGAUUUAAAAAUUAUUUAACAAGACUCCCCCCGCAUACAUGCAUAUUUUCAUAACACUUUUAUAACACAUAUUAAAUUAUUCUCCCCCUUCAUCAUCAAAAAGAAUAAAAGCUCCCCCUAUCAAUCAUCAAAGUCGCAAUACAAGCACAUUAGAAAAAAAAAAUACCCAUAGACAUAAGGAAAUCCAUAUAAUCCAUAAUAAACACUCAAAACAAAUCCAUAUCAUCCAAAACAAAUACAUAAUCCAAAAGCAUAAUAACCAUCCAUAAAGUCGAAAAUAAAAAGACAUAAUGCAGUAAAUGAAAUGUAGGUGUGUCCAAAUACAAGCAUAAGAGACUACGGAGGUGGUGAGGAUAGUGGUGAUGGAGGUGGAUACGGAUAUGGAAUGCCGAAGUGCUCAAAGUGGAGGCGAUGUCCAUGAAUGAGCUGCUACUGCAGCUGCUACUGCUGCUGCGGAAACUCAUUCUGCCGUAAAGCGAGUGUCCGCACCUCAUCCAUAAGCUGCUGAAGAGUAACCUCUUCAGCGGUAGGAGGCUGUGUAAGUGAUGAAGCGGAUGUAGAGGCACCAGGAGCUGAAGCAAUAAUGGGAGGAUCUCGGCGUCGACGCUACCCUCGAAAUGAGAGUGAGAAAACGGGUAGCUGAUCGGCUGGAACCACAGUAUUAAGUGGGCGAUCAUCACUUGGAGCAAGAAAGGUAAACUUGUUCUCUGUGUAUUUGACCCAAGUGCCAUUUUUCUACUCAAAGCCUAAGCUGAAGAUAACAUCAUCCCCAAUACCCUUAGACGGUCUACAUGAUGGUUCUAGAUUCGGCACAUCAAAGAAUUUAAGGAUUCAGGUAAUGAAGUGACCAUAUGGAAGGGAGCGAGUAAUCAAGGAAGGUAUGGUGAACAUGGUUCGGAUAAUGGUAUAGCCCAAGUUAACCGGAUGACGUCUAAGAAUACAGUCAAUCAAAGCAACGUCCCUAUGAGAGACCUCAUCUAAAUGCCCUGAUCUAGGAAGCACAAUGGACUGAAUAAUACGAAGCAAAAUGCGAGUUUGAAGACAAAGACACUGAGUGCGGAAGUGAAUGGUACAAUCCUCAACAGAAAGAUCAUUACACCGACAAAUAUUACGAACGGCGUCAACAUGAACAUAACUAUCAAGUUUAGGAGAUUUCCUAGGCGAACAAAUUUCUAGGCCAAAAUCGGAUGAUCCUAAGAUAGAGUUUAAUAUGAAAACAUCAAAAUCAAUCAUAACUCCUCCAACAUUAGUGAUUACUCGAGUCUUGUUCUCCUCGGAAAAUUCCAUAUUCGAGUAAAACACUUUCACCAAGUCGGGAUACAAGCUCUCCUCAAUCAAAAGUGCAUCAAUCCAACCAACAUCUCUCAACAAUUGAAAUAAAUUUCUAUGACUAAUAUUGAGAGUAUGCAUCACAUCCGGUAAAACAUAAAACGUAUUGAGUACCUCACGAGUGCUGAACCUUUGUUGAAACUGUUUGAUCAAAUGUUUCGUGCUCUAAAAGUGAGUGGACUCAAAAUUGGAUUGAUUGGAGGUGCCCCCUGCUUGCCGUGACUGGUUGGUUGAUUGAAUCGGUUCUUUGCCUUUUCUUCGAACUGGCCAUGAACUUGACAUUGGGAUUUGAUUGAUUUGAAGUUGAAAAAGACAGAAAAUGAAGAUGAUGAAGAUUGAAAGUAUGUUGAGAAGCAAUUUGGAUAAAAACGGCUUGAGAGUGAGAAACUUAGAGAGAGAAAAUUCGACUGAAAAACCUAGAUUGACUUUGGGAUCUAGAGAUUUAGAUGUUGAAAAUGGAGUUUAAAGAUCAUUUUGAAAAAAUGAAGUGAUGGGGAAUGAUUUUCGUGACUCAAUUUGAUGCGAAAAAGGAAGAGAAUGAUGGAUUUUGGAGUGAGAUAGAGUGACGAACAAACGGUUUUUAGAGAGAGAGAGAGAUCUGGUUGGCCGAAUGAGAGGGAGAAGAUGAACAGUUUAUAUAGCUCCCGAAUCCGGCUUGCCGGAUUUCACUAACCGGCUAGCCGGUUAGUGACCACAAACAUAAAAGCCGUAAACAACUUGCCGGAUACGUUAUCCGAUUUUCUAGAUAGCUUCCAGAAUGGGUCAAACAUGCAUUUGGCUUGUCGGUUUCAAGUCAGAAUUAAGCUUCACGAAUUCGGCUUACCGGAUUUAAGAACCAGUUAGCCGAUUGUGAGGCAGAAACAUGCAAAUCGUAACCGAUUUUUUGGAUUUGAAGAACCGGCUGUCUGGUUUUGAGGCAGAGAGGAAGCUUAACAAAUCCGGUUUUCCUGAUUUAAUAACCGGUUGACCGGUUUGCGUUCAGUGAUCUCUAGAAUACAUCCGGCUUUCCGAUUUGAUAAAUUCGGUUUUCGAAUGUUGACCCGAGAGCAACCAAAGCUAAUCCGGCUUACCGGUUUGAUAAAUCCAGUUAUCCGAAAUUUGUUCCGAGAGGAAUCAACAAGAAAGCGUUUUUCCGGAUGAGAGGAAGUGGUAUAUCGGUUUAGACUUGGAAAUCUAUUUGGCUCUAAUUAAAUUUUGGCAAGCUCUUAUACUUGUAUUACACACACCAUUUUAUUAUUGGCUUUUAAAAUUGAUUAAUUUUAAAUUAUUUUGAGAUUUAAAACUUUUCAAUAAGCCAUUUAAUGCAUGAAACAUAAAAUCAUAAAAUUACAAGCAUAUCAAGUUAUCUAAUUCAUGAAGCAUAAAUCCAUAUAAUAACAAACAUAUCAAGCCAUGUAUUAAAACAUAAGUCAAGCUGCAACAUUCAUCAUUCCAAGCUCAUGUCUUAUCUUUAUAAAAUGCUCUUCGCUAAGAGGUUUUGUAAAGAUAUAUGCAAGCUGAUUUUCAGUAGAAACAAAUUUAAUUACAACAUCUCCUUUUUUAGCAUGAUCUCUAAGGAAAUGAUGUCUAAUUUCUAUAUGCUUAGUCCUAGAAUGUUGAAUGGGAUUCUUGGAAAGGUUUAUAGCACUAGUAUUGUCACACAAGAUAGGUAUUUGAUCAAGUUUAAUACCAUAGUCUCUAAAGGUUUGUUUCAUCCAAAGAAUUUGUGCACAACAACUACCUGCAGCAAUAUAUUCUGCCUCGGUGGUUGAUAGCGCAAUCGAGUUUUGUUUCUUACUAAACCAAGAGACAAGUGAAUGGCCUAGGAAGUGACAUGUUCCACUAGUACUUUUUCUAUCAACCUUAUAUCCAGCAAAAUCGGUAUCCGAAUAACAAGUCAAUAUGAGUUCCCCUAAGAUACCAAAGGCCAAGAUUAAUGGUGCCAAUCAAAUAUCGAAAAAUGCGUUUGACAGCAAGUAUGUGUGACUCUUUAGGACAAGAUUGAAAUCUAGCACACAAGUAUACACUAAACAUAAUAUCAGGCCUACUAGCAGUCAAGUAGAGUAAGGAUCCGAUCAUACCUCGAUAUGUCUUGAUAUCAACUUCCUUACCUUUCUCAUCUUUGUCUAGCUUGAUGGUGGUACUCAUUGGAGUGCUUUUUGCAGUUCCAUUAUCAUAACCAAAUCUUUUGAGUAGAUCUUUCAUGUACUUGGCUUGAUUUAUGAAAAUUCCUUCCUCAUUUUGUUUGAUUUGGAGUCCAAGGAAGUACUUCAACUCUCCCAUCAUACUCAUCUCAAAUGUUUUGCUCAUAUAAGAUGAAAAAUCUUUACACAACAACUCAUUAGUAGAACAAAAAAUAAUAUCAUCAACAUAAAUUUGAACAAUAAGUAUAUCUUGGUUCUUAUGCUUAACAAAUAAAGUUGUGUCCGCUUUUCCCAUUGAAAAAUCAUUAUCCAACAAGAAGUUUUUAAGCCUAUCAUACCAAGCUCUAGGUACUUGUUUUAGUCCAUACAAAGCCUUAGAUAACUUGUACACAUGAUCUGGAAAUUUUUCAUUUUCAAAACCAGGAGGUUGUUUCACAUAAACUUCCUCCAUAAUAUAACCAUUUAAGAAAGCACUCUUGACAUCCAUUUGAUAUAAAAUAAAAUCUUUAUGACAUGCAUAUGCUAACAACAUCCUAAUGGAUUCUAACCUUGCUACAGGUGCAAAUGUUUCAUCAAAAUCAAUUCCUUCUUCUUGGUUGUAACAUUGAGCCACUAAUCUAGAUUUAUUUCUUACAACCACACCGGAUUCAUCCAUUUUAUUUCUAAAUACCCAUUCAGUGCCUAUAAUGGAUUGAUGUUCUAGAUUAGGAACUAAUUCCCACACAUUGUUUCUCUCAAAUUGAUUCAACUCCUCUUGCAUUUCCAUAAUUCAAGAUUCAUCAUUUUCCGCAUCCAUAAAGAAUUUGGUUCAAUUUGAGAGAUAAAUGCAACAUGCUCACAUGUGUUCUUAAUGGAUGAUCUAGUGGUAAAACCUCGUGAGGGAUCUCCUAAAAUUACAUCCUUAGGGUGAGAGGAAACAUACCUCCACUCCUUAGGGAGUGUUUAAGAAGUACCUUCAUUUUGCUCUACAUUUGUUUCUUCAUGAUGUUCCUCUUGAAUUCCAUGUGGUGCGUCUUUUUGGUUGUCAUUUGAUGCUUCUUCUUGUUGUUCUUCUUCUGCAUUAUCAUCAACAACGACUUUCUCCGUAGAGGAGGGAUUAGACUCAUCAAAUGUAACAUGCAUAGAUUCUUCCACAACUAAAGUUCUUUUAUUAUAAACUCUAUAAGCUUUGCUUGAGUUUGAAUAACCAAGAAAAAUGCCAAUAUCAGAUUUUGAAUCAAAUUUACCAAGAUUAUCUUUUGUGUUCAAAACAAAACAUUUGCAUCCAAAGACUUUAAAAUAACCAAUGUUGGGUUUUCUAUCUUUCCAAAGCUCAUAUGGAGUUUUAUUAAGAUUAGGUCUAAUCAACACACGAUUCAAAACAUAACAAGCGGUGUUGACGGCUUCGACCCAAAAAUACUCAGGCAGAGAAUUUUCAUUCAAUAUGGUCCUAGUCAUUUCUUGGAUAGACCUAUUCUUUCUCUCUACUACUCCAUUUUGUUGUGGAGCCCUAGGUGAUGAAAAUUGAUGUUCAAUGCCAAAGUAAUUACAAAAAUUUUCAAAUGCAUGAUUUUUAAAUUCUCUACCAUGAUCACUUCUAAUACAAGUAAUAGAAUAACAUUUUUCAUUUUGAACCUUUUUAUAGAAAAUUCAAAAUGCAUCAAUGGCAUCAUCCUUAUUAGCUAAGAACAAUACCCAUGUGUAUAUAGAAUAAUCAUCCACAAUUACAAAUGCAUAAAAUUUACCACUUAAACUAGCAUAUCUAGAAGGUCCAAACAAAUCUAUGUGAAGUAAUUGAAGUAGUUUUGAAAUAGAGACAUGAUUCUUUCUUUUGAAGGAAGUUUUGAUUUGUUUUCCAAAUUGGCAAGCUUCACAAAUUCUAUCUUUUUGAAAACUGAUUUUUGGAAGACCUUUAACCAAAUCAUUUUUCACAAUUUUUGAAAUCAAAUCCAUGCUUGCAUGACCUAAUCUUCUAUGCGACAACCAACCAUCAUCAUGCAAUGCGGAGAAACAUUUAUCAUUUGUCGAUGCACAAUCUAUAUUAAUGAUAUAGACAUUAACACAUCUAUUUCCUACAAACAAAACUUUCUCAUUACAUGCAUUCUUAAUAACACAUUUUGAUUCAUCAAAGAUAACUCUAUAUCCUUUAUCACAUAAUUGACUAAUACUAAGCAAGUUGUGUUUCAAGUUUUCAACCAAACACGCAUUUUCAAUGAGAGUAGAGGAUAUAUUACCAAAAUUUCCAAUGCCAAUGAUUUUUCCUUUUGAAUUAUCUCCAAAUGAUACAUCUCCACCAUUUUCGAUCUUAGUAAAACUUGAAAACCAAGAAUAAUUCCCUAUCAUGUGUCUUGAACAACCACUAUCCAAGUACCACUUAUUCUUCUUCUUCUUUAAGCCCUUGUAGAGAAAAUCUCAAGUUUUAGGUACCUAAACCUUCUUGGGUCCUUGAGAGUUAGCAAUGGUUCCUUUCGGAACCCAAACACAUUUCACACCAUAAUAUGCAUUUCUUUUCACUGCACAUCUAUUUUUUAUAUGACCAUCUUGAUUACAAUAAUGACAUACAAUUUGAUUGUUAGUAGAUGUAUUCUUCAUAAAAUAACUUUUGUAAAGUUUUUGUUUCAAAUUUGGUUUAUAACCAAUGCCACUUUUGUCAAAUACACAUUUAUGUGAGUUUAGCAAAUUGUCCAGCAUCUUUUGCCCAUUUGUGAAUUUUAGCACAAUUUCAUUUAGUUCAUUGCUCUUCUUUCUAAGCAUUUUAUUUUCAUUUUUCAAGUCAUUCAUGUGUGACUCUAAGUGCUCAUAUGGAGUACUAGAAUUCUCAAAUAAUGCAAUGCUAUCAUGCAAUGUUUUAUUUUCUAAUUCUAGGCAUGUAAUCUUUGCACUAAAUGAUUCAAUUUCAUUUUUAAGUUCUAUCAUCUUUAUUUUAAGACAUAUAUUCUUUUUACCAAUCUUCAUCAGCUCAUCAUGUAAAUCCUUAAAGGCAUCAUGUAAGUCAUCAUAUGUAGGAAGAACACUUACCUCAUCAAGUUUAUCACAUGAUUCUUCCCCAAAGGCCAUGUCAUCAUCACUUAUUUCCUCAUCGCUAUCAUCCCAUGUGGCCACCAUAACUUUCUUCUUGAGUUUCUUGAGAAGAGGACAUUUCGGUCGUAUGUGUCUGGGCUUCUUGCAUUCAUAACAAGUGAUUGGCUCCUUCUUCUCCUUCUUAUUCUUGUAGCCUCUGAACUUUCUCUGCUCAUUAUUCUUUUUGUAAAAUUUUCUGAAUCUUCUAGCCAACAUUGCCAAUUCCUCAUCAUCCAUUUCGCUUUCCUCAUCACUCUCACGUUUUGAGGCCUUAAGAGUAAUAUUUUUCUUCUUUUCCUCAUGCCCUUUUUCAGCUGCCAAAUCUUCUUCAUAUGAAAUGAGAGAACCAAUUAAAUCAUCAAUAGGUGAUACAUUUAAAUCUUUGGCUUCCUCAAUGGCAGUCCUUUUUGGUCUCCAUUCCUUAGGUAGCGACCUAAUGAUUUUCUUAACUUUCUCGCUAUUUGAAAAGGUCUUUCCUAGGGCUCCUAGAGUGUUCACUAUGUCUGUAAAUCUAGUACACAUAAAGUACACAUUCUCAUUUUGUUCCAUUUGGAACAAUUCAUAUUGUCGAGUGUACCUACUUAUUUUAGAUUCUUUUACUUAGUUCAUGCCUUCAUAAACAACUUCAAGUUUAUGCCAAAUCUCAUUAGCACUUUCGCAACUAGACACUCUAUGAAACUCUUUCGUAUCUAGUGCACAAAACAAGGCAUUCAUGGCCUUGGAAUUUAGAGAAGUUUUUCUCUUUUCAAAUUCAUUCCAUUCCCGUGAAGGUUUUGGAAUAUCUUCCCCGACUUCAUUUUUAGUCAAAGGCAUGAAAGGACCAUCAUUAACGAUUUCCCAAAUUUCCUAAUCUAAGGCUUGCAAGUAAAUUCUCAUCCUAGUUUUCCAAUAUGGGUAAUCGUUUCCAUCAAAGUAAGGUGGUCAAGUGGUGGAUUGUCCUUCCCUAAAUGUGGAAUCAUUUUGAGUUACCAUUGAUCUUUAGCUCUAGACGGUUAAGUCUAAAUAAGAGCACAUUGCUCUGAUACCAAAUGAAAUAUAAGUGUGCAACCCAAGAGGGGGGGUGAAUUCGAAUUUUAAUAAUUAUCCUAACAAAUCCACACAACAAGCAAUCUAAUGUCUUAAUAAAAAUUGAAAGCAAUAAGUUUAAUAAAAGCACAACAACAAAUGAGUAAGAGAGAAGAGAAACAAACACACGAAAUUUUACGUGGUUCGGCAAUCCCCACCUACGUCCACGCCUCCAAGCGAUCCAAGCUUGAGAAUUUCACUAUCCGAGCAUUUCCAAGGCUUCAACCGUUUAUAAUUGACUUCAAGGUGUUAAUGAACCUUUACAACAAAGAGAUUACCUCCCAAUCUCUUCACUCAAGUGUCUCACACACUCAAACUUUUACAAUUAAGAUGAAGAAAUGAAAGUUACAAUAAAACUCACUCAAAGAGUAGAUAUUCAAAAAUGAAGAAUAAGAAAUGAUUCAAUGUUUUGUGAUUUGCAAAUUGAAAGCUCAAGAUAUCUCGUGUGCUUUUUGUUUAUGCUUGGUGGAGAGCUUGAAAAUGAGUUGGAUUUGAGUUUAUAUAGUUUAAGCUAAAAAACUAGCCGUUAUGCACAUUUUGGUCGUAACCAGCUUGCCGUUUAGGAAUCCGGUAAGCCGCUUUUAUGUUACCGUUAGGGCAAAAAUUUGAAUUUCAGAAUAUUCGGCUUGCCGCUUUUCAUAUCCGGUAAGCCGCUUUUGAAAUCCAGAUUGCCGCUUGCGAAAUCCGUUAAGCUGUUUAUGCUCCAGAAGCUUACUGCCCAAAAUUCGGUUUGCCGUUUACCAUAUCUGGUAAGCCGCUUGCUACAGUGGCUGCUACAGUGAAAUAUUUCUCAAAUUUACAGUUUAACCUAAAACUUUAUAAAACUAUAUUAUGACCCAAAAUGUUAUGAAAGUUUACAAAUAGGUCUAAUUUCAGAAUUUUAAAUAAUGCUUUGUCAAUCCCAAAACUUUUUGAAAUUAUGAUUUCACCCAAACUAUUUGAAAUUAUAGAAUGAUCCAAAAAUAUUUAAAUAGUUUCAAAUAGGUCCAAAUUUGAAAUUUAAAACAUUAUCAAAGAUUUUAAAAUACUUUCAUUUUAGUCCACAAUACUUUAAUUCCAUAACAUCAUUUUCUUAUUAUAAAAGCACAAUUCAUAAAUCUUUGCUUAAUCAAUACAUGUGGUUUGUUAUCAUCAAAAUCAAUAUUUAUAGCCAUAUAGGCUAAGAGAUUUGUCUUUUGAAAGAAUUUGUUCUGUGGGGUGGGAAGAAUUUUUUCAAAAAUUGUGCUUGCAUUUCAUCCCAAGUUCUGAUGGAUUCUGACCUAAGAUUUUGUAGCCAAGUUUUAGCUUUAUCUUUUAGCGAGAGGAAAAAACUUAAGCUUGAUUAUAUUCAUGCUACAAUUUUGAUCAGUACAGAUGUUACAGACUUCCUGAAAUUCCCUUAAAUGCAAAUAUGAAUUUUCAUACUCAAAAUCAUGAAAAGUAGGAAGAAAUUGAAUGAUACCAUGUUUGAAAUUAAAACGUGAUGCAUCAGGAGGGAAAACUAUGCAUGAUGGUGACCCUGUUCUAGUAGGAUGCAUGAAAUCUCUAAGGGUCCUAGGUUGUUCAUGAAGAUUUUGCAAGGCUUGGUCAUUUUCGUGCUCCGAAAAAUUUUCAGCUCCUUUGUCAGCCAUAUUUAAGGGUGGUAAAUGUGAUUUUCUAAUUAAUCUACCAUUAUUUGUACGAGGCUAACGACGCAUGCAAUGCUAAUGAUGUGUGCUAAACUAAUGAUGCAAAAAUGCUAAAUGAAAAUUGCAGAAAUAAAAAUAAAUUGGAAAUUAAAUAAGCAAAAAAAAUACGAAAUAAAAAUAAACAAACUGAAAAAUAAAUAAAUAAAUUAGGUGGUGAAACCAGCCAUUAAAAAAAACAGUUUAGGCGGUAUUUUAAAACCAGCCAUAUAAUAAAACAUAAAAUUAAAUAAAUUAAUGCACAAAAAUAAAUAAACUGAAAUUAAAAUGCUAGGCGGUAGAACCGACCAUAUAAAUAAAAAUACAUAAAUUAAUAAAAUUUAAAUAACAGUCAUGCGGUAGAAUCGACCAUUUAAAAUAAAUGCGGAAAGUAAAUUACAGAAAUUUAAAGAAAUAAAUUUGAUUUGGGGACUGAUUUGCAAAGGUUUUUUUGGCUAAGAUGAAGUUUCUCAUAAAUUUUAUAGAUAAUGUUAAGGUUUGAAAAGAAGAGGGGUGCUAACUGAAGUUUUACAAAAAGAGAAUAAAAUAGAAUCAUGGAAAGAUGGUAACGACAAAACAAACAAAAAUAAAUAAAAAUAAAAUAAAAAUAAAGUAAAGUAAAGACAAACGAAUAUCAAAUUUAGAAAACUCCCCGGCAACGGCGCCAAAAAUUUGACACGACUCAAAAGUGUGUUACUCUUAAGUAUAAGAGUAUCUAGUUAUAAUAUAACCCGGUGAGACCGGGAUCGAACCACAGGGAGUUUUAAAUCUAGUAAAACUAAGAAAAUUAAUUGUGGUGAAAAGAAAUUAUUUGAAAUCAAUUUAAAAAUAAGCUAAGGUUUAGGAUCCACUCUCUGUAUUCAAACUAUAAUUUUAAUACUCUCUCAUUUAUAUUUUACCUCACUUUUACCAAUUAAUUAUUAUAUCAUUUAAUUCUAUAUGUGUGGAUAAAUAUAGAAUAAAGUACCUAAUGUGACACACUAUAUUAAUGUGUCGACAUUAUGUCAAAAUACCAUAAAAUCCAGUGAGAUUUAUAAAUUAACAUGAUAUAAAAAUAAUUAGAAAAGAAUUAAAAAAACUCAUUUGAGAAAAUAAUAAUAAUUAAUAGUUUGAAACAUUGAGCUUCACUCUUCACAUCAGCUUAAUAAAAUUAGCUACUCAUAUUGAAAGAAAACACAACACUCUUUUUAUUUGAUAAACGUUUUGAAAUAUAUUACAAAGAAAAUUGAUACAAACGGAAAUAAGAAAAGAAAAGAAACAAAGAAACAAAGAAAAUCUUCAAUCUCGGCUUCAGCUCUCAAAUUUUGCUCUCCAACUUCCCCCUGCUCUUCAAUUUCUCCUCCCUUUUUAUAGGCAACAAUUGCCUUUAACUUUCUUUAUUUUAUUAUUUAUUUAUUAUUUUAUUAUUAUUUUAAAAUAUAUAAGUGUGUUGAAAUGUGUGAUGGUCAGGAGGUGUAAUGGCCUCCUGACCAUCACCAACAUGUUUUUGUUCUUUUGUUAUUUUUUUUUCUUUUUUUUUAUUGAUUAUUUAUUAUUACAUCUCUUCAAUUUUGUUCCAAUAGUUCUUUUUUGUUCUCGCUUUCAAUUCUAAGUCCAUCUUUAUUCCUGAAAAAUAUUUACAAGAUAAAAAUUAACAAAUUACGAAUUAAUUUAACAUAAAAUAAAUUUGGGGAGUAUUAAAAUAAUUUAGAAAUAAUGAACCCAUUAAUCAACACAAUAAGUGAAAAACUAAUAAUUUUAUCCUUAUUAAAUGUAAAAUUUUUAGUGUCAAUCACACCCCCAACCAGUUUAUUGUUAGGCCCUAAAAAUUUAAGCGAUAAAAGUUUAGUAAAAUUUUGAACUCAAAUUGAAAAUCAUUUUUUUAAAAAAAUUGUGUUUACUUCUUCUAUCAGAUUAAUGACAACAAUCAAAUAAAAGUAUAAGCAUUAUCUUCAGCCUAAAGAAAAUCACACUCAGCUCAACUGCUUGAUUUGUGGGGAUAAACGAACUCAUUGUGCCAAUACCACAUGCGCCAGACAUGACGCCAAAUAACAUUGACCUAUCCUUCUCAUUAGUGAUCCUCAAGUGGUUUUUCAUAUUAUAAACAAUCCAUGCAUGAACAUCCAAUGUAAAACAAGUAUGACUUGUGUGUUUCGAAAAAAGGGCUAACCAAAUGCGUUUAGAGUCAACAUAAUCACCAACUGCAUGGAGAGCAUCCUCUAUGAUAUGCCCACACCGCAUGCAAGUACUAUCAUUAAGCACAUGCCUUCGCGAUAAUUUAGCAUUAUUUUUCAAUCUAUUAUGCAUCAGCAGCCAAAGAAAGCACUGAAUGCUUUGGGGGCCUCUCAAUCUCCAAAUCAAAACCCAAAGGGAAUUAUUUUCAUUUAGCAUCGGUCUAAAGAGGGAUAAAUAAGCUGACCUCACGCUAAACGAACCAGACCGCGAUGGAUCGCAAUAACAACAGUUAACUUCAUCGCUAACAAAAAGGGGCAUAGUGCCUGCUAUUUUGAAAAUUAUAUGGUGGGGUAGAAAAGAAGCAAAACAGUCCCAGUUCCAAGCACCAUUAUUAUCGAUAAAAUUAGCUACACACUCAUUUAAUAUGUUUUCAGUGAUUGUACCGAAAGUAUAAGAUUGUAACCAAAGCCCAUCCUCCAGCCAAUAAUCUUUCCAAAAUCUAGCCAACUUCCCAUUCCGAAUAGCCCAUCGAGUCCCUUAGAGAACCUCAUUCCAUACGUUUCCCAUGAAUUUUCAUAAAGGAGAACUAUAUCAAGUAGGAUGUUUUAGAGGAAGGUUUUCUUUAUUAAUGCCAUAUUUAAACAUCAAUACUUGAAUUUAGAAGCUGUGGGGUGAUUUAAUAUGACCCCAACCAAUUUUCAUUAGCAAGGCUUUAUUCAUGAGAUUAAGAUCUUUAAGGCCAAGGCCCCCACAUAAAUUAAGGAGUUGUACUCUAUCCCACUUAAUAAGGUGUAUGCGAUAAGUCUCGUCAAUCUCGGUCUAGAUAAAAUGCUUGCAAAUCUGAUCAAUUUUAUUACGAAUACUUAGAGGUAGCAUGAAGGUCUGCAUGGAAUAGGUUGGGAGAGCCAAAAUGAUCGACUGCGUUAAUGUUAUCGGACCUACAAGAGAAAGAUGUUUGGUUGUCCAGCCUGGAAUUCUCUGUAGUGCUAAUGGUGGUCAAGGAUAAGGUACUAGUUUCCGUGGGAGACAUUGAGUUUGCAUAAGAAAUCUGGGAGAUUUCAUAGAGAAUGUAUGAGUUAGUGACAAUGGUAAACAUGAUUAAACGCGUGAACUAACAUAAAAUGAAAUACAAAAACUAAAUGAUAGAGCACGAGUUUUGAAAAAAGUUUAUUUUUCAAUCCACCAUCAAUUAAACAGAAGCAAGCCACUGUCAUUCUAAGUAAACAAACAUAACAAAACCACCUAAAUAGGAAUAAUUUUUCAAUAUAGGAAUCUUGAACUUUUCAUGAAAAAAAAUCAGUUUACAAUAUUAUAGGUACGUGAAAAAUAAAGUUUAUAACAUUGUAAAUCAAAUCACCAGCUAGAAUCUAACUCCACCUACAUGGUUUAGUAAACAACUAUAACAUUGCAUCCAAUAAUGGCGUCACCAGAUUUAAAAUUCGCUCGAUGCAUCUGACCAAUUGCAUAUCCACCAGUCAAUAGGAACUCGCCAGUGCCACCGACGAUGGGCAUCUUACGGACAGGAACAAUCGACCUGUUGUUGCCAAGAAGGCUGAUACAGCUGCUAUUAUUAGGACCAUCAACGAACACAAAGCUCAUGGACAUGAUGAUACCUAGUUGAUGCUGACAAGCCGACCCGUAAAGCCCUUGAGCACGACCAACCAGCUUUGAUUGAGGACUAGUAGUUUCUAUCGACGAAUCAUCCGCCAAAUCACAACGCAGAAAUGAGUUGGUGACUUGUAAGUAUCAGUGGCUUGAGCAAUGCUUUUUGCCACUACGUUUUUUUUUUUUUUUGUUGUCUCUUUUGCGAAAUCAAGCCCCGUACCCAAAGUCUCUAUGAUCGUAUUGAUGUUGCUGCCACCGGGCAAAUGAUGAGCAACAAAAAAACUGCUUAAAACAUUGCAGUAACUUUAAAACAAGGCAUGAAAUUAAAAGGAAGAGAAUAGAUGAUGCACUUUUGAAGGUAGAAAAGAAGGAUGAUUCAAGAUUCAUUUCAAAUUUUUUUGAAGUGUUUUGAUCAGUGAAUAUCCAAAGGCUGCUUAACUACAAAGGUGAAGUGGGAAGAAAUUUUGACAUUUUGUUACAUUGAGCUAGCCAGCGAAUGUAUAUGAGGGGCUUCACUUGUACACAUAAAAAAGGAAGAUUAAUUACUCAUGGUUUUUUAUUAAGAAAAAAAUGGCUUGCUUAAAAUAUAGAGUGUGGUUAAUUUCAUUGAAGGACAUGACUCAAAGGAAAAGAAAAAGAAAUCUAAUAAUAAACUAAACAAAAAAUAAUGCCAAAAACAAUAAAUUUAAUUAAAUGUACAUUGAAAUUACCUUUAUAAUGCAACAAGAUAUUAAAAUCAAUAGUUAACGCUAAUAAAUGAAGCAUAAUUUAUUUAAUACUUAUUUAUGGACUCUUUCAAUUCCAUUAAAGCCACUGCAAGUCAUUUUUCAAUAUCCACCUAGAUAAAUAGAGGCUCAUGCCUUUCUGAUUCUUCCACUUCUCUUUCAAUUCUAAUUAAGCCGUUUGCAAUUCUCUUAAGAAAUUAAAAAAUGUCAAAGAGUCUUACUUUCAUCAUUUUGGCUUUGCUUGUAGUGGCAAACACUAAAAACAUGCUUAUUUCAGCUAGUAGAACUGGCCAAGGAUCUAAGCCAGAGGCUUUAUUUUCUAUUAACCCUAUAGCAUCACCUGACAUUGUUGAUUGCUCAGGGCUCACAAGUGAAGAGUGUUUGAUUGAGAUGAUUAAGAAAGCACUUGUAGACUAUCGAUACCCCUGCCCUGAGGGGGGUGCAAAUGAUAUUGUUAAUAAGUUAUUUAUUUUACCUUGUAGGAGUGCUUUUGCAAUAACGAUCAAUUACUGUGAAAUUGAAUUCGUGUUUUUAAUAAAAUAAAACAUUAAUCCAUUAUGCAUAGGUAAUAUUAUGUCAUAUGUUUUUGGUGUGUGUAUCUCCUACUGCUUUGUUAUAGAUGCAUCGUCGAAUCAAUCUUCGAUAAAUCAGUUUCUUUAAAUAAUAGCAAUUAUCAACCAAUCAACAUUACUCUAUUGGUACCAUUUGUAAUAUUUAAAUUUUAAAUCUAUCUACUUUUAGGGUGAGAUUAUUGAUUCCUAAGAAAAAUAAUAAAAUAAACCCUCAUUAUCGAAAUCCUAUAUUACUAAGCUGUCUGAUUUAAUUUAAUGUUAAACUUUAAUUUAACCCCUGAAAAUGUCCAGACUUACCUACAUUUAUUGCUAAGAAUAUGAUUUAAAAGUUCAUCAAUGUGCACCUCAUUUAUGCUCAUCUUUUGAAGAACAAAUAGGGUGGAUUGAGAUUUUCAUGCUUUUGGAGGGUAAAUUAAAGAUAAUUGUUAGGAGGGAACGAAUUGAAGUUUGUUUUUAAAUGCAAAGAUGUAUUCUUUUAGUUUUUUUGAGAUAGUUUGUUUGACUUUAAUUUAACAUAUGUUUUUGUAAUUGAAAUAUAGAUACUUCUUUAUUUUUGUUAUUCAGCUAAGUAAUAUAAUAUUUAUAUUUAAUUGAUCACUUAAAAAAUGUUUAUGCAUUAAUAUGUUAAUUUUUUGCGGCUUGUAAGGUAAGAAUUUUUUUUAUAAGAAAAUAAUGCAAGCAACAAUAAGAAUUAAGAUUAAUCAUAUAAUGAUGCAAACUAUGGACAUGCUAAUUAGUUGGUACACAGAAUCUUAAUCAAUGAUGUCUGGUUUCAGCUUUCCUUGUUUUUUCUUUCUUCGGUAAUGCUCUUGAGAUGUUAUGAAUUAAACAAACAUAUGUUCCCAAUUAUGCACUCUUAUCAUAUAGGGAGCAUCAUAAACAGAGGAAAAAAAAAAUUCAAGUUUGGUGACCAAAAAGACUUGAAACAAUGCCUAAUGUCUUUGAAAGUAGUAGAGGAUUCAACACAACUGUGUGGACUGAAUAGAGAAGUAGUAGCAAAUAGAACACUCAACAUAAAAGGCACCAAAAAAAAUAUCAUUAAAAGGUUGUUACAAGUGAAUAAAAGUUACAGAUUUUAUUUUGAAAUUAAAUUCUAAAAAUAAAUUUAAGAGUUAGUGUUUCAUUUUCUAGAUGUAAAUGCCCUUAACCAAUUUCAUUUUAAAAACACACCAAAAUCCAAGUAAUUUUUUUGCUCUCCUCUCUCAACUAAAAUCUUUCUAUCUUAGACUUCACGUGAUGGAGUUUCCAACACUAGUUUGAAGUUCACAAGACUAGUCAGGUUAUGUUGCAGAGACCAUUUGACUUUGUAAUAUCCUAUGGGAUAGUUGCUAAUAUAACCUAAGUACUACUGCGAAAAUGACAAAUCCUUUUUAAGGACAUUGUAACUGCACAUGCCUCAGUUUAAUUUAUGUUCUUCUCUUUCUUAUUGAUCUAUACUAGAGAAAUUAUCUUUUCACCAACUCUGUUUUAUCAUAUGUAUAUCCAGACACCACCAAAUUUUAACAUGUUCUUUGCACCACCAUCAUUUCUGAAUUUGUAUUAAUCGACUAAUUUGACAAUAAUAAAAAAAUAAAAUGACCAUUUUACCCCUAAGUGAUCUAAAAGACCAUUUUAUCCCACGAAAUUUUUAAU
This 149260-nucleotide long non-coding RNA is filed under the name Citrus x clementina. Its description in RNAcentral is "Citrus clementina (C. clementina) long non-coding RNA (CCLE_LNC002707)". The stretch from base 97682 to 97785 matches the Rfam family "Plant small nucleolar RNA R71". Lineage: Eukaryota; Viridiplantae; Streptophyta; Magnoliopsida; Sapindales; Rutaceae. The record is from RNAcentral.